UUUUUUUUUUUUUUUUUUUUAAGUGUUAAGUACUAAGCAGGUUUCAUUCUACACUUGAACUUUACCAACAUAACUUAAUUUAAGUUAUGAUAAUAAUAAAUUUUCUAAAAGUUAUACACAAAACAUGGAAUGAUAAAUAUAAUUAAAAUAUCAUAAUUCACCACAAGUUUUCAUAAAUUCAUUAUAAACAUAAAUAGAUACAAUCCAAAUGUGCACCAAUUAUCACAAAUAAAAACACAAAAAAUAAAUAAAUUAAAUAUUGAAAUUCUUUUACAACCCUUAAAAAAAUUCAUAAAAGAGUUCAAGUUAAGACAAACUAUUUGAAUAGCAAACUUUUAUCAGUGGCAUGAUAAGCAACCACACCACCUUCACAAUUUCAUCAACUUAAGCUGAAAAAGUUAAAAUUUUAUUAUAAAAAUAUAAAUCUAAUUGCUCAAACUAAAAAAAACUAAAAAUUUUUGAAAAACAAAUAUACAGUUAAACACAUAAAAAAUUAAUUGCUACUAAACAUUACUAAUUAACAUGUUAUAUUAAAUUCAAUGAUCCUAUACCAUUAAUUAUUUUAAAUUCAAUUAUCAAUAGCUUCGAUUAUGUGCCAACUACCAUAUUUUUGACCAACCCAAUGUUAUUAUUUGUAAUUCCUACCCAAUUCCUACACGGAUGUGCACUACUUUUGUAAAAAUUUCAUCCUUAAUUAAUCGAAUAAAAAUAAAACAAAAAUGAGGGAAACAUAUGAAAAUUGAGGGGAAAAAGAAGAAAAUGCAAAAAAUCAACUAAAGAUAAUAAUAUAGAAAAAAACCUUGAAAAGAAAAAAAUUAAACUUACUAAAAUGUUGGAAAACAAGAAAAGUUGAAAUUUUCAACUUGUUUACAAUCUGCUAAAGAUAAUAACCUAAUAAUAAUGGUGAAGACUUGAGAAAAUCUUGUUGUGGAUAUUUGGGUUAAAAAUGGUUAAGAAGAAAAAAUUGAAAAAAAAAAUAAGAGAAGAACUUGAUGUUUUAAUAUAUUUUUUAGUCAAGUAGAAUUCUCAACAAACUUAAGUACAGUCUAGCAGUAAGAUUGUCAUAUUUAAACUUGGAGACCUAGGUUCGAAUCUUAGCUACACCAUUCUUGAUAUUUUAUUGAAAAAUUUAAAAAAUCGCCGGUUCACGGUUCUUAACGGUUCGCACGGUUCGCACGGUUCGUUCGGGUUUCAACGGUUCUCCAUGAACUUCCGGCUUUAACAUUAGACCGGACCGGUGACAUGGCCGGUUCGCGGUCCAACCGGUCGAAUCGGCCGGUCCGGUCCGGUUCUGAAAACAUUGGUUUUGGUCUGAGGCUCUUUUCGUCGGCCUGGGGCUCCUUUUGUUUCGUCGGCCCUCGUGCUCCUCGCAUGCCAGGCUUUUUUUUCGUCAGCCCUCGUGCUACUCACGUGCCAGAAUUCAAGACCUGGUUCUGCUGAGUCAUUCUCCUCAACGGACAGUUGUAAAAAUUUAUCACUCUUGUUUUUUUCUCCGCUCCACUCCACCUCUGCUCUCCACUCCAGACGUCUACAUGUACUUGCUCUCUAGGGUUUUUCUUAAAUUUCCGCUGCUUGCCCCUCUCUUUCUUCCCCUUCUCCUUUGCCUCAGCUUCAUCCUCAGAAUCUCCGCCGCCUCUACUUCGUUUCCUCCUCUCCAAAACAUUCGAUCUCUCAUUUCUUCUUCAUUCUUUUGCAUUUCUUCCCAUUCUCCUGGUUUUGUGUUAAAACCUUCUUUGCAUUGAAUUUUUUUCAUUUUUUUUGGGUUGCAGUUGGAAUGAUUUUUAAUUUCUGGACUCUUAUGCUCCAUCUAAGAUAGAGUUGGUAGCGCAGAAUCAUCUUUCCCCGCUUGCUCUGUUCUUGCAGGUAAGAAUCGCGGCCAUUAGAAUCGUGUUCUUGAACUCCGACAACUGGUUGCUGAACCCACUGUGAGGUGCGUACCAGAGGAACUUUUCUCCCCUGAAUUCUUCUGAACUUGUGCAUUGUGGAGGAACGGGGACUUGUUCGAAAUUACCUGAAAUUGAAAGCACGGAUGGGGGAAGCAGGCGCUUCUACGUAAUGAAAAAAAUACGAGAGCAAGAAAGAAGGACAAAAAGUGCGAAGGAUUUUGAUUUGGGACGCUGAUUUUGAUUCUCUCUUUUUCUCCACUUGUUGCUUCUGAUGGGAUUCAGUGGUUCCAUAUUUCCUCUUAGCAAGAAUCAAAAGGUUUUGGAUUGGUCGUUAGUUAGCUGUUCAUAAAUUCACAUAAGUCGCAAUGAAGUAGUACUACAUUGGAUCAGAAAAGAACUGUCAAGUUCUAAAAUUAUACUAUAAUUUUGGUUCCAUUGUCUUUUUUAAGGUACCACCUUCUUUGUUCUGAUGUUUUUUCCUAUUUUUUCUAUUUCCCUUGUUCGAGCUUUUGUGGAUUAGCCUAUAUUUUCAAAGGGAAAAGUGAAGAUUGAAUCCAUAUUGCGAGCUACUGAGUUGCGGCACAUUAAAUUGAACACGGUUGCAUAUAAUUCUGCGAUUGGAAGUUACAUGAAUUUUGGGGACUUUGAUAAAGCAAUAAUGGUAUAUGGGUCGAUGAGGAAACAUAAUGUUAAACCCGAUUCUGUCACUUACAAUGUGUUGAUAAGUGGUUGCUGUAAGAUGUCAAAGUUCUCUAAUGCACUUGAAUUUCUCAAUGAAAUGUUGGACCUCAAAGUUCCAUUAUAUGUAUUCAUCUGCUAUAUGUGCCUAUAGUAAACAGGCAAGGACUAUCGAUUUGUGACUACUGUCCCUGUAAUUAGAUUCUUCCAUACUUAAAUCUCUCUCUCUCUCUCUCAGGGUCAACUUGCUGGAGCAGAAUCAAUGUUUUCCAUGAUGAAGAUGACUGGUUUUCAUCCUGAUGUUGUCACAUAUACUGCUAUGCUACAUGCAUAUAGUGUUGCUGGUAAAAUCCUAUGUCGGACUAUUUCAUAUAUGCUGGCUUAAAAUUACUGAUAUUAAGAAGCUCAAACUGAAUGUCUUGUGGAAAUUCCAUAUGCAGAUGACUGGGAGAAAGCUUUUGCAAUAUUUCAAGAAAUGGAAUUGCAUGGUGUCCAGCAAUUCAAGGAGUGGUUUUGUAAAUGAAGCAAAGCUCCUCCCGGAACUGAGCCCAAUAAAAUUCUUUCCUUUGUUGGAAUGCAUAUGGAUGUUGUUACUGCCAACCCUUCUGACUGGGUAACAAAUUUUGAACUUUUAGCUUUUUUGAGUAAUUUAUUUGUAAUCUGAUUAUACAUUUUGGCAUUUUUCUUACAUUCUGAUGAUUGGUUUUGUCUUGUGUUUGAUUGGAACUGAUCGUAAAUUUGUUUUGUGCUGUGAGUUUGCCAGAAUGAGGACAAAAGAAAAUGGUAUAUGUUAAUUGGGUUUUCUUACUUUAAGUUUGCAACUCUCUCUCUAUUCUGAAAAAAAAAAUUGUUUUAAUUGAUGAUGAAAGGGGUUUCUUUGAUUGGAAGUUUAAAUUUGAUGGUGCAAGGUUUAAAGUUGGAGACUUUUUGUGUUUUUAUACACUGGCAAUAUUUUUCUGAAUCUUUUCAUUGUUAUUAUGGUUAGAUCUCGCUGUUGCAUGUACAAUGCUACAAACAUAUCCAUUUUCCCCAGGAAUUUGAACCUCGUAUGGAAAUUGCAGUUUUGCAAUGACGAGCUAUGGAACUUAGUUAAUUUUUGGUAGAUAUUGAAUGUAUGCAAGUCUUAUUUUACAGUAGCUGCGAAUUUGUAGUCUAAGGAUGUUCACUAUAAGAAAAUUAAAUCUUGAGUCCUAAAUUGGUACCUUAAUGAAAAUUUUUGGCUCUCUGUAUUGUUUUAUGAGGCCCGUGCUAUGAUUUGGGGUAAUGAGUUCAUUAGCCUUACUAACUAAUGGGUAUCUCAUUCUGUUGUUGCAAAUAUUGUAUUCCAUCAAAACAAAAGUACUUCAGCUCGUAACUUAUAUUUAAAGUAUUUAAAGCGAUUUAACCAGCUAUUUCUUAAUUCGAGGGCAUGAUUAUGGAAUUUAGCUAGAACCUGUCAUUGUAAUUAUCUUUUUCCAAGGUUUCAAGGAAGUAAAUAGAGGGAUUGGAAACAAACUAAGUUUGAGUUCUGCUCUUUGACCUGGGUAUAAAUUUUUGUCUCCUCAGUAUUCAAGUGUUUUGUAUUUAGAGUCUAAGACAAUAUCUAUGCCUCAGAAUUUUGAUCCUUUUUCGCUGAGCAUUGAUGGGGAUAAACUACGGGGACGUGGAACUACUGAUUGCCUUGGGCAUGUCGCUCUUGUAGCUGAACUUAUGAAGAAACUGGGAGAGACAAAGCCACAGCUAAAGUCCUCUGUUGUUGCUGUUUUUAUAGCCAGUGAAGAGAAUUCAUCUAUUCCUGGGGUUGGUGUGGAUGCAUUGGUUAAGGAUGGAUUGCUCGAUAAGUUGAAACAAGGGCCUUUGUAAGGACAUAAAAGUAGUAUUUAAGUAUGAGAAUCUUUUAUUGGUUAAUUGGUUAUGUUUAAAUUGUUUGGCAUUUGGUUAAUGGUUUAUGUGUUUGAAAACAGAUUUUGGAUAGAUACAGCGGAUAAACAGCCUUGCAUUGGGACAGGUGGCACUCCAUGUUACCGGAAAGCUUUUCCACAGUGGUUUGCCCCAUAAGGUGCUUUUUGGCUUUCUGUUGUCUCAUAUCAGCUGCACUAAUUCUUGGUGUAAAACUCACAUGUGCAGGAAAGAGAUACUGUCACUUUCUUAGUUGUGUCACCAGGCAGGCAGUUCAUAUUAUGACAAAGAUCAAGUAAUUAAAGUAACCAUUUUUCUGGAAUGAUGAAACUAAACUAAAAGAGAUGCAUCAAAAAAAAAUUUAACUUUGCAAGCACAAAAAAUACAUUUAAUAUUAUUUCCUCUUGAAUUAAAUUAUUUAUGCAGAAACAACUGCAUUUGAAGUAUUCUUAUUUUCACGGAUAAAUCCUUGUAAGUGAUCACAGUGCACCAAAAAUAAAUGGGAUGGGCUUGGCUGUAGAUGAAUAAAUGUUACGAUAAUUUAGCUGGACAAUAACUUGGAAGGAUUGAAGAGGAAUACUGCUGCAAGUUCAUGCACAUUAAGAAUGCUCCAUUACUGGGAAGAACCUGUGAAUGUGUUCCAUUUAGUAGUUUUCUUUUUCUGUAGGCUAUUAAUCCCUUGGAGCUAGCAAUGGAAGCACUCAAAGAGAUCCAAUUACGGUUCUAUAAAGAUUUCCUUCCUCAUCCUAAGGAACAAGUUUAUGGAUUUGCAACACCAUCAACAAUGAAACCAACUCAAUGGUCUUGUAAGUCUUGAUCACAUUGUGGAAGAACUCGGACGAGUGUGAUAUUUGACUUGUCAUAAGCAGCCAAUCGAAUUCCAUGUUUCUGAAUAAGCAUUUUAUAUUACAGAUCCAGGUGGUGGAAUUAACCAAAUUCCAGCUGAAUGUACAAUUUCAGGGGAUGUUAGGUAUAUAUUUCUUUAUAUAUUCUUGUUUAGGAACUUGAACUUCUAAACCCUUCUAACAAUGCCUCUUUACUUUUGCAGGUUGACUCCAUUUUACAGGUGGAAAUUUUUUCCUUUUUUCUCCUUACUAAAUUGUGGAUGAUUUAAUUUAUCAGAUUAUGAUAUUUCACAAUUAAUUCCUUUGCCCUCUUCAUUUUUAUGUUUUAGGCUUAAACUAAUUAUCUUCCUGUACUUAGUCUGCUGUAGCUUUACCAGUUGAGUUUAGAAGGAUAUUCAGGUAACAAUUCAAAAGUUUGACAUUAUAUAUUAUUCACUUGUCAACAGUGUAUCAGAUGUGCUGAAGAAGUUACAGGAGUAUGUAGAAGACAUAAAUGAAAAUAUUGAGAAGCUUGAUACUAGGGACCCUGUUUCAAAAUAUGUGCUACCAGAUGAAAACCUAAGGGGAAGGUAUGCCUUUGUUGACUGCUUUGUUUAGUAGGAGCAUGCUGAGUGGUUGUUGCUUUCACUUUAAAUUUGGUAGGAAUGUAAAAGGGGAUUGUAGUUUGUCAAAUUGAAAAUCAUUUAUCCACUAAUUCAAGAAAAUUUUGAUAUACAGAGAAGAAGUAUGCAUAAGGUAAUUACACAUCCUAAGAUUAUAAUCACUGCAAGAAACCAUAUUAGGCCCAACAGUCAACAAUAUAAUGCAAAUGUUUUUUGUAAACUGACAGAAAAGUUAAAAUUGUCCCUGGAUACAAUCUAUGAAUAUGGGAUAAAUUCUACAUUUUAGAUCUUGAACUAAGACUUCUCUGUUGUAAAUGGUCUUUCAUUAUACUCAAAGCCACAUGCUUCAUCUGGGACUAGGAGGGAUCACAGAACCAAAGCUCCCUUGUUUUCUACAGUUUCUACUUCUUAUCUUUCCACUUUCCCAGAAGUUUAAUUGAGUAUGCUCUUUCAAAGUUCAAAUAAACAGAAAAGAAAGUCCCACAUCUUUCUUGCAAACUGCAAAGCAUUUCAUCGAAGGAUAUUUAGGUUUGGGCUUCCUGUCAUAGACAAGCUUCAUCAUGUUAGGGGUUCUCUUUUAUCUUUUUCCUUGGGAGUUGGAAUGGGCAGCACUGAUGGCAAACAACAUAAGGGAAAAAAAUGCCGAUGUCAUGAGAACUUUUGUUUCCACAUAGGGGAUGGAACAGCCUUCCACUAAUAAAGACAUUCCUUGAUCAAGUAUUUAUGUUGUGAAUUGCAUUGCACCCUGAGAUUAUAAUUUCAAGCAUGGAAGUAGGGUGAUGGUCCUAUGGAAUCAGUUUUCUUUGCAUAUCAGUACAGUACUCAUUGUGUAAUAUUCAGUUUUACAAUUUAUUUACCCUCAGAAUCACACUAAGUUUCAACGAGGCAAAUUCUGGAGUUGCUUGCAAUCUUCAAUCCCCUGGUUUCCAUGUCCUAUGUAAAGCAACUGAAGCGGCAGUGGUGCAUGUAAAGCCCUAUUCUAUUACUGGUAGUUUGCCACUUAUUAUAGAAUUGCAGGUACAAUGAAUUUGCUUGUCAUAAGACUCAAAUCUUUUGGUAUCCUUCUAACUUUGUUAUUUGGCAGGAUAAGGGCUUUGAUGUCCAAACUGCAGGCUAUGGUAAGAUUCUUCCAUAUCCUACCACUUUUUUUAUUUAAAUAAUAUAAGCUUAUAGCUGUAUGCUUCUGGUAGUAUUUUGUGAAAAAGAUGUUUUGGUCUGCAUUAGGAUUUUUCCUAGAGCUUGGUUGCUUGAAUCCUUUCUUGAGCAUGUUACUUGCCAGUUAUACCAUUCUUCUUAUCUUAGAAGGAACUCGAUGAAAGCAUGUUAAGAUUCUGUCUUCUUGAUAAUUAUUUCUUCUAUAUGGCUAACACCUAACCUGGUUGACGUCUUCUAUACCCAUUCUGAUGCAAAAGAUAUAUAUGCAGCUGUCAAUUUUGGCUACACCAAAACAGAUGGAUUAAUGGAUUUUGCUCUUUUCAUAAACAUGCAGGCUUGAUGGCUACAUACCAUGCCAAGAAUGAAUACUGCCUUCUAACUGACUUGUGCCAGGGCUAUCAUGUGCCUUGGCUAUCAAGUACCAAGGCCUUGGCUAUCAUGUGCCUUGUGCCCAUGUCAUGAUAAUAAUAACGAAUAAAAUUCAUGACUUUUCAUUAUUGAUGUGAAUGUCAGAUGAUGGAAUAGUGGUAAAGGUGAGGUUAUUUUCUUUUAAUGUGUAGGAAGUUCCACGAAUGGUUGGUGGGCUUGUUAAGACUAUAUUUUUUUGCAUGUGGGAUAUUCUUUUGUAUAUUUUCUAGCAUGUAGGAUAUUCUUUUGUGACUUGUGAGAAAGUCGUGGUAAUUGUUAUGUUUCAUAUGAAUAGUUUCCAUAUUUUAGUUAUUCCUAUCUGACACAUAUGGCUCACUCAUUGCCAAGUCUUGGAAAUUUUUUGCAUGGGAGCACCAUUGAUGGUAAUAAAUGGAAAAAAAAAUAACAAUCAUAGGUGCAGAAAUGGUAUAAUGGUAAGGUUUCUUACACAAAUUGAAAAAAAAAAUGAAAGAAAAUGAUAGGGAUGAAAAAAUAUAAAGGACUUUAUGAACUUUGUGUUUCUAUAGCCAUUUGAUAUUCACACACAGAUUAUUGCUUCAUUUUGAAACAGGUUGCAAAGGAGGGAAUUCCACUGCCUCCAGAUAGAAUGUUAUGCCCUCUGCAUUCACAAAAGCGUGUAAAUCCAUCAGCUGUAGCUGUUUCAGGAUUUGUCUUUUGUUAUUCUUGCAUAUUUAAAUAAGUCUCUUAGGUUUGUUUCUCCAUACUUUUGUAUUGAUCAUGGUAAAAUUGCAGAACUACUGCCAAAUAUUGUUUCUAAGUGAUGCUUUCUCUUAUGUCGCAUUUCAGGAAGCUUUUAUCAUUUUUCUAUAUAGUGUACGCUAAACUUAAACAGUAAAUUGUACACUGUAGCCAGAAAUUCAAUUUUGCAACUAAUUCUUUUGUUUAAUCAUACUAGCAGUUGCUUGUUACCCCAGUUCAGUUACAUGAGAUUUGCCAUUUUUAGUUACAAUUCGAUAUUGUUUUGAGUUGCUGAUGGGCUGGGAUGCUAGGCUAUCUAGAUCCAUGUCUAUCUUUGUUGUUGUAAACUACUGCAGUAUCUCUGAUGAAAAAUUAUCUGAGUGUUCUCUCUUUUGGUCAAAAUUUUCUGUAGUAGGAUAUUUUGUCGUAUAUCAUUUACUUUCAGGUUCCAAUUCUUUUAUGAACAAGACUGUUAGGUCCUUUUCCUUUUCUUCCUUUUUUGGUCGAAUUAAUGAAUGGAAGAUUGUAAUCGCAUGAAUAUUUUACAUUGUGAUAUCUACUCAAGUUAAUGCAUUCUAAGAGCAUUUGCCAAUCUUUGGGCUGACCAUCCUUUGUUGUUGUUGUAUUCAAUCGAAAAGGCAUCGAAAAAAUGUAUCCAUGGCAUUUUAAUUUUCACCUUCAGCUCAAUUAGGCCAUUAUUAAUCUGGUACAUUUCAGUAAUGUAUCAGUAAUCUGGCAUUUUACUGUAUCAGUAAUCUUCCAUGUUUUAAUGCUUCUUUUCAAAUGCAAUGUAAGGUUAUUCCCCGUUUUCUCCAGUAGUAUCUUCUUGAGGAAUUUAUCCGUCUUUCCUACAACUGUUUCUGCAGCGAUGGAUAAGUUUUAGUUGCUUUCAAUUACUUUGUGAAAUUACAUCAGAAGCCACGGGUGAUGAAUCUAAAAAGAUAUAGCAUCAACUUACAAAGCUUCAACCUGCAAGUUAUUAGGUUUUCUGAAAAUGUAGAGAAUACCUCGCUUUAUAGUUUGUGAUUUUACUAUCCAGUGCAGCAGCCAGGUACAUUAUCAUCAUCGUUGCCAAAUUCAUGUAAUGCAAUGGAUUUGAAGUCUUUGCAUUUCCUUGAAGUUUAAUGGACUUUUGGAUUAUCAACCUUAAUCUAUAUAGCUCAGUGAUAUUUUUCCCUCUGUCAACUGCCAUACAUAUUCAUACUGAUAUACAAAAAAAAAAAAAAAAAAGAACUUGCGUGCAAUGUUGGAUAAAAGAAGAAUGCACCAAAAUUCAAUCACUCCCUUAAUUCGCAUUCGCAUAUUUGGCAGGGCAUAUUAUCUUUAGUCACCUACGCGCAUCGCGCGUUUUAUACCUCCUAGUUGACCAUAAAACUCUAAGAUUUAAGUAGUGUGUGGGAAAGUGAAGGAAAGUUGGUUGCUUUUUGUUUCCUUUCAUGUAUGUUUGGUUACCAAGAAUGUCGAAACAUUUUCUUGCACUUUUCUUCACUUUCUUGCAGCUUGAAUCCUGCAAAAUUUACGGGAUGAAUUUUGAAGGAAAAUAGGUCAAGUUAGAUACAAAAUUUCAACAACUGCUACUAACUAUUAUCACUAACUUCCCAUUUUUCGCUCAAAAUUUUUCUUGCUAACCAAACAUAUAAUCUGAAAAAUAAUUUUCAUUUUUCUUCAUCUCACCUUCUUACCCUUUACUUUCCCACACAACUUUCCUUCUACUCACUCAAACAGAUUUGAUUUGGUCCUCUAAAUGCAGGAGUUACCCAAUAAAUGCCUAUGAUGAACUCCAUCAGGAUCGUCGUGCUCAACCUUGAUGGGCUUGUAAGGUCUGUUUAGCCGAUGAAGCUUGGGCCUUAGUCUGCAAUUCUAGCUUGCUGGGCUGGAUAAUGCUGAUGAACGUUGUUCUUGCAUUGCAAUCGUGGGAAAAAAAAUAAAAAAAAAAUUAAGGAGAACGGGCAAAAUGAUUUUGUAAAUGAGAUAUAUAUAUAUAUUUUUGGGAAGGAGUAAAUGAGAUUCACUUGAGUGAAGAUGUCUCGGUUAUUAAUCAGAUCCAAAUUCUCCAUUACAUUGAUAUAUUUUCUGUAUAUAUUUCUCGUAGCAUAGCAAUGAAUUAAAAUGCGACAUGUUGAAUUAUAGGUGUACUCCAGUGAUGAAAACUUUAGGUAGUGGGGUUUUUAAAAAUUGUUUUUGAUAAACAAAAAAUAAUUAUUUCAUGGAUUUGAAAAGUUGUCAGCAAAUGACGGCAACUGCAAAUUUCAGAGAUUCUUUAUUUAUAUUUGUCUACAAUUUGGAUUUUGUUGGCUUCAUUGAGACCCACUAAAUUUGGAUUCUAUUGGGUUCAUUCAUUAUUGAGCCCCACAAUUUGUCUUAUAAACAAUGCAUUUACUUACGGAAUGCGUUUUUUUAAGGAAAAAAUGCCUUUUGAACGCGUUCUCUAAGGAAAAAUGUACAGAGAAAUAAAUAAAUAAGGGUAAUCACACAUCGCAUCUUUUGAGGAAACAAUGCAUUCACUAUGGUAGCAUUUUGAAAAUCUAAAUCAACACUUAAAUUUAAUGGAUUCGGAUCUUAAUAUAUUCAAACGCGUUUAAUAGUCAAAAUUUGAAUAUCUGAAUUAAUUUACUUAUCAUUGAAUGUGAUAUAUACCUAAAUAAAUUAGAUUUAAUAUUUAAUAAUUUAAUAAUCUAAUGGAUUUAGAUUUCAAAUUUCAGAUUUCAGUUUUCAUUAUUUGAGAAGAGAUUUAAAAAACAACAUCUUUUGAAAAUGAUUUUAGAAAAUUCCACAUCUUCAGAAUUUAAUCUGAACAAUAGAGGAUCAUGCCAGCCGAGCAAAUAAAGUCAAUAAUUUUAAAUUCAUGGCAUAGAAUUCUUUUGGCAUUUUCUAUUUGGUGCCCGAAAAAAAACACACUAAAAAGAAAAGUAAAUCUAUUCGGUGCAUUCAUGAUAAAUUUCUUAGAAAAGUAAAUUGCAUGACACCUGGAAUGGGAAGAACAGGAAAGAUAUUCCUUCAAGCCUGGAAAAAAAAACACAUUUGAAAAAGAUUAUUGUCUACCUAACAUUUGGAAUCGAAAGAAAUUACAAAUUUUGUUCAUUUUUAAAAUAUAAAAUUUAUUCUAACAUUUUUUUUUGCUAAAAAAUGCUUUUGAGACCAAAACUUUUACUCCUAAAACUAAAGAUUAUUGUCUACUUUUGUCUUUCCAAUUUCGAUCUCCAUUAUAAAUAAAUAUUAGUAAAUAAAUGUUAAUGAACAACAACAACCAAUCCAAUUGCACAGCCGUGCAGCCGACUCCCGUGAUCUAAAUGAUGCCGUGACUCAGCCAGCCAGUAGCCACCACCUUCUUUCUUCCCCCCCCCCCCCCCCCCCCCCGCGGGGGCGGGUGGUUUUACCUUUUUCAUUGUUUUGCCUAAAUUAUGUUCACUUUUACACGACUUUAAUCUAGGAUAAAAUUUAUAUAGUGCCUAAAUUAUUUUUUACAUGACAAGUUAUAACUAAGCACAAUUUAAAUUUCAAUAUUUGAUUUCACAUACAUGACAUGCAUCUAAUUUUAUCUGUACAUCUAAUUUUAUCUGCAUGUAUAUUAUCGGUGGAUAUAAAAUUUAUCCUUUAAUUCAAUUCUUCAAAAUUCCAAAUCUAAGAGCAAAAUGUUUUGUCAACAAUCUAUAGAUUCUUUUGUUAGUUGGACUGGAUGGUUGACAUUAUUGCCUCUGUAGUGACAAAAGACAGCUGUAGAUUUAAAAAAUUCAAAGGAGGAUACAGAUAUACUUCAGCUUCACAAGCACAUAUGAAUUCUUUUGACAGAGAAUUCAGACUUGCCACUUGCCAGUGCUUGACAAUCUAAAGAAAAAGAAAAGGCCAAGGCCUGCCCCUUACUAAUAAUGUCGACAUGGUUAUUAUACUUUUUAUUUUCUUUCAGUCUACUAAUAUAAGAAUGUAGACUGCUUCAAUAUCUGAACAUAUACUUUACAUUUCGGAAUUGAGAAAAACAGUGAAUACAACUACGUGGGUCCAUCGCUUAUAUUCCCUUGUGAUUUUGGUAUAAUGUAAGAUGACCUUUCUAAAGGUUUCGAAAUAGUAACAUUAACCCCUAUGAUUUUAUGUUAAGUAGAAUAUGAACGGAAUAUAUAAUUGGUUACGAUGUUUAUACGAAACGCGCUCUAAAAGCAUCUGCGAUAAAAUCUUAAUCUACAUGUAAUCCCCUUAUGGUUUAUAUAAAUAUCAAUUUUACCUCUCAGUGAUUUUUAUAUUUAUCUACGUAAUCUUCUUAUAUUUGUAUACAAUAUAGUUAAGCUAUCAAUUAAUUUAAUAUCUAAGCAAGGCCACUAUUGGUAUUUCAAUUCAUGACAUUAUAUAGGCUAUUUUUUAAAAUUAAUUUUUCACUUAACAUAAAAUCACAUUUUAAACCAUUUGAAGAAUCAUAUGAUCAUAGACGAAACACGAAGAGGGUUAUAUGUAAUUUAAUCCAACUACAAUAUAUAUAGUGCAUUUGCAACUUUUCUUUAAGCAAAGUUGGAAAACGAGAGCAUACAAGGUGUAUUUUUUAAGAGUAAAUCUUAUAUACAUUGACAGUGUAUAUACUGUCAUCGUUGGAUUCAUGACAUGUGUGUAAAAGUUUAAUUCAAAUUCAAAUUUUACUUAGUUCUUUAAUAGUGAGAUCUGUUUGAGUAUUUCAAGAAAUUUUUUAAAAAUUCAUUUUAGUGUAUUUCUCAAUUAUCUUUUCAUUUCACAUAUAUUACAUUAUUAUAAUUUUUUUUUUACAUAAAACUUCAAAGAACCCCAACUAAACCAGAUCUUCAAUAUUCUUAUUCAGAAUCAUGCACAUUUUUAACAAUGUAAAAAAUUAUUAUUACUAUAAAAAAUUUCUUUUUGUUCCUAACCAUUUUUCUUGAUUAACCACAUAAGAAAAAAUAAUUAAUUCGUGUCGUCUAUUUUGUCACACAGGGUUUUAGCAUAAGAAUUCCAUUUUGUAAUUUUUUUUAAAAGAAAAAAAAAAGACAAAAAUCUAACAAGUGAAGGAACCCCAAAAAAAAAAAAAUCUCGAUUGGUUGGCUUUUCCGGACUGUACCGUACCAGUUAUUUUACUAGUAGUUAUUUAGUACGGUUACUAUGAAAACUGCUGCCGUUUAUCGGUCCUUCAAAACAAAAAGUAAAAAAACAGAACAAACCAAAAUCCAGAAAAAAAAAAGAGGUAAAAGAAGUCAUCGUCCGUCUUGACCAACAUUUUCACUGACAGUGACAGAUACUUCACCAUUUUCUUCAGCAUUUUCCAGUUUGGUUCCUACGAAAGAGCACUAGGCCAAAAAGCGCCAGAUAUUUACCAAUAAAUUCCAUCUAUACGGAAUAUUUCUUUUUCACUUCAUCACCCUCCUUGCAAUUUCCGAGUCUCCCUGCCCACUUGAUCUUUUACUUCAAGUUAUCUGAAGAUUUGGUAACUGUAAGUCUCUUCGUCUGAUCUAGUUUUGUUUCCUAAAUCUAAAUAUGAUACGCGGUUUGUCUUCUUCCUCGUAGAUUUUUGUGUAUCUAUUGUUUUGUUUAUCUGGGAUUAUGAUGAUAUAGAUGGAUUAAAAAAAUAAACUCUGGUCAAUAAAAGAUAGCCGGCUUUUGCUUGUGAAUAUGGAGUUUAGUUUUGCUGGUGCUUCCCCUUCUGUGGAAGUCUUGAUUGUCAGUGAUCAAUUCAAAAUAUAAUUUUCAUGCUGGAGUUCAUAAAGUUCAUGUCUUUUUGAGUGGACUUGUAAUUACUGGCAAAAUUUUCUUUUAAUUUAAAGGGUUUAUCUGAUAAUUAGCUACUGAUGAAAUUCUUGGGUAGAAGCAAAAGGACAGUAGAAAAAGUUGAAAUAAGGGAGAUUUAAAGACCCCAGCUCAAGUUUGGUUUUAGAAACUCUUCCUAUAUUCUUUGUACAUUUUGAUGAUUUUUCAUCUUGUCAGUUGGGUUGAUUUAGGCAUUGUUGAAUAUGGGAAGAGUUCAAUUGGGUUGUGAAAGUUUGGCAGGAUUGCAUAAAAUGUAAAUGGUGCAGAACUAAGCUAGCAAUAUUUUUGUCACCUCCAACUACUGUUUGGAGACGUUUGGUAUGCUGCUUCCUUAUCUCGGGGAGCGGCUGCUUUAAAGCAUAAUUCAUUAAAAUGAAACUGCACUUUUCUAGUGGUGAAUCUGUUAACCUUUUUUCUUCAUUUUUCUGGAUGGGAACCUCUUUUUGUUUAUUGAAUUUUGUGAAUCAUGGUGACCGUAUUCUGUGUUGAGGUGCUCUGAAAAUCUGGCAAGUGUAAGAUACUGUAACUUAUGCAGGAAAAUAGCUCUGGGAAGGAGAAUUAUUAUACCAUGAUUGUUGGUUGGGAUGAUGUUGUAAAUUGACUUGCACUACAUUAGAGUCAAUCUCGUCCUCUAGUAAAGAAGGGGAAAUGGAUUUCCAGCACAUUUUGCUGCAAAAGCCGUUCUCUCUCUAUGCUAAUGGGAAGUAGUAACCCUAUUGAUUCCAACAGCACGUAUGCCAUGGAACUUAGGUACACCUGGUUUGUUUAAAUAUAUGAUUAUUUACCCAAAAAAAAUGCUUGCAUCAUAAGAACAUUUUUCAAUCAUCUUUUUAUCUUCCCAACUACCUUUUAUCUCACAUAUAUCACAUCAAAGCAAGUGCUUCAAUGUUAUUCCAAAAAAAAUUUUCCAUAUAAUCUCCUAUCCGAACAUACUCCUUGUUAUUAUUGUCGGCCCUGGUAGCUUAUCAUUUCUAUGUUAGAUAAAUAUGGUUCCUAGUCUGGCCUUAUACAUAUGGUUUAAUGUGUUCUUGCCUUUUUGGAGUGAAUGAUGAAAGUAUUAGUGUUCAUUCUGAUUUGUCUUCAGUGGAAUAGGCCCUCACAGUGUAUGUUGUCUUCCUUGCAGUGCACAUUAAUGCAUUUGGUACUCUAAGAUGUUUGACCACGCUGCAAAGUCACAGUACAUCGGUGGACAGCGAGAGAAGUUUGUGAGGUAGCUGUUGGUUUGUAGUUUUGUGCACAUAUGAUUAAGAUUUAUUAUGGCCUGACCAACAGAUCCUGAUUCCUUGCGGUGCUACUACUGUUUGGGCUAUGUGGUUGGAAUCUGCUUCAUUCAUUGUCAUUUAGCAGUAAAAGAUUUUAAAAGUAUGGGUUAUUAAGCUGAACGUUUGCUUAGCUUAAUGGCUAGACUUUGAAAUAACUCUAUUAUGAACCUAUAUGUUUACCUUAGCAUAUUCUCUUCUCCAUCUGCUUCAACUCGAAGAAAUUCUUUUGACUUGUAACAGAUAUGUCCUAAUUAAAUUUUUUUGAUUUGCCUAGUUUGCCUUGGAGAGGUCCUUCUUUGAUUUUCAGAAUCUGGUCUUUAUUUGCAAUGUGAUGGGUACCAUUAAGGAAAUUCUUCUUCCCAUCUUUCUUUUAUAGCUUGUAGCAUUGGAGAUUGAGUUAUUCAAUGAUUGUUCUCUUUCUUUACUCUGAUCUAAAACUGAAUUGUUUUUUUUUUUGGGUGUUUAGAUUGGAUGACUUGGACUCAACACUGUCAUCGCCAUCUGCUUCAGUGGCUACAAAUAAAUGUGGCUUUGGCAUUGAAGGCAUAGGGCGAGUUGGUUCUUCAACUACGACUACAUCCAAAUCGUUUAAGAGAGGAAUGAAAAAAGGAUCUGAAGGGCUUAAAUCAAUUGGUAGAUCCUUUGGAUUUGGUGUUUCGCGGGCUGUGUUUCCAGAAGAUCUAAAAGUUUCAGAGAAGAAAAUAUUUGAUCCUCAAGCCAAGUUCCUUCUUCGGUGGAAUAGAUUUUUUGUCAUAUCAUGUAUUCUAGCGGUGUCUGUGGAUCCAAUUUUUUUCUACCUUCCAGUUUUUGAUAAUAAAGCAAACUGCCUGGGCAUCCAUCGAUCAUUAGCUAUCAUAGCUACUACGUUGCGUACGGUCAUUGAUGCUUUCUAUCUAAUUCAUAUGGCUCUUCAGUUUCGAACAGCAUUUAUCGCACCAUCAUCUCGAGUUUUUGGGCGAGGAGAACUUGUAAUAGAUCCAGCUCAAAUUGCCAAGCGAUAUGUGUGGUCCUACUUUAUAAUUGAUUUUCUUUCAGUGCUUCCGCUACCUCAGGUUUGGAGAAAUUUUUAGUUUGGACAACGUUGUUUUGAGUGCUAGCUUUAUCCUCUUUUUCGAUUUUUGGGAAUGAGAAUCUUAUAAUCUUCAAAUGUUGUGCACUAACUGGUAAAAGUUUAUCAAAUUCACACAAUAUAAAAUUUUCUUGUUGCUUUUCUCCAUUCAAAUUUUUUCUCUCAUAAGAUUCUCCUUCGUUUAGUUGUUAGAUUUCUUUGUGAAAGCAAAGAAAGAGCUUAUUCCUGUUUGUGAACAAUUCUCUUUUCAGGAGUCAAGAAUUGACUGCUUUUAUAGUUAAGGAUAUGUGUAUCCAUUGUGUUAUACAAUUGCUAAUUAUUUUUAGCACCAUCUCACAUUUCUCUACCUUUCCAGUUUUUGCUUUAAAAAUAUCAGUUCUUCAUUGCUCCCUUGCUCUCUCUCUUUGUGGGUUAGCACACUGAAAAUCAGCACCCGAGUGACACUACAUUCCUUCUUUCAGCUGGUAAAUCUGCUCGAAACACUAAAAAAGUAAUUCUAUUUAAAAAUUAUUCUUGAGUUCUGCUAAGUGCAUACAUGUUUUGGUAAUAAGCAUUCAUAUGUAUGCAAACUUGGUUUUCACUAUCUUCUUGUUCUUUGUGGUUGGUAUCUUUCUUUGGUUGAUGCUACACAUUUUCCUUAUUUUAUUCUAUUUCUAUUUAUGUUGGACUGCAUGUAUACUCUUUCAGGCUGCUUUCUUUGGGGUAUUGCUUCCAGAUUGUGGUUAUGUGAAUGUUUUGAGAACUAAACUUUUAACCCGAAUAAUAGUUUUAGAUUGGUCUAAACAAUUUUUGUGCACCAAAGUGUGCUUUUUUAAUAUGGAAUAUGAAUCUCUUUCAGCUAUGUCAUUAGACUUCUUGUUGUGAGCUGAUUGAAAUUGAGUAGUAGUAAAUGUCAGAAAAUGGAAAACUUUUUCACUUCCUCUUUAACAUUACUGUUUUGCAUCUUUGCAGAUUGUUGUGUGGAGAUUUCUCCAGAAAUCCGAAGGUUCAGAUGUCUACACUACAAAACAAGCAUUGCUUGUUAUUAUUAUUCUUCAGUAUAUUCCGAGGUUUAUCCGGGUUUUACCCCUCACUUCAGAGCUGAAACGUACAGCUGGUGUCUUUGCUCAAACUGCCUGGGCUGGUGCUGUAUAUUAUUUGUUGUUAUACAUGCUAGCCAGUCACGUAUGUCUUUGCAGUGUGAUAUAUUUUCAGUCUCAUAAUUUUUCACGUUUCAAAUACUGAAAUUGUAAUAAUUAGCCAUAUUGGCCCUUAGAAAAAUAACAGUAUCCUUUUUUUUUCCACUGGAUUGGCUUUGCAGAUAGUUGGGGCACUCUGGUACUUGUUAUCUGUAGAACGCAAUGACUACUGCUGGCAGAAAGCAUGCAAAACUACUAGACUUGGAAAAUGCGAAACUAAUUUCUUGUACUGCGGCAAUCAGAAUAUGAAAGAUUUUAAUUCUUGGAGCGGUAUCAGCGAAUCAGUGCUAAAUGCAUCUUGUGGAGUGGGUGUUGAAAAUCCACCAUUUGAUUUUGGAAUUUUUGAGCAGGCGUUGUCAUCGGGCAUUGUCUAUUCAAAGAAAUUCAUAUCUAAAUACUGUUACUGCCUUUGGUGGGGGCUACAGAAUUUGAGGUGAAUGAGCAAUCAUGCUUCAAUUGAAUCAAUAUUAUAUGAGUUUCUCUUUUUUUUUUCUAUGCAUGCUCUUCAUUAACAGUACAUGAAGAUUUGUGCCUGGUCUUUCCUUCACUGUACUUGCUGAUUAUAGACCUUUUUUUUUUCAGCUAAAAGCUGUUUUGAGAUGUUCCUUCUUCUUUCCACUUAUACUUUUAAGCUACUUAUGAACCCAAGACAUGCAUUAGAUAUUAAAUUACUCACUUUUCCAUAAUAAAUUCUACAAUAGCAAAACCAAAUGGGAGCAGGCCCUAAUAUAUUUCAGUUGUUUUCUGCUAAAAUUACUAUUUCUCUGUGUUGGAGAAUGCUAAAAUUUGAAGUUUCUGCAUCUGGGUUCUGAAACAAGGCUGUUUAUGAAUUCAAUUAGAGAGUAAUAUAAAACUCUCCUGUAGAUUUUAAACCUUUUUAUUGUCUAAGUAAUUGGCUCCUUAAAUCUGACUUUUUGGAGUAGCUGAUGUAAUCCUUAAUCUGGUAAUACAGUUUCAAAAACAAUCUGCUUCAUUAUCUGUGGUGAUAGUGCCCUAUAAUGCCUAUUCUUCCUGUCAAAGCUUUGGUUGGCUGGAGUCAAAUAGGGUAAUAGAAUUUUUAUUUUUGCAUUCUUGGGCAUUUUCGAUUUCCCUUAUUUUACAUGCUUUGAUUUCCCUUCUUGUUAGUGUCUUUGGGUCUUGGAGCACAAUGUGGGGAUGCUUUCUAGUCUGAGGUUAAAUUGCUAGAGAUUUGUUCUAUACUGGGUCCUAGGUCUAGUUAUGUGUAGCUUAAACACUCUGAAGUUGUCUAUUUGAAGCAUACUUCUUUCAGAAGAUCCACAUUUAGAUGGAUUUGGUGGAGAAUGACUAAAGGAGUGGAAUAUGCUUUUGUCUUUUCUGUAUCAGUAAGAAACCGCUUAAGAGAUAUAUGUUGAAGUUGAGUUCCUGGACUGCCAACCUUUUAGUUUUUCAUGAUCACUGGUGAAUAAGCUUAAGAAGUUUAAAAAUAACAGAGAGGGAGAGAGGUAGAGGUAGAGAGAGAGAUGCUUUAACUUGUUGAUCUCAAAAUUUGUGCAUAGAUCAUUAAGAAUGUCUUAGACUCUUCUACAAUCCUGCUUUUUGUUAUUUUUGUGUAUCUACCUUGUUUUUAUCGCAAUUAAUGAGCAGUUUGAAACAUUUUUCUGAGCCAAUUUCACACCAUGCAGCACACUUGGCCAGGGGCUUCAAACAAGUACAUAUCCUGGAGAGUCUCUGUUCUCUAUUGCACUUGCAAUAUUUGGCCUUAUUCUCUUUGCACUCUUAAUUGGCAACAUGCAGGUAAACUACAAACAUUGACCAGAGGAUGUACAUAUACGUUUGCUGCCUUCUUUACUUGAUGUUUGCUACAUGUUAUUGUACUUCAUUUUUGUGAUUAAUAUGGGUUUGGGUUCAUAUUUUUUAGCUUUUUGGAUGUGGAGAAUAAGUUGACUUGGAUCUUGCAGUAUUUAAAUGCAGCAUCAAGUUUUAUGCACAAAUUCUCCUAUGAACUUUGGUCUGAUAUUUCUUGUGCUUGUUGCAAGCAUCCCCUGCAUUAUUAAAAAAAAAGUUGCAUCCUCUGCUUGAUCAUGUUUUAGGAAAACACAUAUUGAUGUGGAUAGUGUUGCCACUACCAAAUCCCUAGAUAGUGUCAACUUCUUAGGUAAAUUUCCAAAUUACUAUGUUCCAAAAUUUGAUAUCCUAUUAUUCCUGUAUUUAAUAACAAAUUAUUUCCAUAAAAGCCCUUAGUGGUAUAAAAACCAUUGUACCAGAAUGGCAGAAGUAUUUGUAAAAGGGUUUUUUGGAGCCUUUUUAUGGUCAAGAGAAACUUAGCAUAUAAAUCUCUAGGAAUAGGGAAGUACUAAUCUAAUAUGUGGUGUAUUAGUGCUUCUUUGUUGAUACUGAUUUUUGUGAUAAUAUAGUUAGGAAAUAAGUUUCAACACUUUGAUUAUGGAACUAAAAUUUCCAUAAAUUACUCCAAUCUCACUAUAAGUAUUUAUGGUAACAGAUGACUUGCAUGCUAUUGCUACUGUUCAUCAUUUCAGCAUUUAGUGUUAUUGUUUUUCCCAGCCAUAUUUUGCACUUGUAGAUCUUUAAUCCUUCUGUGUAUCAGUGACAGAGGCAUAUGGUUCGUUCCUGAUUUAAGGGAGUGUUUUAUUAGUAAAAUUGAUCUAAAUUUUCAGCGAGUACAUCCUUUCUUGUAUGAACCUAUUUAAUGAAUUUCAAACGGUAGCGUAUGAGUUGUACCAGGAUUUUAGGAGUCCUUACCAAUUAUCUUUGAAUAAUUUGGUACAAGAUGAAUAUGUCAUGUUUGUUACCAUCCACAUGGAAGCUUACUCAUAUUUGUCGAAACUGAGGUUAGAAAAGGUCUCCACUAACUAUUUUUAUAGGUCACUUCUUCGAAGUUGUUAAGCUGAAAGUACUUCACAUUGUUUAGUGCAUUAUCAUUUUUUUCCCCACUCCCUUUUUUCGCAACUGAAGCCAGAUUGUUAUCUACCUACUUGAUGGCGUGUUUUGGGUAAAUUCAUUCAUCAAUAUGCCUUUGCUUGGGUAUAUAAUGCUGAGUAACGUCUUGCUGACAAUUUUAUAUGAGAUCUAUUUGGUUUUGACAUGUUGUAUGGGGACAUAGCGAGUUUAGAUCUGAAGUUUUGACAUCCAGGUGCUUUCUUUGUAUUUUGUUGUGUUUGGUGUGGGUUUAAAAUGCUAAAUGCCUGGUUAAUAUUCUCAUUAAGAUUUUGUUGUCAAUCCUGGCAAAGAAUGGGGAUGUUAAGGUCAGAAGGUAACUCUUGUAACAUCUGAAGAGCAUUGAGUAGAAAAGAUGAGUUGUUAGGAUGUCUUGUAUCAGAUUGAACUAGCUUUGUGAUGAACUGAAGCUACAAAAGUUAAUACUUUUUUAAGUUAAAUUGAUGGUAGGAUGUUGUCGUGAUGCUAUGUUUGGUAGGUUUGUCUUCCUCAGUUGCUUGUACAGAUCUUACUACAAGAAGGUUUAACAUAGGCAAAGAAGAACGAAGAGAAACUUUCAAUGAGUUUUUAUCAAGACAGACUUAACAUCACAUCAAUUAACUCUUAUGUCACUUUUCAACACGAAACAUGAAACGAUCAUACAGGAGAGCAGAAGACUUGGGAGAAUUUGAGAAGUAAAGCGGAGCUAAUUAUUUAAAGACGUUUUGGUACUCUUUUCGCCACUACCUUUUGUUGACUUGUAAAUGCAGUACUUAAGUAACUUGACCUAGAGAUGACCUGUGAAAAAUUUCACUAACCACUAUGGUCCUGAGAUCUCUAACACCUAAUGAUGUCAUGAAUAUCAGUAUAUGGCCAACAAGGUACUUAUCUGAAAGUCAUGAAGGACAUGAUAUUUUUAAACAAAAACUACUUUUAUGAGAGGUGAUGUUAGACUUCCUAAGUGGUUGAGACUUCUCAAAUAAUGAAAUAGCAACUGCAUCAUAUCCUGAUGGCUAACUUAAUUUUUAGAGUUGAUUACAUUUACCUCCCAUGUGGUUUGACCAAACUACCAAGCCAACCCUGUGGUUUCGCUAAAUUACAGUCACCCCCUUAUGAGGUUCAAAGCCAACUAAUGCAAGUAGGGAAAUGACAGAACUGCCCUUUGCAAAAAUUACAUUUGCCUCCCUCAAAGUGUGUCCAAAUUACAAAAAAGGACACCUAUAGUUUGACCUGAGUGCAAUUUGACUUUUGAAUAGCUAACUAUAUAAGAAAAUCUCUUAUUGUGAUCCAAGAAAAAAUCAAACCCAAAUUAAAGUAAAACAAUAUUACAUUACUGAAAAUGAAAAUAAAAAGUUGAGAAAACUUGUGCCUACGACUUAUUUCAGCCACUACAAAACUCUCCAACACUUUUCUUGCACAACAAUUAUCCAAUUUAUUUAAACAUACAAUUUGGUGUAUAAUAAUAAAUUUUAACUACAGUAUAUGGUUUUUUAUCCAUAAAAUGAAUUUUAUUUUUAUCCUUAAUUCUAUAUAAGUGUUUUAUUUUGGACUUUUACUGCUGAUUUUUAAAUUUAUGUCUUUGUAUAGAAACCCUAAAAUUAAAUGCAUAUAGGCACAUUUACAAUAAAUAUUUUAUUUUUCUUUUUUUGGAAAACAGAGUUUAAUUAUUUGCAUAUUGACAUGGAUAAGGUUUUCAAUAUAAAAAAUGUAAUAGUGGUGGCUAAAGAAAUUAUAUCAGUGAUCAAAUUAGUAUUCACUGUGUUGCCAUGUGACUAGAAUUUUGGUUAUGCUAACUGUAACUUGGAGCAAAAGAUGAUCGAAAAAAUUAAAUAUUUGUAAUUAUUGGGAAUAUUAAGGUUUUCAUCAAAACUUUUGUUGCACUUGAUGUUGACAAGUGAAAACGUAUAUUGAGUAAAUGAUUGACUAUGUAAAGCAUUGGACUAAUAUGGACGAAGUAUGGGGUUUAUUUUUUUCAUUUGGACAAACCUCAAGGAAAGUAAAUGUAAUUUGGAUAAAUCUGAGGGGAGGUAAUUGUAAUCAACACAAUUUGCAGAAGGGUAUGUUGGGGCUUUUAGACAUAUAUUUUGCUGAUGCAAGCAGGAUUUUUAAUGUUAGUUAACAUGAGGGGGGCAUUUGAUAAAUGUUUUGGCAUUCAAGGGGUUUGACUGUAACUUGGUUAAAUCAUGGGGUUAGUUUAGUAAUUUGGUCAAAUCACAGGGGUGGUAAAUGUAAUUAACUCUUAAUUUUUAUGGUGAAUUUGGUCAGUUUUGUGGAAUGCAAACACUUUAGAAAUUAGGUCUUUGUAGCAACGGAUGAGUUUUAAGAGUUAGCUGUUUACAUGGUAAUUAUUUUGUUUUGGGUUUACAACAUUCACCUAUUUAUAUUGCUUGAUAAUGAUACUGCAAAUAUACCGUCAGAAUUUGUGAGAGAUUAGUAGACUCACAAUUUUUGUAGAAGGCGAGUAUUCCCCACUUCAUGGCACCAUGUAUGACAAUAUGUAGCAUGGAUUUCCAGCUUAGCACCAUAAACAAUACGGCAGCUGGGUCUAUUUGUCACAAUACUCUUGAAUAUCUGUCUCUCUUGGAAUCUCUCUAUGCUAUACACCUAACAACACCUCCAUUUUCUCAUGCUGCCAAGCCCAGAGCAAUGGUCUUCCAUGCUGAAUGGUUCUCAUUGCUGGCUCUGGCAAUGAGGAUGACCUAGUGAAUGGCAUUCUUGGUAAUUAAUAACAUACAUUGCUGUAACACUGGGAUUGAUUUGAUGCAUCAUGAUUGAUAAACAUCCACUCCAUAAACAAUACGGCAGCUGGGUCUAUUUGUCACAAUACUCUUGAAUAUCUGUCUCUCUUGGAAUCUCUCUAUGCUAUACACCUAACAACACCUCCAUUUUCUCAUGCUGCCAAGCCCAGAGCAAUGGUCUUCCAUGCUGAAUGGUUCUCAUUGCUGGCUCUGGCAAUGAGGAUGACCUAGUGAAUGGCAUUCUUGGUAAUUAAUAACAUACAUUGCUGUAACACUGGGAUUGAUUUGAUGCAUCAUGAUUGAUAAACAUCCACUCCUUGAAUGAGAGAGAUUCUAAGGAGCUUCAUAGUUUUAGAAUAAAAAAAGAUUCAAGAACUUGCAGUUAGAAGACAACAGCUGCUCAGAAUUUUGAAAGCGGCUAGAGAUUCAGCAAAAGAGCCUAUGAAAUUCUUUCAGAAUAAAAAAGAUCCAAGAACUUGCAGUUUUCUCAGUGAAGAGACACCAAUUACAUAAUUGACUUAAGGGUGGCACUGUAGGGUUUCAGAUAUUAAUAUCAGCAACUUGUCUCUUACCUCAGUUUAUCUCUUCACAUUUUUUUUAUGAAUUUUUUUCCUUAAUUUCGUUGUUUUCUUGUUAAUACUAGUUUCUUGGUCAUUUUAUUAAGAUUACUCACAAUUUACCUUCUAGGCUUAACCUGCCCCUCUUCGCUCAGCCCCCCUCCAAAAGGGCCUAAAGUUUGUUGAAAAAGUGUCACAUCUUUUAAGAAUAUAAGAUAUGUGUUGGGCAAAUAUUAGGCAUACUGAUGGAUGAACUCUAUAUGCUUCUAUCUUGUAAUCAGAGAGAUAAUUCAUUGAGAAGCAAGUGCAAACUACAGAUUGGCUAUCUGUCAGUCCUAAUAAUAUUGCUUCAUGCUAUCACAGACCUAUCUCCAGUCUCUUACCAUCCGACUUGAAGAGAUGAGAGUUAAAAGGCGUGACUCAGAGCAAUGGAUGCAUCAUCGCUUACUUCCACAAGAUCUGCGCGAAAGAGUUAGACGAUACGAUCAAUACAAAUGGUUAGAAACACGUGGGGUGGAUGAAGAGAGUUUGGUACAGAGUCUGCCAAAAGAUCUCAGAAGAGACAUAAAGCGCCAUCUUUGUCUGGCUUUGGUGAAGAGGGUAAGUUGCUAUGUUUGCUCGAAUGUUUUGAUUGCUAGGCUACCAAUUAAUUUGUUUUCCCUGUGGCAGGUUUUCCAAGCUUUGUUACUCACAGAUCCUUAGCAUGUUUCAGAAAUAUUUUCCCUUGUUUCUGUAGAUUAAGAUUUACUUCAAAGAUUACAUGAGGUUUCUUUAAUUCAGACAACACUGUAGUAGAUACUAGUAAGAGAAAUAAAUGGGCUACUCAUUUGGGAAGGAAGAAUCAGAUGAGAUUUUUUGAUAUGUGUUUAUGCAACCUUUUUACCCCAGAGGGAAAGAGGAAUAAUCUUUUAUAAAUGAUUUUUGUAAAGUCCUAUUCGAUGCAUGUCAAAGUCAGUGUAUUUAAGUAGACACACACACACACACACACAUACAGCGACGCAGCCAGACACACUCAGACAUGUAUUAGCCACAUGUUUGAUGCUUUUGCCAUCUUGCUAGGUACAUUUUGCAUGAUAUCACCUGAGAAAAUUGUAGUGAUUUAGUGUUUUUCUUAGUUAUCUUCAGAUUUAAUGUCAUUAAAACAUUUCUUCAAAGUAGCAUAUUGGUGGGGGAGUUGGCGAGGAGGUUGUAAAAGAUUAUUUUGUGAUCAUAGCGAACACAUCUUCCUAGCUGCUGCUUUCAGCCUUAAUUUAAUCUUCUGGAUCUUAUAAAAUAUUUGGUUUUGCUUUCUCCAAAAUGGAUGCUGAGGUUGCUGUUUGCUCAAACGUUUUGUUAACUGUUCCCCAGGUUCCUCUCUUUGAGAAUAUGGAUGAGAGAUUGCUUGAUGCUAUUUGUGAGAGGCUGAAGCCCUGCUUGUACACUGAGAAUACUUAUAUUGUUCGAGAGGGAGAUCCAGUCGAUGAAAUGCUUUUUAUCAUACGUGGUCGCCUUGAGAGCGUGACAACUGAUGGUGGAAGAAGUGGAUUUUUCAACCGUAGUUUGUUAAAAGAAGGGGACUUUUGUGGAGAGGAGCUUCUGACAUGGGCACUGGACCCAAAAUCUGGUUCCAACCUGCCAUCUUCCACCCGGACAGUGAAGGCCUUGAUGGAAGUGGAGGCUUUUGCUCUGACGGCUGAUGAGUUGAAAUUUGUAGCUGGUCAAUUUAGGAGGCUUCACUCUAGACAAGUUCAACACACAUUUCGAUUUUACUCACAGCAAUGGAGGACUUGGGCUGCGUGUUUUAUUCAAGCAGCUUGGCGCCGCUACUGCAAAAGGAAGCUUAUGGAACUUAGAAGAAAGGAAGAAGAAGAAGAAGAAGCAGCAGCGGCAGCAGCAGCUGGGGGCAGCAAUAACGCCGGCGGAGGUUCAUAUAGCCUCGGCGCAACCUUUUUGGCAUCUAGAUUCGCAGCUAAUGCACUUCGUGGUGUCCAUCGGAACAGGAACCUGAGGAGUGCAAGGGAGUUGAUGAAAUUACAGAAGCCACCAGAACCUGAUUUCACUGCUGAUGCAGAUUAAGUUGUUAGUCUGACUGACUCAAUUGGUUAUUACCUCAGGUCCUAAGUACUGACCUUGCAAGCUCGUAAGGGCUAAACAUUGUAUAAUAUGCAAAUAUCACAGGAGUGUUACCGUUAUUGGAACUCCCAACUUAUUUUGUAUUUAGAUAUGCUUGAAGUGACACUAUUUUCAUCUUACCUGUCUUCUUCUAGAGCUUUGAGAAAGCAGAAGUAAUGUGCAUUUUGGGCUUCUUUCUUUUCUUUUCUGACAUUUUUAUAGCUUUAUUAGUGAAAAUGGUGUGAGCAAGACAUGCCUUCCUUUUAAAGUAAAAAAGUUCAAAAAAAGUGUGCUUUACCCUUGGUUCCCGGCUAAAAGCAGCACGGUCUUUUUCAUUGGUAUCUCUACAUUAAGCAGUAAGCACUACUUGAUUUUGAGCCAAUUGAAAGGUUCUACUUGACAAUCAAGUCCAUAGGUUACCUGGGAAUCUGCAAAAUCCAGUGGACCAUUGUUAAACGCUGGCUGCGUUUGGAUAGAAAAUUACUUGGUUAUUAAAGACAUUGAGAGUACAAUUGACAUCCUGCCAAUGUUAUGAAGUUUUUUAAGUGGGUCUUCUGUCCAGAGGUUUUUAAGUGUAUAGGCCGUGCACCCACCACACCCCACAUGUAAUGUAGCCUCAAAUAAUCAAAUAAUCCUUGGGGUCACAUACAGCUAAUCUUUUUUUUUUCCGGGGAACGGAAGUAAACACACAUAAUUAGAACAAACACAGGAGUUAACGGAUAAACCAGCCCGAAAGCAAUUUAAGAGGAAUCCACAAAGAAACCACGUUCGGCCAAUUGGUGACAGAACGAGGCCCUUAUGGACCUUAAAUUCAGAGUAAAGACCCCACGAUCUUCCGAUAUGGGAUGGUGACCCAACCCCACGCGCGCACACCCUCACCAUAUAAUGGUUUGACAUACAGCUGAUCCAUCUGCCAAAAUAAAUGCAAUCUGUGCCUUAAUGUCCUGGUCAAAACAUACAAAUAAAUGCGCAAUCUUUAAACUCAGUAGAUGGUUCCAAGAGGUAAAUCUUCAACCAGGGAAUUAAACUCUUGGGAUGGGACCUUGGAAGUUCAGUAGAUGGUUCCAAGAGGCAAUCUUCAAUCGGGUGAUUUAAUUCUGUAUGUUACUCUUGAGACCUUGACGUUUGGACAGAGUGCAGAAUCAAUAAAUUUUUUCUCAAAUUGCUUUCUCUAUUCCCUCCCAUGUUCAAGCUUAAUUCAGAUGGUUCUGUUAAGUACGUAUAUUCGUGUUAAAUAUGGGUUAUCCAAGAAAUCAUAGGUUGCACUGAGAGACAGACGGACAGAAUUGUGUCCUAUUUCAUUUGUCUUGUAGAAACCAAUACAACUGUUGUUCCCUCUGAUCCAGCAAAAUCAAUCAAAACUCCCUGGAUAUGCACCAAAACUUUACACACACACACACACACAUAUAUAUAUAUAGGUAUCCGAUGACUACUUUGGAAUGGUUACCUUAAGUAAGAGGAGGCAAACAGGCGUGCAUAUGAAUGAAACAAUGGGCGAAUCAUGCCUUCACUAUUUCUGCUGCGUUUUGCAGGAAGAACAUGAAACAUGAAGAGUCUCCAGUCUUCACCCACAAAUACGUCGAGACUCGAGAGGGAGAGGCGGAUGCUUGCUACACUAUUUUUAUUGUUCUUCUUCAUUUGAACCGAUAUAUAAAACUGUUUCUUGCACCCAAAUCAAAUCUCCAUGAACCAUUUUAAAGUCCAUGAGUUAUACAAACUACUAGACAUCUGGACAAUCAGCUGCUUCAUCUAGAACACCGACAAUCAGCUGUUUCAUCUAGAACACCGCAGGUAGAUAGUAGAUGAAGAACACCAACGAUCAGUUGUUUCAUCUAGAACAGCGCAGGUAGAUGGUAGAUGAUAUUGUGACUAGUUCCAGUCUCAAGCGCAAGAACUUGUGUAAGAAUGAGGGAUAUGUUAGAUUUCAAAUACUAUUUGUUGAUGGAUACUCCAAAUCUGCUACUUAUUAGCAUUCUGGAAGGAAAAGAAUUCCAAAAAAAGUUAAACCAAAAAAUUCAGGAAUUAUAUAUUACAUCGGGAAAUGUAUACAAUAUUUAGUUGCAAUUAGAAAUCAACAAAGUAAUCCAUGUUUAGAAAUAAGCUGGAGAAAGGAAACCAUAUCACUAAAAAGGGACUGCCAACUUGAUAGAAGAAAUAUUUUGGAGAACAAAAACAACUUUAGAUUGUUAGAGGCAAGCAACAAGACUUUCUUAAGUUGAAUAUUAUCCAGACGGGAAUAAGAAUUAACGAUGUCAAAUAUGGCCAAUUCAAUCUGGUCUCUAAGAUUCAGGUUUCUUGUAGCUGUGUAAAAACAUAAUUAGACAGACACUUGAUUGUGAUGUCUAUAUCAUACUCAAUUGUGAUUGAGUUAUUUGAGUGCUCUAUGAUCAUGAUUCUUUAUCGGUCAAAAAAUGGUUGGAAGGGUUUGAUUGCAGUCACCACCAUGAAUGAAUUAGGUAUGUUUUGAGAUCAUAAGUCAUUUAGAGGGAUUCGUAGAUUUCUCAUUAACACAAUUCUUACCUUCACAACAAGAUUCAAGCAAACGACUUUUUUGUGAAUAAGUGAUCCGUCCUUAUUAACAAAAUCAACUGAUUAUGGUUUGCUACUUCCUCCAUUCCAAUAUUAGAGUCAUUUUUUGAGAAUCUAACUUUUUUAUAGAGAUAUAUUAAUCAUUAUGUUUAGAUUACAUGGCAUUAGUGAAUUUACAUAUUUAUCCUUCGAAUUCAAAAUAUUUCCUUGUUAAAUAUGUAUUAGAAUUUUAAAAAUUGCAUUUUCAAAUGACAAGAUUGUAAAGUAUGUGUUAAAUUUGAAAUGGUGACUUUUAUUUUGAGACAUAAAUAAAGCGAAAACAUGAUAUUAACAAUGGGAUAAACGGAAUAUAUUGUAAAGUGAUUUUGAAUCCACACAGUUAGGUCCAAAUCUUUAAUGCACUUUAGAUUAUAUGAUCAAGGGCGAGGAAGUUUUGCAGCACGAAACAUAGAAGGAAAAGAAACCAAUAUAACCCUGUACAUUGUAUAUUUGUAUCUUAAUUUUUUUAAACUUUAUUAUUGAAUUAAUCAGAGGACAGGAAGGAGUAUAGUUUCUAAUUUGUAUUCCAAGUCCACACUUAAAAUGUUAUCAAACAUGAGCAAUGUACUUCGAUUAGAUUAUUGGUCAUUAAAUAUAAUUAAGUUAUUAAAUGGACUAUUAAAUUCUUUUGUUAAAUAAUAAGAUACUAGACAGGCAAAUUAAUCGGCAUAGUGAUGAAGAGUUUUUCGCCUUUUAACUUCUUCAAUAAAUUAUUGAAUGAGAAUAUUCUCCCGGAGACGUACAAUUAAUUUUAUUGAAAAAACUAAAAAAGUCUUUUACAUAAUUUGUUGAAUGAGAAGAUUGAUAUUAAUACAACACUUUUAAUCAAUUAAAUUUUCCUGUCAAACUAGUAUGCAAAAGUGACAACUGCCCCACACGGUAACACUAUGCAUUAAGAGUAUACGUACAACAAAUAAGUCAAUUUAUCGAAAUAGGCAGUAUCUCGCCGGAAAUUUCUCUAGAAACUUUUCUUGCACCAAUAGAAAAGAAAACUAAAAUCAGACGAGCAAAAAGGAUGGUCAAACCCAAAAUGACCGGUAUUGAGGUCACGGCAACAUUCUAUAAUUAAUGAUUUGAAACUCAAACCAAAAAGUAAUCGUGGUAGCAUUUGCUAGCUUACAGUUCAAAACCAACCUGAUGAUUCAGUCUUUUAAUGAAGUAUAAACCAUUUUCCUAGACAUUCCUGAUCUUUCUUUCUUAGUCGAUCUUCACAGAUGAGUAGAUGAGCCUUGUGAACCAGAAACAGGCAUAGAAGCCAAUUGUACCAGUCAGUACGAAGAAGGCAUACGAGGCAAUCAGCAUGUACCCAAAGUACAAUAUACCGGACACUGGCUUCGUGAUUUCCAGCUUUGUGAAGAAGUAGAAUGCUGCAUAUAGGAAUAGAUAGAGAGCUGAUGACCCUGAAGUGAGGUACGAUCUCCACCACCAUAGAUAAUCCUCACUACACAGCUGGAAAUAGCAGAGCACGAUUGUGAUCUCAGCACAGGUGACAAUUAGAAUGACGAAUACGAGGAAGAGAAAGCCAAAAAUGUAGUAAAAUUGAUGCAACCAGAUUGAGGUGAGGAUGAAAAAAAGCUCAAUGAAUACGGCACCAAAUGGAAGUAUGCCUCCAAUCAAGACGGAGAAGACCGGGUUCAUGUACCAAGCCUGCUCCGGAAUUUGCCUUGGGAUCUUGUUUGUCUUCACUGGAUCCUCAAUAGCUGGUUUCUUAAACCCUACAUAACUACCCACAAAGACGAGUGGGACUGAGAUGCCAAACCACAAUACUACUAAAGCAAACAUGGUUCCAAACGGCACCGCCCCAGAGGACUUCUCGCCCCAAAUUAAAGCAUUCAACACAAAGAAAAUGACGAAGACAAUUCCAGGGAACAUGAAUGAGGUACGAAGAGCAACUCUCUUCCACUCUGUCCCUUUGAACAUCUUGUAAAGACGGGUAGAUGCAUAUCCAGCAAAGAUGCCCAUGAAGACCCAGAGAAGAAGCAUAGCUGUCAUCAAGCCUCCCCGGUUUGAAGGGGAGAGGAACCCAAGUAAGGCAAAAAUCAUGGUAACUAAUGUCAUUCCAAAGAACUGAACACCUGUCCCCACAUAAACGCAAAGCAUAUCCGAGUUCGUGGGAGGUCUGAAAACAUCCCCAUGAACCAGCUUCCACCCAGUCUCUUCCUGAGCUUCUUCCUGGGUCUCCAAUUGGUUGUACUUUGAAAUGUCACGGUACAGUGUCCGCAACAUAAUCAUGGCAACCAUGCCAGAUAGGAAAAGAACAAUCAUCAAAGAAUUAACUAUAGAGAACCAAUGAAUUUGAUCAUCAGCCAUCAGAAGAUAAGUAUCCCACCUAGAUGCCCACUUAACAUCACUCUCCUGCAAAUUCAUCAAAUAAAGAAAUAUAAUUAACAGCUAAAUUCAAGAUUGAACAACUAAAAUUUCACAUAGUAACUAAUCCACCUGAAACUCGACAUCAUAUGUGAAAAUGAUUUCCUUCUUAUCAUCAACCUCUUGAGGAGGGUCUGCACUAGUUACAGUACGUUUUGCAUGGGGAUCACAAGUUGAUAAUCGAACAUUAUCGUUCCAUCCACCAUCAUAGUCAUGUUUCACACUGAUCAACAAAGAAUAACCAACAUUAUGACAUGCAAUGCAUUAACUUCCCAUCAAAAUUUGAUCCUGAUUAUAAUACAAUACCUAAAAGGUCUAACUUCAAAUCCUACAAUCCUUGCAGCAUCACUUUGUGCAUCCUUGUGAUACUUUACUGUGAAUGAUAAAUGGUUGUUGAUAAAUUGCUUUUCCUCUUUGCUCUGUCACGAAUUAGAGAAGAUGAAGCAAAAGGUUAAAAUCUCCAUUCACUCCACAACUUCAUACGUUGCAAGCAAACAACUUAAACAAUGAAAGCAAACUGGAACUGUCUUACUCCAGCAUAUAAUCCUUUAAGACCAACAUAAAAACCAUGUUGAUAGACUAUAGGGUCUUGUUCGGUCCUCUUUAUGGGCUGAACAAGAGGUAGAUUAUCUAAUAUCCUGUACAAUGCAGCAGAAUGUAAGAAAUGAAUCACAUUUUGUGAGGAUAACAAAUUUCAUAGAGAACCGGAAAGAAAGAGAAAUUAAGGGAAAGAAAGACAGUAUUGAAAAACUUGUCUCACAUGUUCACCCGAUACUCAUCAUCAAUCUUCUCCUUGAAUUCUUUUGCAGUUUUUGCAUUAAGUACAAUACGACAUACAAUAUUGCACAUUUGUGGCUCCCGCAUACGGAACUACAAAAAACAUUUACAGAUCAGUUUUAGGAUACAGGAAGUACAUGAUAAUACAAAAUUGAGAAAUGCCAAAGGUGGAUUAUGAGCACAAAAACUAACCACAUAAGGGGAGUUUUCAAUACGAUCACCACGAAGUACUUCUCCAAGAUUCUCUGCACUGUCCACAAUGGUUUUUGGAGCACAAUAUGGAAUGGAAUAGAAAGAAUAAGGAAGUUGUGUCUUUGUGGAUGUCAACUUGUUCACUUUGACUUUCAACUCAUCUCCCUGAAACCAGAAGAGAAAAAAAAUUAGCAAAUCAAUUAUCAAAGAAAAGAAGGAACAUGGAAAAAAAUUAGUUAUGGCAUUGGCAUUUUGAACAUCAGUAUUUAGGUCUUAUUUAGUUCUACUGAAAUGGUUUUUAUGGUGGAUUAUCCCUGGUUUCCAUACUAUUCUAUGUUCUACAAAAUAGGAAACCAAGGAAGGGAGGAAUCCAAACUCUCAUUUAUAAGAUAAAUGUUCUCCAUGGAUCUUGCUGAAAUACAAAUGCAAAUUGUUCAUAUUGAAGACCAAUGCAAAAGCCUACAAACAUAACUCCUCCGUUCACAUUAUAUUCACAGUUGUAAAACAAGAUCCAGAGUUCACAAUUUGAACGCAUUCCCAUGUCCAAGUAAACAGACAGUGAAUACUAACAUCAUUGAGUGCAUGUAGAUUCUCCUAAAAACAUGCAAACCAACAAAUAGAGUACACAAGCAACAUAGUCCAAGUCACUGAAGGGUAGAAGCAUGAAGACGAUAGAUAUCUUUUAUCUUUCCUAUAAAAGCAUAUGCUACCAACAAGAAGACACUGAAAACAAAAGAAUGUGCAAGUUGAUUCCCUUAAAACUGAUAAUGCACAAGCGCUAAGCAUUUGAUUACUGCACCACAUACUAAUUAAUAAACAUUUCUAUGCUUAGUAUAAUUCAAGUGGACCAGCAUCGGGAAAGAUCCAGAUAUAAACCGACAAUCCCAACAAGCCUUAAUGCCAAAUCGUGAUUCUAAGCUCGACAAACUGUUGUUCCCUCAUGUGAGUUCUCAAAAUGUUCGAGGUACAACAAAGCAACUUGUUACAUCAAUAGCAGCUCAACUUCACUUCACUAUGAAAAUUAGCUGCAUCAUUAUCUCAUCAUAUUUCAGACAAAAAACACCAGACAUGUUUCAAAUAAGAAGAAAAUGUCUAGUCAUAUCAUUUAGUAUUAAAGUAAGCUGAAUAGAGUGAAUUGAUCACUCAAACAGCUAUUAUUAGUAGAUAUUUCUUGAUAUUCCAAUUUCUACAUCAUAAAAAAAACCAAGUAAUUUAAAAGAAUGCACAGACGCUCCUCGUUGAUGCGCGAAAAAUUAAAAAUGAACUUAAAACAUCGCCAAGGAACGAAUACCAAAUCCUAAUUUCUGCUCGUUUAAACAAUACUACCAUUCGCAUUCACUAUAUCUUCUUCAUCUCUGCUAAUUGGUAUUAAACUUAUCAACACAAAACUUCCAAACUUCUAGAACAACAAUGAUUCCAGGAAAAAAAAAUCGUACAAAUUACUAUUCUUGAAAUAGGAAAACUUUAUUUCCAUAAAAAUGCAUCAUUUCCUCCAUUGACAUAACUAACUGCACCACAUUUCCUAAACAGUAGCACACUUCAAAAGCUCAACUUAAACCUGGAUUUACAGAACAUCAACACACGUAACUAGAAUCAAGUAAAAUUUGACAAUUAUUAACCCAGAUCUGACCAAAACAAGCUAUAAAACAGUUAAAAUGGCACAAAACUCAUAAAAUCAAACAAGAUCCAAUACUACAACAAACAACUUCUCACUUUUAUUUCCAAAAAAAUUAAAUCAAUAUAGUCCAAUUCAAACAUCAAGAAGAUCUAAUUACCUUGAUGAAAUCUUGCGGAGCAACACCGGGGAGGUAAAAACAAUGAGCGGUGGCGAAGAACAGACCGAUGAGAACGACCGAAACCGAGAUCCAUCGGUGAAUUAGCUGAGGCCUUGCGACCUCCAUCUCUCUCUAUCUCUCUCUCUCUCUCUUCUCCUCUUUCUCCUCUUUCUCUGUCUAAUUCAGUCUCUUCCACUAAGAUCUAGAUCCACACACUCCUCUAUAUAAAUAUGCGUAUGUAUAAUUUCCUCUUUUUUAAUUUAUUCCGCGAAUCUAAUGAAAUUACUGCGUGAGUGUGUGAGAGAGAGAGGAAAAUGGUGGGGGGGGGGGGAAUUUAAACUUAAUUUUGGGUAUUAAUAAUAUAGUGGGAGGAAACGGGAAGAACAAGGAACAGCCUGCAGCACUCAAGAAAAAACGACUGGGGAGGAAGAUGGAUAUGUGGGGAGUUGGAUUCAAGGCUAAUUAAACUAUCAUUAGUAAUUUUUAAAAAAAUAAUUGCUGUGGGCAUUGAGGACCGUUGGAUUGAGGGAGAAGUCGUGGGGUGAAUAGUUGAGAUUGGACCUAAAUGGGGUUGACGAAGACUGAAUGGUAAUUAAUGAAGUAAGAUUUUUCUUUCUCGGUUUUGGUAACAGUUUAAGAUUUUCUUCUUUUUUUUUCGCAUGUUUGAAUAAAUGGAAAGUUGUUGAAGUAAAAGGAAAAUAAAAGUUUAUAUUUAGUCAUAAAAAAAUUUUUUGAAACAAAAUGGGAAAUUAGCGAAAAUUAGUGUCAAUUCUUAAGAUCCUUCCGUCCAUUUAACCAUUUUCUUUCAAGAUCCUGCAAAAUUUAUUAUUACAAAAUACAAAAAAAAAAUGUAUAAGAAAGAACAAGAAAAAUUUCAAAUUUCUUAAGAGAACAAUAACUAACAUCCUUCACUUUCCAAUGUAAACAAAUAUUACAUUGGAAAUUCUUUCUUUAAAUUAGUGGAAUGAUCAUGUAUUUAAUUAUUAUUAUACUCUGUUCAUCCCAUAAAGAUAGAUUUGCUUCUACUUUCACACAUUGAGAAUCACACAUUGAGAAGUGUGAGUUAAUAUAGUUAAUACAAUCAUGUUUUUCCAUUAGUUUUAGUAUUAUAUUUAUUACUGCAACUAAAAUGAUUGACAUGAGUCUAAGGCAUAACAUCUAGUCAAAUUCAUACUCAUAACACCAAGUGAAGUUCAUCAUGCUUUUGUUUUGUUUGGACAGCAACAACUGUUGGAUACAUUUUUCAAUCAUCUUUUUACUUUAUAUAUAUCAAAUUAUUAUAGUAAUUUUUUUACAAAAAAUUCAAAAAAAUGCAAUCCAAACAAAACCUUAGAUCUAAAUUCUUGAAUGUAUAAAAGAUGAAAAAAUAGAAAAAAAAAAUCCAUAAAACUUCGACUUCCAUUGAAUUACAGAUUUUUUAAAUUUUUAUAGAAAAAUAUAUUAUAAUGAUGUGAUAUGAGAUAAAAAGUGAUUAAAAAAAUAUUUAUGUGAAAAACUCUCAAUCUGAACGGGACUUGUUUUUUCAUUUCUGAAAGUGUUGCUUAAUGUAGCGGUCAAAGUGUUUUAGAUUUCGAAGCUUCGCGCCGUCGGUGAAAGUUCUAUUUGCACAUUUGCCCUUUGAUUAGUCCAAUUUUUGCAUUAACAUGCUGAAAAAACUUGAAGCUUGAAGUUAGUGGUAUAGGAAAUUUGAGACCUCUCUCGCUCAACUCACCCAAACUUUGUUAAUUUGUUGACCUUUAUAUCUUUCGUUUUUUUUUUCUGGUAUAAAACUUAAUUACACCCCUUAUUAUCAUCAAGUAAUUAAAUAGACUAAUCAUGAGGUUUUAGUAACAAAAGCAUACUAAGGCACUUGAUCAAAACCUUAAAACAAACACGUGGAGUUACUAGUUUCGUUAUUACACAGGCUUUCUCUGCUUAGCAACCUGCAACAAUGUAGUUGACUUUGGUCAUCUAUGUUCUUACUUUUAUGGUUUGAUGACAAGAACAAGGAAAAAAAAAGACAAUCUUGCUAGUCAAUACAAGGCAUAAACAGUUGGAAGAAGCUUUUUUGUCUUUUGUUUUUUUUUUUAAAGUAGAAAGUUUUGAAUUCCAAUCUUAUACCUACAAUAUCAUUUAUCUUACCAUUAAUUCAACCCUUCCUCCCUAGAUGCUAUUUUACUUGUAUCGAACAAGAUAUAAUUAAAAUGCUAGACAAAAAUGAGAAAGAACGAAUAGGAAUAUACAUGAUUCCGUUGUAGUUUUAGCAUGGUUUGAUGAUGGAUUUGUACAAUAUAAUUCAUUAGAUUGUUAAAUUUACCAUCAGCUUGAUUUCAAUUCGGCCUAGUUUCACGAUACGUUUGAUAAAACUUAAAUCUAAAAACUGAAAUUUGAAAUCUGAAGUUUAAAUUCAUUAAGUUAUUGAAUUGUUAAAUAUUAUAUCUAAUAUAUUUGAACGUAUAUCACAUUCAAUGAUAAGUGAAUAACUUAUCACUUAUUUUUGAAAGUAAGUUUUGUUUAGAAAAUUCGGUGUCACUUAAUUAAUUCAAAUAUUCAAUUUUUGGUUAUCAAAUAUAUUUGAACAUAUUAAGAUUUGAAUUCAUUAAAUUUAAGUGUUGAAUUAAACUAUCAAACAAACCUUAGGCGAAAAGAAAGUUUACAAUCUAAAAUGGUCCUUGACUUUGACUUGCUGUUGUGGUAAACUCUUGAAGUAGUUGGGCAACUGAAAUGUUAUGAGCCAAUCGCGCAUGAUUAGCACUAGUGUGUUUGGAUUGUAAGUUAUUUGAGAUAUUUUUACUGUAGCACUUUUUGUGAUGUGAUGUAUCAUGUAUGUGAGAUAAAAAGGUAAUUGAGAAGAUAAAAAGGUGUAUUGGAAAUUGUAAUGGUGAUGUAAGCAAAUAUAUUUGGACAAAUAACUUCCAAUCCAAACACACUUCGUUCUGUGCGCCUGUGACUCAAUUUUUGUCCUAUGUGGUUUGUGAUGAAUUGAUAAUAAACCAAAUUUAUUUUUUUUUCUAUUAAUCUCUCGUACAUUGAUAAUAUAUACACUGUCAGUCUUGGAUAAAUGACAGGUAUGCAAAAUUUAAAUUUGAAAUCCAACUUUUACACAUGUAUCAUGAAUUUAACAGUGAUAGUGUAUACACUGUUAGUACAUAUAAAAUUUAUUCAUUUUUUUUUAACAAGUGCCAAAUAUUUUUUUCCAUGAUUUGCAACAACAUUGACUUCCAAUAAAAGUAGACUAGAUUUAGGCAUAAUCCGAAGUAGGACUGUGCCCGGUUGUGAAUUUAAAAGAGUAACAAAUCACAGAUUUUCCAUAUAUACGAGAUAUGAAAUGAAUGACGAGGUCAAAGCGGCAGUUCUUGCUUAAUUAUUAUAAUCCAACAAAUUAAUCAAGUCAAGUAUAUUAAAAGCUACAAAACUUCGAGCUUGCUUGGCUUAUAAUUUUGACCUACCCUUGAUUUGGACAACCCAGCUGUUGUGUAGUUUCUCUUUUUUAUUUUUCUUAUUUUCUUCCCUCAUCAGGACACCUUGUCCUUUGGUGUUCACUUAAGCUCCCCCCCCCCCCCCCCCCCCCCCCCCCCCAACAAAUGCUAUAUAGUUAUUUCAUUUCUCUGUCUAAUUAUUUCUAUCAUUUUCCUUGCUGUAUAUGAUUGAAGAAAGCCAAAGUCCAUCGAAUGAUCAAAGGAAUUUUUUUUUUUAAACGAGUAGUGGUCAAUUUUUUUUUUUUUUUUUGGGAAACAGGGACGAAUGGAAUUUAAGAAGCGGAAAAGAGGCAGGAGAACAACGGUUAAUUUGAUUCACGUUUCAACCAACGCAAAACAUAUUCAAGAAGUGAAAUUGCAUAUUUUAUGUGGAUGGUAUAUUAAAACAAAUAAUGGGACGUUAGAAGGUGCUCCUCAUCUUGUUUACACAUCCCUAUCAUUUGGGAAAUUGGUAAUACUUAGUAUUAUAGAAUAGCUCAUUAAUUAGUCUUUAUAAUCCGUGCAAGCUAAAGUGCCAGCUUUGUAAAGCCGUAUAUUCCAUAAUUUUUUUUUCCUAUGCUGCGCAUUAUUUAAGUCAUAAGGAGUGGAAUUAUUCACCAAACGUGGGUUCCGUUCCACGGUGAAAAUCCAGCCCUUAAUUUGAAGAACUGAGAUUUUAUAUGCACUUUAUCUCUACAAUUAGCCAAAUUAAUUCAACACAGAUCCCUUGGGCAUGCAGUCACCCGAUAGUCUACAGCCCAGCACCGCAGACUUUACCUCUCAAAAGGACUUUGCCUGUUUUGCCUAGUUCUUCACAAAUUUCCACCGUUCUAUAUCGUCAGUUUGUCAACAAGACUAGUUGAGCAGAUGUGAUGGUAGAAUUUGAGAAUAGUUUGUGUAAAAUUAGUGAUCUAGAAUAACGAUAAAGGACCCCCUACUUUUUUUUUUCUCAAAAUCAAUUAGUGGUGGCUUAACACUCCCUCUCUUAUACGUGACUUGAUAUUGGUGAGAACCUCUCUUAAAUGGAUCGAAACAAACUUAUGAAACGUAGUUCGGUACGAGAUGCAAGCGAACAAUGCCCUAAUAGCUCAAAUUUUUCGGGAUCAAAUCUAUGGUGGGACUCUUUUAAGUUAUAUUCAUGAAGUCGUCAACUUUGUUAAUUUGCAUUAACCCUAGAUUCGCUUGGGCAUGGGUGUUCUGGUGCACGCUGCCUCGCACCAGGUGCACGAUGGGCUCUAGUUGGAUAGGAUUAUUCGUUUCACAUAAAGAACUCACUUUAUAGUUUUCAUCCGCAUCCGCAAGCCCCGAAUUAAACUUCUUAUUGCACACCAAGAGGCAUUGCGCCGGUUACUAAAGCUCGAGUGUUGUGUACCUAUUGUGCAACAGGAUUCUCGACUCCCUUAGUUCCUAUGAAUGUCCCAACUAAGUUGCAAAUGGAACUAUGAAUAAGUUGAUGAACAAAACUUGAGGCCCAACUCUGAUAUCAUGAUGAUCAUCUUGUACUUAGUUUUCCAAUUUGUCUGCAAUCUUAGAUUUGCAGCCGAUGCUUCGAUAACGAACUAGUUAUAAUAUCCUUAGCUAUUCAUACUGCAUGGAGAAACAAAGAAUUAAGAAAAGAAAAUUCCGCUUCACCACCUAAUUAUCACGUAACGUCUAAAUCCCGCCAACGCCCCGCCCCGCUCCUCCCCCACCCCCCGGUGCCCGGCGGGGCAGCCAACCAAAAAAAUUCUGGGGUUAGCAUCCAAGAUUCGUGCAAUUUCGAAGAAUGAAUACUUCCACAAUUAAGGGAACUGAAGCAAAUACUUUAGCAUCCAUCCUUUAACAACAGCAAUCACAAAACAACUUAAUUUCCAUCUUGAGUAGGUGCAUCAGUUAAUCUGACAGUGCGAGGGAGCAUAAACUCAGCGUGUAUUGGGUAGUGUGAUGAUGGAUAAAGCCCAUCAAUAUUGUCACUUAUCACUUCGCAUGAGACUGGUGUCAAAGAUCUGCCUCUAAAAAGAAUCCAGUCGACAUGCAGAUCCUGAGUUUGGCGAUCCCAGCAGAGGCAAAGUGCUCUGAAGAUCAGCUUAAGGAAUUCAACAGCUCCCUGCUUGUCACCUGACAGAACAAAAUAAAGAUUGAGGGCUGGAAAAUACACCAGACUCAGAUUAGCCUUUCGAAAGCUAGCAUGUUGAUACCUUUGAAUCCAUGAUAAGUACGUAUUAGGGAAACAUUUUUCCUUACUCGAGCAUUUGGCCAAGUAUCCCUCAUAUCACCGACAACACCAUGCUCCCUGUAAAAGAAACAAUGUUUCAAAGAACUUAGCAGCUAUACAGAACACAAACUACUUUAAACAAAUUUAGGAGUUGGAGAGUAGGGGUCCACCAGGAUGAGUUAGCUACAUAUUCACCAUUUGUAAAACAUUAUCUUGUGCUUGGGGGAGUGAAGGUUGACUCGGGAAUGACAAAGCCACUCAGCUGAGGUUUUAUUGGUGCAAGUGGUUGCUUCCUACAUGAUUUAACAGGAUUAUGGGCAAUGGAAGCAGGACACUUGAUGCCAGGAAACCAAUCAGACAAUAUGUAGAGUUGCAGCAGGUGACAACUCAUUGUCUGACCAUGACUGAAAAUGCAGAUUCACACCCAACUUUUUAAACAUAAUACUUUUAUGUUCCUAUCUUGCCUCUUAUCCCAUCAUAAAACACAAAAAAUAACACCUAGACCAACAAAGCAGAUGCAAAAAUGGGCGGUAUGGAGCAUGAUAUUUCCACCUCGAAAAGAACAGAAAAUCAUAGUGGGUUAACCUUCUCUCUGUAACGUAACAAGCACUUUUUUGAGAACUGAUGAUGCUAAUUUAUAAUCGAGAAGCAUUAUUUUGAUACUGAGACCUAUCAUAGAGUCGAAGACUGUCGCAAGCAAUUUGACUCACAAAGUUUGUACCUAUACCAAGUUAACGCACUUAGAUUACAGUGCUAAAAAUUGUAAAGAAACUAUUUCAAAGCAAUGUACAAGAGGUCUACGAUUUCAAUUUCCAGUCCAUUUCUCUGUGUGUUUUAGUAUUUUAGCAGAAAUCACAGGGUCCAAGGCCAUUUCAUCCAGCCUUUUCACUAUGAAUUCAUUGAAGAAAAAUAGAAUUUCUCAAGGAUCAAGUAGCAACAAAUAAAAAAAAAGAAGGAAUGUUCCCUCUAUGUUUGAUAAAGGGGAUUAAACUUAUCAAAAGAAACGAUGUCAAGACAGAACUUUCACUCAACACAAUUCCGUUACUCCGGAUUUAUCUUCUUUGCAAAAGUCAAGGAAUAUUUGUACAGAAAAAUUGUCCAAAUUGCCAGCUUGGACCAGCCAGUCCUGAUUAAACCAGAAGCCCACUCAUUAUUCUGGCACAAUACAGCCAUAUUGUCAUUUGAAACACAGAUCAUGAAGCUUCAGUGAGGCAUUAUUUAUUCAAAAUUUAUACACAGAAAAUAUCCUCCUUGCAUACACCCUUUAGAUUCUAUCAAUUUCUUUGGAAGUGCAAUUUUGUUGCACUUUAAAAUUUUUAUGCUGCAUUUUGUUGGUUUCGAUUUUGGAAAAAAUCUUGAGACAUUAGAUGCACUGAACAGAAUGACAAUUCUUCAUAAAGGAAACUGUCCUAGGCUUGGAAUGGAUAUUUGUAAACCAAUAAUGUACCCACAUAAAAUUGAGAAGAUUCCAAGGAGGAAUACCGUAUACGAUAAUAUUCAUGCUGGUUGUUUCCAGGAUGUAUGCAAUAAAAAAUUUCAAAUGAAAAAGGCAAGUUGUCAAAGCAAAAUUACAAGUAUAAUUGACUUAAAUACAAACUGAAGUUAUCAGCAGCAGAGUUCAGAGAAAAUGUAAAAUUUCAAUUUCAGGCUAAAAUUGAAUCAAUACCUUGAUCUUCCAAGAAGAAAACGGCCAGUGGUUGAUUCCUUUUGUGUAUUAAAUCCUCCACAGUAUACCACAGGCAAGCUAGGAGGCAAAGAGGCAAUAUGUUGCCAUGUCAGCAAAGCACUUCGCCUACGAGCCCGGGGACUAAAUUCAUCCAUGCAAGUAUUUACUAUUUCAAAUGAAAAACCAGGUGGUUCCACGCCUUUCAGUUGGAAUGUGUACACAAUUUGUAAAGGAAGCCAAGUGUAAAAUGGUCUGUGAUGCAGCAUUGAAACAAAUGGAUAUAGAGAAGACAGUAUAAUGUGUAAAAGGAUAUUGCCCAUGUUGCAAUGCAUGGAACAAUAGAACCCCAAGACAUGCUUCCAGGUACCGAAGGUGACUCUGACAACCAAAAAGUCCCACCCUCUAACAGCUCUACCUUCAUCCAGAAACAUAAUACAUGAAAAUACAGGUCGAGUUCUUUGUAUGUUCAGUGUUCCGUAAAGCACUGGGAUUAUAGUAGGUUUUAUUCCUUCUACGAGUAAUUAGCUCAGCCAUGUCACGCUAAGAUAUAGAGAAGUUUUACCUUCUCCUUGUCAUAGAAGAUGGUGCAAUACUGGUCUGAAGUGUCUUCAGAUCCUUUCCUUGAAAUUCCAAAUUGGUUGUAACCUUUUCAAAUGAAAGUUGAAGCAUUAUAAGUGCUAGAAUUCUGCAUAACAUGUUACUGAUCCAAACUGAGUUAUUGCACCGUGCAGGUGUCUUUAUCUCAUUGAUAUGAAAAAAAAAAUCAAAUGAAGCAUUCUCUCGUUAUGAAAUAUAAGAUGUCAAGUUGCAAGUUUUUAUUAAUUAGAAAUAAGCUUAUUGCAACACGAUGCAUACAGAGCCAAUUCGUAGCUGUGAUCUGACAAAAUAAAAGACUAAAGAUGUCUUAUCUAUAAAACACAUUAGCAUGUUUGCAACAAAUCACGCAGGUAAUAAAAUCAAAGCAUGCUCAAUAUAUAUAUCAAAGCACUGUUAGAGGUCAAGAAAAAGUUUAGCCCAUGCUGGUUGCCAGGAAUCAGAUGGUUGCAAAAGCAAAGCUACCAACUCAGUUGUCUUACACUAAAAUGCAACGAAAAUUUGGGCAUCUCAGGGAGUUCAGGACCAGGAAGGCAAUGCUGUUACCUUCCACAGACUUAAUUCCUAUACAUACUAAAACAUACAUAGAUCCUAAAACUAUUCCUUAAAGUAGAAUUUAUUAGAAUCUUAUUUUCAAGAUGUCCUAAAUCGUCUCUUGUUAGGUUGCAUAAAUAUAUUUUUCCAUAAAUUAAAAGCAAAAGAAGGGAAAAACUUUUCAUUUGGCUACCAUGAUCCCUCAGUUCAUUUAGAUGCUGCAGAAUGAAGAGUCGUUCAAACUCAUUGAGCACCACAAUUUUUCCAGGGAACUAAAGAUCAUGCAGCUAAAAAUCUGUAGGUUAGCUCUCAAAACAUUUAUGGGUUAAUGUUUAGAGUUUGUCAGUACUAUGAUAUCAUCAAAUUUUCAACUAUAUCUCGAAAUGAAAUUUCUUUGCCUUUUGGCAUCAGCACGUAUAUGCAGCAUAAAUCCAAGAAGUGAGAAACACAGCAGAAAAGCAUAAAGAUUUCAGUACACUGAAGGAUGGCAUUCAACAUUCUUUUGCAUCUAUUCAAUUGAUGGACUAUAAGCCCUCCCCACAGCAUAUAGACAUGACCCUUAAUCUUCCCUAUUCUUUUAGACGCCAGUCUCGUCCACUUUAACCUUCAACAUGAACAAUUGCAAACCUGACCAUUAUCUUCAUUAUAAUCCUGGACGCAAUUAGUGAUCUUCUCCUUAACGGAAAAAAAAUAAAUUUAUUCUUUGAUAUCUACUUGUGUGAAUCUCAACAUCCUACGUGUCAUUAAAGGGCUCCCUAUUCAAGUAUAAACUAUGAGGUCAACCUGUCUGUAGACAACUAAUUUAAGCAAUGAAGGAGAGAUAGAGCAGAAGAAAUGCAAGAUGAAAUUUGGUCAUUGCAUCAUAAAACAAUAUACCCCACAAGUCCUCAACUCUUUGUGAGAAACUUCACCUGUCAAGCACUGCUGAAGAUAGUCCAACUGUGACUUUACACCUAAAACCAAAAGACAACAUGUCAAGUUGCAAAACCAAACAUUUAUGUACAUAGUUAACAAAAGAACUGAAAAGCAUUAAACCAUUUAAGAACUUGAACACUAGAAAAAUCCAGUCUUGGCCAAUGACCUGAGAAUAGAAACACUAACGAUAACAAUAAGUGUACAAUACCCAUGUCCAAAAGACAAAUACAAAAAAUCCCAGAUCAACCAUUUCAACAAAUGCCAUAUGAACAAUCAAUCAAGAUUCAAGAUCCACUCAAUACAUUAAUCCCAUUAAAUUUCAUACCUUGUUGGGUACAGAGAAUCAUCGGAGAAUAACUGGUGAUGACACUUAUACAUAUGUCUUUCCUUUUGUCCCAUGAGUUAGGACUGUCCUCUGCUUGAUCCUCAAGAAGAUUAAAGGUCAUUACUGUUAGAGAGACACUCAUUUUUCAGAGCCUCUGCUGCAGCUACUUCUCUCUCUUUGCUUUCUUUUCUACAUGGUAAUAAUGAAGCCAGAAAUUAUUGGAGUUUCAUUUUGCUAUUCCCAAAGGUGUGAUCCUAGAGUGGGAACACAAUACAGAGAAAUUUUUGGUUUUUCACGGUUGUACAGCUUGGGACUUGGGGAGUUGAAAGUUGAGCCUGAGUCAAAUAGAACGCAGCUCCUGCUGUUGGGAAACUUCUAUUAACGGGGCUUUCCAACAUGAAGUCUAGGUGUGUGUCUGAAAACCGAAUCCUAGGGGCAUGAGGCCCAAAGAGAUUAUUAGCUUUUGCUACAUAUCAUGCGUUAUAUAGCCCAGUGAACAAUAAUCUCGUUUGAUUAUUUCAACUAAUUUUAGACUCUAGUUUUGAAUAAUCAGUUAUUUUUUUAAUGUUCUCAUUUAUUUUUACAUCUGAAUUUUAUAUUCUUUAAUAGAUAAAAAAGCUAAAAUUCAGAAUCCGUAAAGGGACAGCUUAAAUUGAUUCUAAUUUUUUCUAGAUAAUCAAUUUUGAAAAUUAAUUUUUACAAUAUCUACAAUAAACAAUAACAGUUCUUAAAUAAUUAUGAAGUUCGAUCAUUUAUACUCAAUUUCCACGUCUCCCUUCUUCUUUUCCCUUCUAAAAGUUCCCUGUUUCCAUUUUUAAUCUUUUGUCCACCAUCACGUCUUUUCUUUUCACCUCUCUCCUAAAAAAAUUGUACAAAAGGAAAAGAGAAUUUUGGUUGGAAACAUUUGCUAUUAGCAUAAGGUGUUUCUUUUUUUUUUUUCUUUUUUCAAUAUGGGUUUAUAAGAAUUAUACCAAUUAGGCCAAAAUAUUUUGCUUUUUUUUAAAAAAAAAACCCAUGUUAUAAUUCUCUGUACCACUAAAAUCAAUGAUACUAAUACAGUACAUUCGUCAGAUGACUUAAAAUUCCAAGCAUUGACAAAAUCUCUUUGAAAAAAUGACCCAAGAAGUCCAAUGUUGUAUCAUUUUCACACGGAAAUAGUUAGCCAGGUUCCAUUUCAAUCCACCUGUAACACAAAAUACAAUUAUUGUAGGACCUCAAUUGAUCCAUUUCUUUUGAUACAUAGUUUCAACUACUCCUAAAGCUUCUACACUGUAUAAUUUAGACCCUGUUUAAUAAUCCAAUUCAAUAUUUAAACUUAAUAUAUUCAGAUCUUAACCUGUUUAGACACGUUUUAUAACAAAAAAUUAAACAGCAGGACAAAAUUUUAAUUGGUAACCAUAAUAAAUACUUCUUUUUCUAUGAGGAUUUUUUCAAUAGAUUCUUAUCGAAUACUCGUUAAUACCUACAAUUCAUCUAAUCUAUCAUAUAUAUACACAUACUAACAAUUAUUACCCUCCAUUGCAUUUAUAUAUAUUUUUUCUAUUUAAUCUUAUCUACCCUCCUUUGUAUUUAUUUACUUUUCCUAAUUAAUCAUACAUUUUAAAAAAAAUAUGACACUUGAAAUAUAUUUUAACAAGUGUCCAAUAAUCAGAACCUUCCUACAACAGAACCACCAUCCAGGCGCGAGCAGCUAAGCCAGAGUUGCAUAUACUUCCACUUAUCAACUUUGCUUAACUUUAAGGAAAGCAUCUCUUCUGCUUAUACUCGAAACAUCGCCAGAAUAAUGCACUUCAUACUUUUAUGUUUCCUUCCAGUCAUACCAUAAGGUGGCUUCUGGGACGCAGUUGAUUAAAAAGUAUAAUAAGAGGUUUCCCUAUUGAAUAUUUUGACAUCCUAUCAACUAUUGACGCAACCAAUCCUUAGAUAACCCAAUAAUUGGGAUUAGCAUAAGAAUUAGAAGGCUAAAUGACACGCAAGCAGCUUGAAAAAUACACAAAGUGGGACACCAAGUUUCAGCUUUUCAAAGGUGUCAGCACUCAGUAUUGCAGGCUGCAGCACACAGAAAAACCAAUGUUUGUUUUUAAAAGUACUUUUAUUGCAUUACUGUCAGCAAAGUUUACCUACCAAAGCAAAACUCCACGGAAGAAUUCACACUGCAUAUAACACAAAUUUCAAAUUUCACAAGAACAUGAGAGCCUGCUAUGGGCAAAUGGCAACCUGAGCAAUAUCCAGAUGAUUCAACAAAAUCAAGCAAAAGCCCAUUAAAUAUCUCGCUUCUCAGCUCUCAACGUAUUCUCUUUUCUUUAUAGAUAAGCUUAUCCCCUUCAACUUUACUUUCUCCUGAUAAACAGAACUCAGAUAGAUAGCUACUAAGAAGAGUUUUUGAGCACCCACUCCACCAAAGUUGAUAUGCCAAAUCCUGUUGCACCCUUCUUCUUUUCAUUCCAAACAGGACCAGCCAUGUCAAUGUGCAUCCACUGUACCUUUUCGUCAACAAACUGCGAAGCAAACAAACAAGCCACAAAAUAUACCAUUGGAAAAGAAAAGGGAAAAAAAUGCAGCAUGCGAUCAUUGCUUUCCAAUUUUAAGAACACACCCGAUUAGACAUUUAGAAAACCUUCAUGUUUCCUAAUGGCCUGAAACUUGCUCAAUUCCUUUUUCAAAAGCUCAUGUGUAAUUGAUGCAGACCAAAACGGUUUAGGAACCAAAAUUAUGCAUCAGAAAGUAUUUUCAUUUCAUUGGUGCAGAAUAAGAUAUCAAAGACCAAAUUGACACAGAGAUCAUAUUUCAGAUACCACUACAUUUUCUUUACCUUUUCCCUGAUACUUUUUUAUUCUUUUUCUUUUUUGGGGAGGUGAGGAGGGAAAGGAAGGGGGAAGAAAUGCAGAAGUUUCUGAUUAGUCAUGUUCAGCUAUUGAUCUUAGCAAUGUAAAGGCAUUGUAUAAUUUCUGUAACACAUGAAACAGAAUUCAUUAACAAUGCUGUCAAUUGACGGUAUGAUUUCAAGUAAAGAGUGGUUUGAUUUUCUUACACACUUAUUGACCAUAAACGCUUCUGUUUUAACUUGAUCUAGAAAGUUUCAAAAUCAGAUGACAAAUUAGGCAAAGCCAAGUUUCCAGAUCAAUACCUGCUUCAGGAACAAAGCUGCAGUGAUAGAACCACCUGGACGACCACCUGUAUUUACCAUAUCAGCUACUCCAGAUUUCAUAGAUUCCCAGUAACUUUCCUCCAAAGGCAUCCUCCAGAGUUUUUCUCCAGCAACUUCAGAUGCUUCAAGUACCUCCUUUGCCAGGUCAUCACUAGGUGUGUAAACACCUGUGUCAAAUUUCCAAAGUCAAUACAACUGCAAUCAUAAAACUGUUUUCCCUUCCUUUAUCUUUGGGGUGUGGCUAAUGCCACUGGAAGCAUUAUCAAUGCAAAAAUGAUGUAUUCCAGAAAUGCGUCAAAAUCUAAAAAAUCUACUUCCUCGAUAAUUUCAUAAAAGAUUAGGACACAGUUUAUCAUAAUGUACAUGUAGUUUUGCACAUCUUUAUAAGAAAGAGUAUAAAAACUUGUUCACGCAAGACAUACAUGCAUUACCACGUAAUGAUUUUCACCAAAAAGAACGAGAGAGACAGAGAGAAACAAGAAGUACAAACCAGCAAUUGAGGACCCAAGAGCUAUUAUACAUGCCCCGGUCAAUGUAGCCAGAUCAACAAUCUGCAUAAAAAGGUAACUCGUCACUCAGACAGCUAGAGAUAUUGCUAAGGGAAGACUGAAAUGAUAUUAACUCUACUGGCAAAAAGCAAAACAUAGGACGUUUAAAGGUGGUGAGGGUCAUGUAUCUGACCUGAUGCCUAUACAUUUUAACAUUGAGACAGAAACUUCAUGAUAUAAUGAGUAACGUCAGGAGUCUGAGAUUCCCACCAUGAACAAUUCAAGGAACCAAACAGGAGUUUACUUUGCAUAUAGUGAACUGUCCAAAAUGAAAAAUCAACUUCCAACAGGAUCACAAUACUUAUUACCCAGCAAGUCAAGUCGAGCACUUUAUGAUUGUCCAAGCUUUCCAAGUUUUGCAAAUAAAUAUAAUUAAACAAAAAUAUUAUAAUAACUACACAGAAUAGCAGUUUCAACUUUCAAUCUCCCUUAAAACAGCCUAUCAGAUUCUGCCAUUGUAGCUUUCAAAAUGAUAGCAUACAAAAAUGAGGUAGUUCCUUCAUUCCUUCUCCCCUAAGUAUUCUGCAAGAUUUGCUGCUUGUCUUUUCGCUUGGAAAGAGGAGUACAACAAAAAUUAAAAACACACACCCGAAAAAAAAAAAGGAACUUGUACUAAUAAGGAGAGCAGAAGGAAGAAGAAAAACAUAAAAUUAUCAAGCAUACACAGCAUCUGAAUCAUACCUUUUCAACCCCUUGAUUACAAGCAUAUACUAGAGCAUCUGCGAGAGUGAGUCUUCCCUCGGCAUCAGUAUUGUUAACCUAUGAUGAAGAUAUACAUAAGAAAGCAAUUUAUAUAAAUUCAUCUACCAGAUGUAUAGGGACAAAACUUGUUCACUCAUGUGAUAAAAAGAAUAGACUUGAAAGAUGAGAGUUGCAAACUCUUCUCCUUUCUGUCAAUGUUUCCAAGCAAAAGACUUGCUAAAAUCAAUGUGCAAACUCUUGAAACACAUAUAUUCAUGGUUAAAUUAUUACAAAUUAAGAACCAUCAUAAUGUAACAAGAGUCAACCAUGAGUGAAAAGAAAAUCUGGUCUUUUACUGGACAUUUUGUAGCUUUUAUCAAGUUUAACAGAGUCCAUCAGAAUUACAAAAAGAGACAUUUUGUAGCUUUUAUAAGGUUUAACAGAGUCCAUCAGAAUUACAAAAAGAAUAGUUUCACAUAAAAGUUAAAUGCUUCUAGGCCACUGAGCAUAUAACAUAAAAUCAGAUUGAAUACCUGGUAAAAAAGUAAACCUAUAUAGUCAAUUGUCUAAUUAUCUCAUCAUGCUGCAGUAUAUAAGCAUGCAAGCAAAAGUGUAUGAACCCGUAAGCAUAUGUAUAUCGAUUGUCUAAACAAGGAAAAUGAGUUGAGGUCGGCAACAGAGCCUAAUUUGUGCAGAGACUAUGAUAAUUCACACCAUCUGUAGAACCAGGAAAGAAGAAAUAAAAGUAUAUUUCUGGCCCCAUCAGAUCAGAUAGUAGUAACUGAAGUCAUUCCUGUCCGAAAGCAUUACCUCAAUAGUCUUUCCAUUUGAAGCUGUGACAAUAUCUCCAGGUCUCAUACCUGUUCCACUGAUCAUAUUUUCACAAGCUGCAACAAUGAAAUGAACCUACAAGCAAAUAACUUUUUAUUAGCCCAUAGCGUCCAUUAGAAGGUACAAUUGAUAAGAAAUUGUUUAGAUAUUCUUCCCGCAAGAGGUGAUAAAAGUUAGUUAAGGAUAAAAACAAUUCAGCAAGACUGGUAAACAACUCACCUCUACUCCAGCUGGCUUGAUUUGGCCAAGAGCCUUUGCUGCACCCAACACAGCUGCAGAGCCUCCCAUAUCAAAUUUCAUGAGCUCAAUUGAACAUCCUGGUCCUGUCUUGAUAUUGUAGCCACCACUGUGACAAUAAAGAAAGGCAAAUGUUCUUGAUCAAUGGUCCACAAAGAGAAACUAUGAGAACAUUAUAGUACAUGACAAAAGCAGCGACCCUCCAGGCAACCAAAAUUUAUUUUGUGCCACUUAUUACCUGUCAAAAGUCAAUCCCUUUCCAACUAAAGCCAGCUUAGUUUUGACGGAUCCACCCAGAGGCUUGUAAACUAUAUGGAUAAAAUGCGGAGGAUUAGCAGAAGCUGCAGCAACACCCAGAUAGGAUCCCAUUUUUAACUCUUUGCACUGCUCCACGUUCAAGAUUGUUGUAGUGAGUACAUCGCUGUACAAUGAAGCAAUCCUUUUGGCCUCUUCAGCUAGUACCGCUGAAGUACAAGAGACAGAGGUGAAGUAUGAGGGGAACACUCGUCUUCCAACAUGCAUAAAUUUGGGGAGAAAAACAAGGACAAAAAGAAAAACAUAAAGUCAUUUGGGCGUUAAAUACCGGGCAGGGGUUAAAGGCAGAAUAUGGGAAUCAAAACAAAGGUAACAAUCUGCAUCGCUCAACUAGUACAUAAAAAGAGAUUGCAAUGAAAGAUUCACCAACCAGGGGUGAGUACGUUGGCUGGCGCAUUGACAAGGUUUAUGCCAAAAAUAACUGCUGAGGAUACAGAUUCUGCAAAUUUAAGUUUCUUUUCUAUCUCAGGUCCAGUACCCAAACCAAGAAUGUCCACAGAUGUAAGAGUUGGUUUCUUUGACUCUGACUUAAACCUGCUAUCUUCAUAAGUCCCCAGCACAGUUCCUAAAAAAACACAUUAUAUGGUCACUGUUUAAUCAAUCAAGUUCCAAAAAAGGGAAAAAAAUACACACAGACAUAAGCAAAAUAAUUUGGACAAGUGAACACACCAGAUGCUAUGGCUGAAACAGUUGUAAGCCUUGAAUCUGCAGAGAGAGUUUCAGAAGAAGCAAGGGCAAUGGCAACAUUACUUGCCUGAGCAGACUUAGCUGCAGCAGCAAUUGUCUCACCAAGACUGCGAUAAGCGGCAGUAGUCGAUGCUGCUUGUCCAAGCCCUACCAAGCCAACCCUUUUAGUCCCCAGGCCAGGAACUCUGAGAAUUGUUGACUGCCCAGCCUUUCCAGUGAAAUCCUCCUCAGAAGACGCUUCAGACAACAAACCACCUAACUUGGAAUCUAACUUUUGCAAGAUUGGAUUUUGGAACUUUGAACUUUCAUCUUUUGCUACGUCUUUCUCUGUGACACCUAUAGCAAGUAUGUCUCCUUUCCAUUCAACCAAAUCAAUCUCUUUUGCCGCAAAAGAGAUCUUCCAAGAGUUCCAUCAACACAUUAAAAAAUUCAGCAAUUCAUCAACCAUGAAAAUACCAAUCAAACAGCAAUAUUUAUACACAUGGGAUGAAAAAUAUCUACAUUUAUAUGACCUCAAAUAAUCAAGCCAAAGAAGUAUUUUUAGUUCCGAAAUUGAUCAAAAGAACCAGACUGAGCAAGAGAACUCUUCAAUGUCAAAACAUGAGUUACAUAUAUAUAAAAAAAAAAGAUAAAAAAUGUACUUAAGGUCUAUCAUGAUCAACAACAGAAACAAAAGUUGAAAUAGAAAUUUUAAAUUACCGAAAAAGACUCAAACUCGAUGCAUCAGAAAUGUACAAAAAAAUCCAAAUCCAAACUAAUAUAUCAAAAUAUCAUGUUGAAAAACACUGUCCGAAGAAGUAUUUCUAAGUACAAUCUGUUAUGCAACAUCCAGAAUAACAUAUAUUAAUUCAACCAAGUGAUGAUUGUCUAUUAGUCCAAAACUAACACCAGAUGAAACUAAAUUCCAAGAACACAAUAAAAAAUUCAUCACACAACAAGCAAAGCAUUCAGCACAGUUCAAAUCAACCUACAAAGAAAAAUAGUAAUACUAAGCAAGUAUUCUUUAGUUGGGACUUAAACCUUAGGCGGCUCAAUUUAAUUAGGCUGAGUAAGGCCAAGACCAGCCUUAGCAAUGUAGCAAUGGAGUGGGCCAUGCAUUUUGCUCUUCUUGAAGAAUAACAACACAAGGGUGCAACAGAAAAAGAAAAACACCAGAUGGGUUUAGAUCGAAAUCUCAUAAAAACUGAGUAACAAGAUGAUGAAAAAGAACAAGAAAAAGUUGAAGCAACAAAAGUAUGAGAACAAGAGGCUAAAGAUGCUGAUGCUCUAACGGCUGCAAUUGUACAGUGGCAUGGCUAAUCUAUUUAUACUACUAGAAGUCUAGAACAAAUAUAAUAUCGUCAAUAACGUAUGAAAAAUCAGAGCGCAAAAGGAGAGUAUGUUGUGGGGUUCCUCAGGCUCAAUGGAUUUGAUCAACUGUGCUUGUUGACCUCAGCGACAGCAUCUUUCUUGCCAGACUAUGACUAAAAAGAUUUCGUUUUCCUUUUCAUUAUCUUUAAGGGCUUUUGCUAGUUUGUUUACCUUAUCCCUUGGUAGAGUUCUUAGUAAGUUGAAUGAUAGAAUUAGUAUUGUAUAGUAUUCUUAAUCUAUUUACAUUAUAAAAAUGAAAGAGCAUAAUGCUAUCAUGUUCAUUAGUUACCUUUUCAUUGGGGUACAGUUAGUAGAUCACAUUAUCACAAUGGCUUUGCCAUGCCUUUUCAAUGAGUAUAACGCUCACUUUUUACUUUCAGAAUUAUACUAGUUAAAGCGUGAUUAUUUUUAAAGAAGAUCACUUUUAUCAUUUAAAAAUUAUAAUAACAAGUCAAAUCGAGCUAAUGAAAAAUGUGGAGGACUGUGUUUUUAACUUCCAGCCUUGGCCAGCCACAGAAAUCCCGAAAUACAGAUUAGUUUUCAUUGACACAUAAAUAAUCGCUACAUUAAUAAAGCCAACAUUUUUGCCAUCGUAUUUAAUUCAGGUAAACGAGUUGAGUAAAAUAUUGCACAUAUGCUCGCAUAAGGUAUCUUAAGGUCGGCUUAUACCAAUCAAACAGCAAUAUUCAUGCGUAUAUGAUGAAAAAAAUAUAUUGACAUUUAUAUAGCGUCAAGGAAUCAAGACAAAGAAGCAUUUUUAGUUCCAGAAUUGAUCAAUGAACCAACAAAAGAACCCUAUAGUGUCAUAAAAAUUUGAACUUUGGACUCUCAUGAUCAACAACAGGUAAAAAAGUUGAUGCAAAUUUCUAAAUUUCCGACAAAGACUCAAACUUGAUGCAUCAGGAAUAGACCCAAAAAAAAAAAAAAAAAAACUCCAAUCCAAACUAAUUGAUCAAAAGCCAUGUUGCAAAGCAGUACCAAAAGAAGUAUUCAUAAGUACAAUCAGUUGAGCAGCAUCCAGACUAAUACAUCAGUCCAAAACUAACAACAGAUGAAACUAAAUUCCAAGAAUCCAACCAAAAAUUCAUCAAACAACAAGAAAAGCAUUGAGCACAGCUGAAAAUCAACCUACACUGAGAACUACUAGUAUUUAGCAAGUGUGAUUGAGUUGGAGGACUUAAACCUUAGGGGGCACAAUCUGAUUAGGCUGAGUAAGGCCAAGAGUGGCGUGAGCAAUGGAGUGGGCCAUCCGUUUUGCUCUUCUUGAAGAAUAAUAACACAAGGGUGCAACAGAAACAGAGAAACCCCAGAGGGGCUUAGAUCGAAAUCUCGUAAAAACCGAGGAACCAGAUGAUGCAGAAGUAUAAGAAGUGGAAGCAACUAAAGUAAGAGAACAAGAGGCUAAAGAUGCUGAUGCUCUGAUGGCGGCCAUUCUGCAGAGUGGGGGGCUAAUCUAUUUAUACUAGUAGAAGUCUUGAACAAAAAUCGUAUCAUCAAAAAUGGAGAGUGUGAUGUGGGGCUGGGUUGCUCAAUGGGCUCAGUCACCAAUGCCUGUUGAUGUCAGCUCCAGCAUCUUUCCUAUCAGCCUAUGAUUAAAAUUGAUUUUUGAUUUGGUUUUUCCCCUUAUCUUUUUGGGAUUUUGCUAAUCUGUUUAAAUUAUCCAUUGGUAGAGUUCUUUAUUUUGAAUCUUGGCUUGGUAUUAGAGUAUUUUACUGCGAUAUGCUAUUGAAUGUUAUAUUGUUCAUCUAUCAACAUUACGAAAAUGAAAAAGAAUAAUAACGCUAGCUUGUUCUUUUUCUUUUCUUUUUUUCUUUUGAGCAAAUAUGCUAUCUUGUUCAUUAGUUACCUUCACAUUUUAAUUGUUUGAGGUAUACUUUAGUACAUCAUCAUUUUAUUACGAUGCCUUUGCCACGCUUUUUCCACAACCAAAAUUGUUGCACUUUUUUAUUUUGACUUGUAGUAAUCAAACUAUAUGUUUAUUAUAAAAUAAAAGGUAAUUUUGUGUCCUUUCUUCUUGGAUUCUUAUAUUAUCCUAAUAACGUAAAAUCAGCUGAAAUAAAUUAUUGCAUAGAGUAUCUCAUUAUUUCACAAGUUGACAUAGGUAAAAUUCACUAAAAUUUUGAAAUCAUACGAAAAAUAAACCUGAAAAAAUAAUAUCCUAGCCCUUAUGUGCAGGAAUUGAAUCACCAAAUUUACUAUUUUGUGGUAAAUAAGGAGGAAACAACAGUACUGUAACAUGUACCAAAAAAACAAAAAGGAAUUGGUUUGUUUGGAUUGGGCUUUAUUUCCCCAAAUUUAUUUGCUUACAUCAUCAUUACAAUUUUCAAUACACCUUUUUACCUUCUCAAUUACCUUUUUAUCUCACAUACAUCACAUCACAAAAAGUGUUACAGUAAAAAUAUCUCUAAUAAUUGAACGCAAUGAGGGAAUAACACCUUUCAACUUGAAAUUUUGACAAAAAGAAAAAAACAACAUUCUAGCCCUUCAAUUUUGUAAUAAUUCCAAAACAAGACAUUUUGUUCAUCGAUCAAAGAUUGAAUCUUGGUUUAGUGGUUUAUAUUCUUGAAUGCUAUCUACCAGAGAUAGAGAUACAAAAGCAUGCUAUCUUGUUGAUGUGUUACGCUUUAAAUUAUUUUUUGUUGUACAUUAGUAUCUCACAAUACAUUUGCCAUGAUUUUGUCACAAGCACAAUGAUUUUAUUUCUUAUUUUUGAAGUUUUAGUGUAAGUAUAUCUUUCUUAUCCAGAGGGAAAAACAGUAUUAUUGGAUAGUGUAUUAUUUAAAAUAUUAUUUGAAAUAAUUAUUGUAACACUUUUUGUGAUGUGAUGUAUGUGAGAUAAAAAGGUGAUUGAGAAUAUAAAAAGGUGGAUUGAAAAAUGUGUCUAUGAUGCAAGCAAAAUAUUAUUUGGGAUAAUUGGGGUAUCCAAACAACUAUAUGUAAUUGGACUUGAAUCGCCUUCAAUAAAUACAACUAGAUAAAAAUAAAUCAUUUGUAUUUUGAAUCUAAUGUAGCAAAUCUUGAAGGGAAAUGACGUUAGAACUCCUAAAAAAUCUCAAACACUCAUUCCUUUUACAUUUAUGGAGUGUUUAAAAGUUUUUUAAAUAGUGCUAAUAUUCAUUUCCUUUCUUAAAAUAUGAAAUGGGAGAUAAUAAAACCAAAUAGUACAAGAGUUAGAUACAAAUCAUUAGGGGGACUCAAACCAGAGCCUUGGCUAUGACUUCUUCUCAGGUAACUCACCGAAAUAUGGGUAAGACGUCCAUCCGUCUGAUAUGAAUAUAUGAUAGCGGUUAGUGAAAAAGUGACAAUCGAUAUAUGACUGGGUGUGGAUUAGUGAGAAAGUGAAAGAUUAUUAGAGUCAUUAAUGUAUUUAUAACAUACUAAUGGACUAUUUAUGUAAUUCUAACAAAUGUAUAUUUCUGUUCCAAGGCUCAACCACCGCUUGCUCGCUCCGGUCGGUUGGUCCGCUUCCACCGGGAAAGGGAAAAUGAAGAAAUAAAUAAAUAAAUAAACUAUAUAUAUAUAUAUAUAUCGUCUGAAUCUCAUGCUUCGCGUGCGUAGAGUUGCCUAUUGUACAUCCGUCUAGAACUUACUAGAAGAAGUAGAAGAAGAAGUCACCGGUUUCGAUUCUGGGGCUCGGGAGCUGUAUAUCUUCUGAAACCCUAGAUGAGCUAAAUUCUGAAGCAUUGUACUAAAAGAAAGAAAAAAAGAAAGAAAUGGUGGCAACAAAUCUCAAAGCAGAGACAAUGAAGCUGAUGGAGCAGAGGAGCGGAAUUGAGGCUGAAAUGAACGUCAUCAUCGAAAAUCUCUGCCGUCCCGGUGGCCCCGGUCUGUCCGGCAACCUCCUUGAUUCCGAGGCAUGCUUUUAUUUUUGGAAAUUUCUAGAUUUAGAGUUAUUUGCUGAUAUCAUUUAUUGAUGAAUUAAGGUAGUAAUGUUUGCUAUUAUCUUGCAGGGAUUUCCAAGGGCUGAUAUCGAUAUUCCUGCUGUGAGAGCUGAACGUCAUAGGCUUGCAGGUAAAUAUGUUGCAUAAAUGGUUAGUAUGGUCAAUUCUCUUCCUUUUUAAGUUCAGGUGAGUAAAUUUUGGUGUGCAAGUGAUGUAAUUAUGAGCAGAGCAAGAUUAAUCGAGGGUUUGUGAUGGGCUAAUAUCUCAGUGGGAUUCUUACUAAGUGGAGCUUGAGUUCUUGGGAAAUCUUGCCCCAAAUUAAACCGAUAAUGUGGCUAAAUGAUGUUGCUUGUUUUAAGUUCAUAGAAGUUUUUGGUAAAUCUUAAGUUACUUCAACUAGGAGUUGAGCAGGAUGUUUGCAUCUUGAAUGAGAUGUAGAACUUGGAAAAAGUUAGCAAUUUUUGCGAGUUUUCUGCACAAGAGAGACAAUCUGUUUGUCUAAGAAGAUGGUUAUUUGGUUGCCUUUAUCUUCAUUGCCAUGCUGCCGUUUGAAUUCUAAACUGGUCAUGAAAAUUGGAAGCAGUAAAUGGUAGUCUCAGGUUUUGAAGAGACACGAGUAGUUAUUGUAAAGCAAAGGCUUUUUGUGCAAGGCCAUAUCAUACCUGGAUUUGGUGUGAUGAAACUGUUUAAUCAAAUCUUGGGGAAGUGUUAUAUUUGGUUUUUGCUUUCAUUUUUGUGGUACAGCAUUUAUGACAACUAUGGGAAGGUGGAAGUUUAUGUGGAAGAAAUGGUGGUAUACCCCCACCUCCUUUCCCAAUAAUUUGUGCUCUCAAGUAACUCAACUGUAUUCUCUAUUGGACCCUGCUCUGCAGUCUUGAUUAUUAAACUUGUGAAUAAGAUGAUGAGAUUAUGGAAGGUUCUUUAUUGUUCUGUUUCAGUUUGACAUGCACUAUGAUGUGGUUAAGUUGUUUGUAUCUACCCUUCUAGAUGAAAAGUUGAACCUCUUUCUUAAUCUGAAUAGUAUCUCUGAAAAGAACCAUGCAGUUUUGUUCAAUUGAUCUUCAUCCAGUAAAGGGCCACUUGGAUUAAAUCUACAUAGUUACUAUUUGGGAAAACUGUUAGUAUAUUUGAUGUAAGUUCACUGAGCAAUGUCUUUUGGAAACCUAAUGGUUUUGUCAUGUUGAUGCUAUGAUGGCCAUCAUUGUGCAGUCUUUUUACUUGCUCAGCGAGAUUGUGAAUUCUCUCUCUGUUUGUUUUUCAGAGGUACGCAAUGAUCAUAAAGAUAUCACAGAGAAAAUAAACCAAAAUAUUCAAGUUCUGCAUUCAGCAAGGCUUACUUCUACGACAACUGAAGAUACAGGUAAUCAUUUCAAUUUUAUGUCUUUCUUGCUGUUCGCAUUGAUCAAGCUUGUGAAUGAGUUAUGUUGUUUAUUUUUAGUAUUUUAAUUUCCAAUGUGAACAUUUUUUUCCAAAAACUUAUUGUUAUUGACUCAUCAGUUGGUGUAACUUUCUUAUUCUUUCAUUCUGCGUCAAUGUUGAACAAUUGAUUGCCUUGUUUGAGUCACCUGAAACUUUAUAUAUUUCACAACUGAGAAUCUUAGUUAAUGCCAAGGGGCUUCUGCCCCCUUCUGGAUUGUACUAUGUCAUGGUCCCAACAGUUGCAUGUAUUUCUGCUAUUUGUUGCUAGUUACUCAGCUAACAAUAUUUUAUGUACUUUUUAAGGUGAUGCAGGGAUGAUUGAUUUAAAUCCUUCUGUAAAUUCUGCCACAAGGGAUGCAUCAAGGGCCAUGGAUGUUGAUGUAGUUGUAAGCAAGCCCUUUGCAGUGGUUGAUGAAAUAACUGAAGGUUCUCCAGCCGCAGAAGACGGUGUACAACUUGGGGAUCAACUUGUGAAAUUUGGAUGUGUGGAAUUUGGUGAAAACCUGUUGCAAAGGCUUGCUGCUGAAGCGCAGACAAAUCAGGGGCGUGCAAUACCUGUGGUGGUUCUCAGGCAGGGUGCUCGGGUUAGUUUAGCAGUAACACCAAGACCAUGGCAGGGACGUGGCUUAUUGGGGUACGUUCAAACUUUUUCUUCCUUGCUUAUGGAUCUCUUUAUUGUCUAAAAUAGUUCUAGCUAUUUAAAAUUUUUGGCCUUAAGAAUCAUCAACCUCAUUAUGGUUGGUGAAAGCUUUAAUUUCUCAGUAAAUGCAAGAAUCGACUAUAGCUGUUUGUGUGUUACAUCUUUACCAAGCUUCUUUCUUUCCAACUCCCUGCCCUUCUUUUGUUCUCUUUUCCUGAGAAAAAAUGAAAAUUAUUGUUGUGUUUGCCAAUUUUUUGAGAUAGAUUGUACAUUUUCAGAUUUGACUCUCUUCUGGAAUCCUAUGAGGGCGAUUUUAGCAAGUUGUUUGAUUGUUGCUUGGUUCCGUGUUAUCUAGGAUGUAUGCGGUACCAAAGAAGGCUGAGAACAAUUUAAAUGCCACCUUUCCUACCCCUUUCUCUGAAGAAAUAGGGAAUCUGGGAAAAUAUUUUUCUGAUAAAAAAUGAUUUUUGUUAGGUCAGAAAAAUCCCAAGUAAACCAAGACUUGGGGCUUGAUAGUGCUGUAGUGUUCAAGAUGCUAACGAGUUCUGUCCUUCCGGUCUCAUCUUUUUAUCUGCUUCUAUUUGUCCAACUAGAUAUUGGACAGGUUCCUAAGGACCUUAAGAUUUAAUGCGCGGAGAGUUUGUCUUAUGGCGUUCAAAAGGGUGGCUUUUUGAGAGAAUUUCGCUAUAGUUUGCUCCCUGGCUUUUCCUGUUUUGAUAAUGUUAGCUAUUCUUGCCUCCCCACAUAUGCUAUAGAUAAAAGUAGAUAAAUGUUCGGUCAGUUGCUACCUCAAGUGCAGUGUCCCCUCACGCAUUCUGGCCUCAUGGGGUCCCUGCCCAGAGUACGCCUCCAGUUGUAGAUAGUCAUCUCAUUGCUAAAGCAACAAUACUGUAGUUGAUUAUUCCGUAUUUUUAUUACUGCUUUUACUUCUUGUUUGUUAAUGUCGCUUUUACUGCGGUCAUUUUGUUUGGAUUGUAAGUUAUUUGAAAUAUUUUUACCGUACCACUUUUUAUGAUGUGACGUAUAUGAGAUAAAAAGAUAAUUAAAAAUAUAAAAAGAUAUAUUAAAAAUUAUAAUGAUGAUAUAAGUAAAUAUAUUUGAAAAAAUAAUUAACUGUCCAAACAAAAUGCUAUUAACCUUCAAUUUCCUGGUGAUGCUUGCAGGUGGCAUAUACAGAUAAUAUAAUUGAUUACGCUGUCGCCUACAGGCUCCACUUGGUAAACUUGAGGCCAUGGAAGUGAAAGGCGUGAAACUUUGACCAUCUAAGAAGGAAAUACUUCUGUCGUGUUCAAACUUCAAAAGUUAAUCUGUCAACAAAAAAUUAUAGCCAUGAUGUUGCUGUACUCAUUAGAUUUAAAGUACUGUAAACAUAGAUUGCUCAUAGCAUGAUGCGUGGAUUUUUAUUCAAAAAUCUAUAACCUUUUUGGGCAGGCAAAGAUUAGCUUUCAUCAAUAGCCUACAAUUCCUACUCUAAUUUCCAUUAACAUGUCCUACAUUUGAGUGACUAGCCAAAACAUAAGCUAGAUUAAUGUUGUAAAAUCGCAAGGUUCCAAACAGAAGGGACUAGAUAUGUUUUGGGCAAAACAAAUGCAACCCAUUUUGGUCCCCCGCUCGAACGAUAGGGAUCAAUUUUCUCACUAGUGUGGAUGUCCCUUGGGCCAUGUUGUUUCUUACAAAAUUUAUUCUUACAAAGGAUCGGACUAGUGACGUAUACAAUACUUGAAUUCCUGAUGUAGAUGCUAUAUGGUUGGUUUUCAUUCUUCAAAGAUUACAAGUGUAAUAUGAGCAUUUCAGAGAUGACAAAUGUAAUUUGAGCAUCCGUCAACAAAAAGAUCACCCUAAAAAUGCUAUAUUGGACGUAACGAAGCUGGUAUUGCAAUCGAAAUAUUUAUUCUAGUUGCAUUUGGCAUAAGAUUAAGUGCAAAAAUAUUGUUAAUUUGUUAUGGUCCAUUUGAAACUAACAUUAAGAUUACAAAGUAGACUUGGUGCCUGUUUAGACUAUUAUAAAAUUGCAUUUCAUUGUUUUAAUUUUUUUUUUUUUUUUGCAUCUUCUUUUAUGAGAUGGAAGAGUAUAACAUUUUUUUUUGGGUAGAUAUAAAAUACAAUAAUCUGAUUGCUGAGAUCUGAAUUCAAGAAGUAAAGCUGGGAUUGGUCAUGUUGUUUAGCAAUCUAAAUCAUGGAAUUUACGAAAUCAAAUGAUUAUGCAUGCUAUUUAGUGGAUUAUCGCAAGGGAUCAAACUAGUAGCAAUUUGAUGUCUUUUUACCAUUUUAUACUUUUAUGGCAUGGAUUCCUCUCUGUACUAUGACUUGAGAGCAUAUUGUUGCCUCAGCUUUUUUGAACUUUCUUGUAUGGUCAUAUAAUCAUGUGUCUCAAUUCACAUGGAAAACAGAAAAAAAAAAAAAAAAAAAAAGGGCUGACGUGCUGUCUUACUUUUCAAUGUAAUCAACUGUUGGAAAUUGUUGUAAAUUGUUUCUUUUAUGUCUUUGGAUUGGGAAAAAUAGAAGACAACUUUUUCUACCAACCAAAAUUGUGUUAAUUCUCUCCCUCAUGUCCUGUUAGAUGGGACUUAAAAAGACACACCGAUUACCCUUUUUGCACCAACCACUUAAAAGAGUAAUAUAGCACUUGAAAAGGAAGAUGUAUGUUUCUCCGUUUCACAGCAACAUACCAGAUGUAGCAGUCGAAUUAAUUUAUUUAUUACGGACAGAAAUUAACUUCUAGAAAACUUGGGGAUUAGAUACUAAUUGUAACCAUAUAUGAUACUUAAUUCAAACCUUGACAGCUUCCUAAAGUUGGUUGUUGUUCCAAAUUGUCACAUGAAAAUGAAAAAAAGAAAAAAGAAAAAAGAAAGGGCUUGUCCCUUAAAUGAUCCCUAUGUUAUGUAUGCAUAUAUGCAGGGGCUCAAGAAUGAGGCCUUAAACUGCAUAUUUGUGGAAAAUUUCUCUUCAUGAUUUAGAAACAAUGAAACUAUACUAGCAUGCCAGACAAAGCCAAUGACACGAGCAAUGAUGAUGAACACCAUGGAACAAGUAAAGAGGUUAAGCCUAUGUAUCUUUAUUCAAGAAAAUGGUAAACGUUUUAUGUUUUAGCAGGAAAGAGUGUUACACGUAAGAAAAGUGGGUCGGAUUGGAUGGUAAAGUAGGAGCGAUUAAAAAAAAAAAAAGAGCGUUACACGUAAAUUAAGUGCUGCUUUCAGGCUUUUUGGUACCAUAAUUUUCGUGUUAUCAAAUGGAAAUGACAGUAAUAAAACUAUAACCGAGUUGCUAAAAAUCAAGUAAUGAGCACUGUUAGUCAAGCAGCAGAAUUACAGAAAUUUACAGUGUCAAUCAAUAAUACAUUCUUGCUGUCACAGCAGGAAAGAAUUCAAGUCCUUUUGUCUCCCAUUCUCAUUUUGGACACAAAUUCCAAAUCUUGUCGACAUCUUAUGCAUGCAAGAUAAAUUGUUGCAGCAAAACAGUUCUGUUUGCCUAAUUUUUCAACCUUGCAUUUAUCUUUUCGAGUCCGUGAUUAAUGGUCCGGCGAAAUGUGUAAAUGUUUCCAACUUUCCAUCCAUCGACAAUUAUUUGAUCCAUCACGAAAUACAUUGAAAACUGAAAGAAACGGAUCAACUAUACUGACUUGCCAGUUGCCAGCAAUGUCAUUGUCACAAAAUUUGAUAAAAUAAUUCAUUUCCUCUUAGUUAGAGCAAAGGUCCAAAUUCCAUUUGGCAGUUUGUGAACUAUUUGUCUUGCAUCUGCUUCCUUAUAUUCGAUUCUCUCUUCUAGGCUUUCGUAGCCAAGUACUCUAAUAAAUAAGAUCAAAUAGUUAAUCGAUUUUUGCGCUUCCGGAAAGUACAAAGAUAUUUUGAGUAGCAGACAGCAAAAGUACUCGUAUCAGUACAAUUAUCUACAAUAAUAGUAGGCACAAAACAAAAUUAUUAAGGUAAAGUCAGAAGUUCUAUUAACAAUCCGGUUGUUGGAUUGAUCAGAAGGGAGUGAGGAAAAAAAAGAAGUGUCUUGAUUAUAACAAAGAAAAACAAGAAGACAAUAAUUAUAUCAACUUCCAAAUUAUGCUUUGUUUUAUUUUUUUUGUUGUCACAGUCAAUUAAGCUUCAUUACAAAACUCUAGCAUUGUUUAUCUAAUUCAUGCACGAUAUAUAUUUUUUUUCAUCGUCAAUUGAGUCUACAGGCACCCGAUGGAGACUGAAUCACCAUCGGACCAGAUAUGAAACGGGUGAAAUUGUUUUCCUCUGUUGAGAUUCCAAAAGGGCCAGAACUGUCUUGUCAUGAAAACCUUUCAUUAAGUAGAUGACUUUUGCCAACAAGAGUGGAGAUAAUUGAUUGGCUUUCGAAAAUAUGCUUAAUAAGGGAUUAAUUAGAUAGACUUAAAAGUGCUAACGCCUGGGUGCGGUUGGGGUGGCGCUGUACUCCAGGCGCAGGGGAUUAGUCGGGCCGCCUUCGGGUCUUGACCCGGACACCCCUGUGUUGAAAAAAAAAAAAAAAAAAAAAAGAUAGACUUGAGCAGUGAAGCAUUUCAACACAAAAAUCAUGGCGUUUUAAGCUGUGUAACAGACUAAUGUCAAGUUUUUGAUAAUCCGUGAAGGGACAAUUAAACGAAACCAUUUCAGGGAAAAAGAAUAUAUUUGUUAGUUAAGAGAGAUGUUUACCCUAUUAAGCCAAAAUUGAUUUGUUUCUUAAAAGUCUUGCUUUCCAUUUCAAUCUUUUGUCGUUUGUUUGGAUUUGUGUAAACAUUUAAGAGAAGUCCAAGAUGGGAAGCAAAGCAUCCAAUGACUCAAAUGUAAGCAUCACCUCCGAUUCAACUGUCCAUCCAAAGCCAGGCACCCCUCACUUGCAACUUUCAGGGACUCCUUGGAACCUUAACAAACAAAACCCAACUAAUUGGCUAAAUUGAAGUUUGAGAGAGAACUGUUUAUUAGUAAGAUGGAAUUAUGGAACAUUUCUGACUCGAAAUGUUAGGGAGAAACGAAAGCUAAACUGAUGGUUUCUUGUCGAAAUCAAGUUUAGUUAAAAUUGCAUUACACAAGUAAAUCUUAACCAUUUCUGUGGUUCAAAAAGACUCUUAUUUUUCUGGAAGCUUAUGCUGUUCAGUCUUAAUUUUAUGGUUUCAGAUGUGUACCGUCUUGGUCGAGGCAAGUAUUCUUAAAACAAACUUCUGUCCAUUCCCACCUUACUAUUUCUGAUUUAAUGAAAUCAAACCUCUUAUAAUUGGUUCAAUUGAGUUUUGUCCAAUUCUGUCCAAUUUGUGUGAUUUUCAAGAUUUGAUAUAAAACCACACAAUAUUUGUUUGUGGAAGUAUUUUAUCUUGUUUGUAUACACCAAACUUGUAAGAAUUACACCAACUCGAUAAAAUAAGGGAUAAUUUCAGAAACCUCCCCUAAGGUUUCUGACAGUCUCACUGUCCUUCCCUAAAGUUUUCAAAAUAUCAGAAAUCUUUCAUAAACCUAAUUAGCUAGUAACAAAUCAACCCAAUUCAAAUACAAAAAUAAUAUAAAAUUGGUAUUAGGAGAGAGAAGACGAUUUGAUUCCAUAACUACCCCUUAAAUUUUGCAUUGGGUAUUUAAUUCAUUAUGAACAAUAUAUAUCUAUUUUAAAUUUAGCAAAUGUGAGGUGUUGUAAAUGAAAUUGCUUACAAAAGCAAGGCUCCAAUUUCAAAAUUGUGUAACUAUUACUACAUUUACAGAGUGUAAACAAAAGAUCAGUUUUCUAACUUUACGUCAAGUUUAGCAACUCAAAGUCUCAUCUAUGUAUUUCACGUGUAAUAUCACACUAUUACAUCUAUUAUAACACAUCAGUUGCAUACUCUACUUCAGGAGAAACAAAGCAUGUAAACCUUGCUACAGCCAACAUUUCAAUUUAAAAAAGGCCAUUUGUUGAAUAAUCACAAACAAGAAAAAAAUUAUCAUCAUUAAAAGAUUUUUCAAUUUAGUAGCACACAACCAACAAUCUGUACUUAUAUUUCAUACAACACUAAUACCUAUUUUCCAUGACAAUAAAAGUAACAAUUAGGAUAAAAAAAGAAAAAGCACUAUAAUUGAAUAUCAAUCAUCAAAUGGAGCAGAUCAUAUAGAAAAUAAUACAAACUAUAUAAUGUCAUAUUUUCCAAUUUUUGUUUGAUCCAAGCUAUUAUUUUUCACUUGUCGGGUCACUGUUAAGCAUGACCAACAAGAAUUACCGUAACAUUUGCAAUCAAAUAAUAAAAAUUCCAAAAUUUAAGAGCAGAAAAAUCUUAGAGGUCGAUCUUGAAAUUUUCACAAUCACCAAAAUUUUGAGAAAAUUUUGAGAGUAAAUUUCCUCUUCAAGUCUCCUAAAUCCUUAGAUCUAUUUCUCUUAUUCCACAAAAACCACUAAAGUCUGAAUUAUUGUUUCUACUCAUUCACAUCAAUUAUCAAUCUCAAAAAUGCACCUAUAUUUGGCUCCCGUUUUGUAAUGGCAUAUUAGAAAUUUAAAAAAAAAACUUAUAAAUUGUCAUUAUUUCUAUUAAACCAGUUAAUAACAAUUUAACUAAGAAUGUGAGCAUAAUUGCGAAAUAUCUCUUAAAUUGUGUGGGUAAUUAAGCCAUGCUUGGAUUGCUUGUUUCCGUCGGAAAAUAUUAUCGUUUUCCGUGAUCACAUUUCUCUAUCACCUUUUUCCCUCACAUAUAUCAAAUCGCUACAGUAAUUUUUUUAUGAAAAAUAACGGAAAAUGCAAUCCAAACACAACCGUGAUAGACGUAGCAAAUGGACCCCAAUGACCUGACAGGGAGGUUUCUGAUAUUUUAGAAACCUAAACCUCAGGGAGGUUUCUGAAAUUAACCCAUAAAAUAAUCUCACUUGGACCUGCCACUAAACUACAUUAGCUAUGGACUUAAAAAGUAGUAAAAAAAUUGUUUAAAUUGCCUUGGCUAAAGAAAGAAAGUUGAAACGGUCAAGCUCAUCUCCAAUCACACUCCAUCGCCCAUUCCUCUUCCACUCACUCUCCCUCUCCCUCUCAUUUUUCUUCUUUGCCUCCCUGUCUCUCCCAAUCUCUCUCAUCAAUUAAUCCUCUCCCUUCUUCACCUGUUGUGGUAAGUGAAAAAAGUUCAUGGUUCAUCUCUCACUCUCCCACAUUGUUCUUUCACAUUUCAGGUCUCCACUUUACCACACUCCCGAAAGGUAAAAAUGACAACUUUCCCAAAAUUUACAGCCCAUAAUAGAAUAUAGUGCAGUGUAAGUGCUCUGCCAAAUUCUUUGUUUUUACUGCCAUCAUCAUUCUCAUCUUAGCACUGGUUAAAAAAUGUCAGCUUUUGUGCUUCAACAAGUGCUAAUAAAGCUCUGAGAAAAAUCAAAAGAGAAAGAAACAUUUGCAGACUGGAAUCUACCCUCUCUUUUAAGAAGGCUCAUUAUUAUUCUAAUACCUUUCUUGGCUCAAUAUAAAACCACCUAUUCACAGCUGUCUGCUAUACUUAAAUCAGUAACUGCUGCCACUCCUCCCUCCUCUACUUAUAAGUGCGUCUUAUUCUAUGGCGUGCGUGCAAAUCUAGGCAUUGGUCAAAAAGGUGAUAUAUAUUUUUCCCAUAUAUGAAUAAGGGUGGUAUACUUGAAAUUUUGAGAAAUGGGUUUCUGGGGCUUUUGAAUUUUGAAGCAAGGAAAUGGUGGGUAAGAGUAAAAAGCACUACUUUUUUUAUUUGUUGAGGGAAGGCAGGAAAGUUUGGGUCUCUUUGGCGUUCUACUCUGGCGUUUUUGGGGUUCGAGUAGCGGGGGAGGAGAGGGGUUUUGGAAGCUGAAAUGUGGUUUGGUAAUGCGUGGAACUUAGCUGAUGAAUAAUCCUUUUGUAGUUAACUAGGGAUUUUGAGAGAAUUGUACUAAACCCAAAAAGGGAUUUGGUUAGAGUUUCUUGGUUUCUCAGUGGGGUUGAGCAUCUUGCAAUGUGGUUGUAAUGGAUGGUAUUCAACCUUAAAUUUGGUGAAUUCUUGACUAUCUGGGAGCAUAGGAACAGAGGCAAGUGUUACAAGUUAGAAGAAGUACCUCAUUCAAUGUCAGGGGCGCCAAGGAUGAGGCCAAUGAGCGUGGGAGAUUCAGAAGGGAGGUCUGUCCUAGUACCAGGUGGGAACAAGGCACAGCGGUCACUUAGGGUGAAAAAGCCUGUCACUAAGGCUUGGGGAAAGGCAGAGAAGUCAACUGACGAAGUUGAGGUCGUGGAAGAUAAAAAUGGCCCUUCAUCACCAACUUCUGUUACUGAUUUAUCGCCUCCCUUGAAUUCUACACGCUUUCCUUCAAUACUUCGUAGACAGGAUUCAUUGUUGCACUCUAGUUUAUCACUCAGUGCUUCAUGCUCUUCUGAUGCUUCUACAGAUUCAUUUCAUAGUCGGGCAUCAACCGGUAGAAUUUAUAGAACAAGAAUUAUUGCGAAUAGGAAAAAGCACUCGGCAUCAAAGGCAAAAAUAGUUGGUCCAAAUGGUGUUUCAGGAUCAACAUCUGAUGGUUUGCCGGCCAAGAGAACUUGUGCCUGGGUGACACCUACUACUGGUAAGUCUUGAUUUUGAAAUUUGAAGUUAACUCUGAUGUAUAGUCACUUCCGUUUAUAUUUCAUUUCGUGUUGUUUCAUUUUUCAGAUUUCAUUAGUGUAUAGGGGUCAGUAGUUUGAUGGUUCUAGGUUCUAGAGUUUGCUCCGCUAGGUUUGCUUAAGGCAGAAAUGAAACUAGUGAGUUCAACAAAAUUCAAAAUUUCAGCAGUUAGUGCUUUGCAAAGAACUAAGGAAUGUGUUUCAUAAACUCAGUUUGCUCGCAAUUACAAGGUUAUUUCUAAUUUUCUUCUGGAAUCUGAAUUCCUUUUAAGAACUAAGAAGGGAAACAAUAUUGGCUUCUGAGUGUUAUAAGGUUUGUUGAUUCAAUACAUUUUAGAAUAGUUUAGAAUAGCGAUUGUUCUGCCAAUGAUACAUCAAAAUUUUGUAAGUUCAGCAUUUGCUUUAUAAAGAGGAAGUUCCCUCUUUAACCUAUGGAGGUUAAUGCUGGCAACUCUUUUGUACCACUGCUUGUAUAGUAUUUUUCUUGGAUCUUCUAUGACAUACUAUUCUUAAAUUAAAUUUGUUGAGAGACAAUAUCUGCUACAUCAAAACAACUGAAUAUUAAAAUUACAGGCUUGGAUGAAAAUUUUGCAUUCCAUAUCAGUUAAUUUUGGUGAAAUUUUUUGGCUGUUUGCGCCUGCAUUAAAAUGCUAGAAAUGAAGUGCAAGCUCUACAUAUCCAGGCUAUUCAUUUUAUCUUUUAAGUUGCUUGAAAUCAUUAGCCUAUGUUCAUAUAAUAAGAGGAGGUGGUAUUCUGGCAAUUUUAAAUUGGAUCUUUAAUUGUGCGCCCCCCCACCCCCCUUCUCUUUAAAAGGAAACUGAGUCCCAACAUAGAAUUUUUUGGUCAAAAUGUGGACGAUUUCCUUAUUUCCUUUAAAUUAAUUUAUUUUGAAAAUGAUCAAGUUUUUGUCAAAUUACUUUUAGUUGACAUUUUAACAAUCUUCAGAAGAUGUAUUCCAGGUCUAAAUAAAUAAGCAACAUAAAUUGAUCCGACAGGUGAAAAUUUGACGUUUAUAUUGAAAUGAUGGUGGAAGGGGUUUUAGUUUCCUUUAACUGAAACUGCAAACACAUUCUUUAAACAAUUAAAGCCUGUUUGUACCUAGAAUCAGGGGGUCCAUUUACUACCUCCUGGCUGCAAAGUUAGCUAGGUAUAUUAUGUAGACAGGUUCCUGAUGAUGAUGGCCAUGGUUUUAAGUUCUCUUGAGCUGUCUAUUUGUUUAUAGCUUUCAAUUGCUGAUGGCAGAUCCAGCAUAUGCUACUUUUCAUGACGAAGAAUGGGGGGUUCCAGUUCAUGAUGACAAGUGAGCAACUGAAAUGAUGUUUGCAUUUAUUUUUUAUAGUCUAAAUCUGAAUUAUGUGGUGAUUUCUUUGCUCUCUUCCCCCUUUUUGUGUAUGAUUGUGCCCAUUGAUUUGUGCAGGAGACUGUUCGAGCUCCUUGUUCUUUGUGGAGCCUUAUCUGAACUUACAUGGCCUUCUAUCCUCAGUAGAAGGCAGAUAUUUAGGUAUCUUCCAUAUAUUGCUUUCCUUGUUAUCUAUGAUUAGUGAAUGUGAUCUGUCAGUGUAAAGCACAUAGAUCAGUUUGGUAAUAUCUUGUGCUGCUUGUUGAUUUCUACACUAUUUCUAAGAAGAGGACUAUCUUAACGUUUUCUGAUCUUGUUGUUUUGCCUUCGCUUGAGCUAUUUUGAUGCAUUCUUUAUUGACAAAAUUUCUUUACGCAGGGAAGUAUUUGCAGAUUUUGAUCCCACUGUGGUUGCAAAGUUGAAUGAAAAGAAAAUAAUAGCACCUGGAAGCACUGCAAGUUCGCUACUAUCAGAGCUUAGAUUGCGAGCCAUAAUUGAAAAUGCUCGUCAAAUAUCCAAGGUAGAUUGUCUAAUGGUGCACAUUGUCUGGUAACUCUGUCCACCAGGUCAACUAGUUUGAGAUCAGGCCCUUGAGUUAUUAGUUGGUUUGGUUUCCAAGACAAAUCUGGCUAUAGCUAUAGUGAUUGAUCUUAUGGCAGUUAGACUGUUAUGGAUGUUGUCAUUAAUCUUGCUGUCCACCAAAAUGAUCAUGGCCUUGUUGUAGUACAGCAUUUACGGACCCACUAAGUUUUUUUGCUCAUGUCAUUCUGUCCAAUAGAUGGGUUUAGGACUAAUUGAUCAGUCAGAUUAGGCGGAAAGUAACUUAGUGGUGGUCCUGACCAUCUCCAAUCCGUUUUAUGUACUAAGGGCCAUGGGAAAAUUAUUUGCCCUGUUCUCUAUUAUACUGCAAAUGGCAAGUUAAAAAGUUUGCAUUUUGAUCUUGAUACUGUAAAGUUCAAAAUGAUCACUUAACAUAACUGUCCCUCUCAUUAACCGUGCCAGCUUGCCUCUAACCUAACUUUAUUGGUAGAGUAAAAGAACAGAUUUUUAUAGCUCUUUUAGCUAGUGUUACUGCAACUAACUUUUUUCAGGUUUUGCCAAUGGCAGGUCAUAGAUGAAUUUGGGUCAUUUGACAAGUAUAUCUGGAGCUUUGUGAACCACAAGCCUUUGGUUAGCAGAUUCCGCUAUCCUCGCCAGAUUCCGGUGAAGACCCCAAAAGCUGAUGUUAUCAGCAAAGACCUAAUGAGAAGAGGUUUUAGGUGUGUGGGGCCAACGGUCGUCUACUCAUUUAUGCAGGUUGCUGGUUUAACAAAUGACCAUCUUGUUAGUUGCUUCAGAUUCCAGGACUGCAUGACUCCUGAAGGAAAAGCAGAAGCUAGCGUUGAGGAUAUUGCCCAGCAGAAGAAAGUCAACGAAAUCAUCAAAUCCGAGUUAUGUGUAUCAAUGGACGAGUUGAGUAUUUCAUCCGAAUGACCUGGUUUAUCUACUUUGGGGCAGGCAAUGAUAAUGUUACUUCUUCUGUAACGCCUCUAUCAACUGCUAUUCAGCCAUAAUUUCAUAUAUAUAGCAGUUAGCUGCAAAGAUGGUUGUGUAUAUAGAAUUUAUGCAUCAAGAAUUUCCUAGAUUGGGGACCAUGAUUAAUCAACGGAUAUCUCAAUUUAGAAUCCCUUGUAUAGUAGAAAAGCUAGUGUUGUGAUUCUACUCUUCUCAAAAUCUAAUCCAGAUUACAAGUAGGGGCCAUUUUGACAUGAAUCAAACCGGCUGAAAAUUUGCUGGUCUAGGCGUGGUACUGGCUUUGUGAGGCACCUGUCUUGGGACACAAAGUACUAUCAUGGUUGCGAGUUUCCCAUGCUGUUCAUGAAGAGGGUGUCAAAACUUGUUCCAUUAGCCCAGCUUUUAAUGCCUGCUUUGGAACUAACGUGACAACAUUAUACUAUUAACUUUGUCUAGGAGUUGUUGGCCUCAUUUAAAUGUGAUUGGAAAACUUAUCUACAGGACCCCAAUUCCUUCAAGGACAGGGACCAAGUGAAUUUACUCUACUGAGGAUGUGAAGUUUUGGGCGCGGACUUGAGUAGAGCAAUCGUUCGCGUGUGCCUGGCUACACUUGAGAAGAGGCUGGCUUAGAGACGCCUCCAACCCACUGCCUCCGUCACCACACCAAACGUUUACGGCAUUUAAAUAUAAGCUAUUUUUAGUCGUUCCAAUAUAUUUGAACAGUCGGACUUUUUUAGCAUGGUGGUUGUGACUACUCAUCGCUGUCGUGACAAUUUUGGAGCUUUCUUCCAAGUAACAGACAGCAUGGAAGAGUUCGAAAGAGGGAAAUUGCUCUUAACUUGUACAUUACUAUGCAAUUCAUCUCACUUGCCAACCAAAACCUUGUCAGCAAGUGCUCCAGACUUUAGUGUCACCACAUGAUAGGUUCAAGGAACAGUGAUGCAAUGUACCCGGGUGUCUGGCGAACUUGUAAUCUAUCAUAAAAACUUCCCAGUAAUGAAAGAUGGAUGACGAAAACAGGAUGUUUUUAACCUAUGCUUCAGUCAACACGAGUAGAAGGCAAGAAUUGAAGGAAAAUAGGAUGUUUUGCCUACACACAGUGAACAAAGGAUAACAAGAACCGAAACCUUUCAUGCAAAUUCAAGCAGUAAGCAGCUUCAUUUGAAUCAAAAAGUUUUAACGCUUAAAUUUCUGCCAUCUUCUUUGUUGGAUUUACUUUAGGCACCACACCACAUCAAACAUACUAGACAGCCAUUCUGCAAUUAUUCAUGCAAGACAAGACUUACAUAUUGAUGUAAGAGGAAGCCGUGCUCUUUUCCUCUAAGCUUGUAUAAAAUCAAAGGCAGCAAUUGCACAAAGCUGAACAUUACGCAUAAAACAAUUUCUCAAGAUAAGUACAGAGAAAACAUAACAGGCCUCUAUUGCUCUCAGAUUGCCCAUAUCAAAGUCAACUAAACUUGACAAGCACAAGAAACUCUCUGUUUAGCUUACCAUUUCGAUUAAUUAGUGCACAACAAUGUACAUGAUGAAGCAGCCAAUCCUAUUCUAUUCCAGCACUAUCAAUCAGUCUAACCUACUAAAAAGCCAUACAAACAGCUAGAUAAAUGAAGCAUACCUAUAUUUGACAAGGAAACACACAAGGAGAUAAAAUCAAGCAAAGAAAGCAUCUUAUCCAAAAGAUACUUUUUCUUUAUGCCAUCCAGUCCUACUCACUAUCUUUGCUCAGACUGGAGACUGGAAUUUCAGCAAGGCUUGAUUUCAAACCCAAUACUUAAGAGAGUUCUAGCAGAUUCAACGUUCUUCUCACCUCCACAUUCCAAUGUCUGACCUUUCAGUCCACCUUCUUUGUCUACUGACCACUGGGUGGCAGAUACUUGAUUCUGGAUGGUUUCAGAUUUUACUACCUGCACAGUGCUCAUUGAAGCAGGAGCAGCGGCAGCAACAAGUGGAGCACUAGGUGGGCCAUGACGUUUCUUUGGUACUGGCAUGUCAUGAUCAUGUACACCUUUGUAGGUUAUUAUGACAGCAUUUGUGUUAUCUUUGGCCCUCUCAAUGUGCUUUCGAACUGGACAUCCUGCUGAAGUACACCUAUAAUAGUUCCUGAAAUUCAUUGAUUUGAGAUGAAACCAACCAAUAAACAUGUAGGUCUGGUAGACAACAAGAAAAAAAAAAAAAAAAGAAUGUCAGAAGACUUCCAAUUAUUGCUCAGCUAAGAAAACAAUCGAAUCCAAGCACUGGCAAGCACAAGGUCUCUCAUUACAUUCAUUUGACACUAUUUCACAGACAUCUAACUUUGGGGAUCAAUACAACCAAAAAGACACUCUUGGUGAACCUAAACGGAAUUCGGGAUAUCCAGUGAAUGUAUAUAGUUUUUUGAUUACGGGUGAAAUUUAGCACAAUAAUCACUGUAUCUUUCCAUUAUUCUAGCAAAAUAUCUGUCUCAAAAACAACAAAGGCUAAAGCAUUGGCGCAUGUCAGGGCUACACGUAAAGUGCUCCGCUCGUGUCUUAAAUAUAUAUACAGUUGUACACAUUAAUUGAGACGUAUUCAUCCAUUGAUUCAGUUGUAUGACCAGUAUUAAGUCCUUGAUGUAUGAUAUUAAACAAUAAGCCACUAACUGCUAGCUUCUUCAUGUCUCACUGCCGUCACUUCUAAAACCCUACAAGUUUAAUUCCAAAUGUUUCUCUUUUCCUCCAUUUAACUGCUAAGAUAUCACAUUUAGCAGCAACUUAUCCACCAAUGUUUCUCUUGAAGUCCUCAGUUUACAAACUGUAUCAGAUAGUUUUUCCUUUGCAGUCUUAGGAUAACACCACAAUCAGUCAACAUUUAGAAAUCUUCAUUCAUCUUAAGGCAUGGAAGCAACUAAUUUUGUUCCUGCAAUCUAACAAUUUUAGUACCUCAUGAAGUCAAUCUUUGUUCUUCUUUGGAUAGGACUUGAAAUGUCUUGAGUUUUCUCCUUAAACUAUUUAAUGGAUAAAAGCUUAGUAAUAUAGCAAUUAGCACUGUCAGUGAUUACUCCUAUCAUGCACACAUAAUAAGCAGGACAGGAUACAUCUCAGAGAAGAAAAAAGUUGUAUGAAAGUAGAAUCCCAACUGCACCAUUCCUUUUCACUUUCUAGUAGGAAUUCAUGUUUAUUUCUUGUAAACCUUGGCCAUCUUACUAAUCAGAAUGCUGACCUCUACACACAGGUUUCUACUCUCACAACUUGCCUUUAACUUUUCUUCCAGUGUUUAGUUCAGAAAAUCAUCCCCCUCCAGUUAUCAGGUAUCAAAUAGACAGUGCAUGACAACACAACAUCAAGUACCAAUUUAUGCCUGUGAAGGGAGCAAAUCUCUAAUCUCUAAUUCCUUCUAACAGGACCUAGGCAAAGGAAAACGUUUGAGCAAGACUUGUAAGGAGGAUAAGCUGGAUACUUCUAGCAUUUGCUUCUUGUCAUAUAUGGGUAGACUAUAAGGAACAUCAAGAUUCCCUCGCUUGAAGUUAAACUCAACUCAAAGGAUAUUCCAACAUUCACUUUUUAACAGCAAAGUGUGAGAAACAAAAGCAGAAUAAUACAUCACAAGAAUUUCUUUAAGAUCUCAUAUCAUAAUAGAAAACAUUUUACCUUGGAUGAGGAUUCCCCUUGACCAUCUUUUGCCCAUACUUCCGCCACCUGUAGCCAUCUGCUGAGAUUCCCACAUCACUAGCAGCAUGGACCACAAUUUUUGGUUUCUUUCCAGGUUUUAAAAGAGGAGCAGAGCAGCUAGCAACAGUUUUCUUCAAUCUGGUAAUCCAAAGAGUUAAUAUAUAUUAGUAUGUAUUAAUUAUCAGCUUAGAGAGAAACUAACUAGAUGUAAUCAGUAAUAGACAGAUAUUUGCUUAUGUUGAAUUACCUUUUGCUUGGUUCAGGUUCAUCUUCUCGCUCCUGCUUAAUAUUAGUUUCAGCAUUAUCAUCUGAAUCACUGGAAUCCUUUUGUAUUGGAUCUGGUACACUAACUUUUUCCUGUACAGAGUCUUUUGAAGAAGUGGAAGGAGCUGAAUCAGCUGUAGCUCCAAUUGGAGCAACCGAAGAGUCACUCCCAUUUGCAGGGGCAAUUGACAAUGAAUGCCUGCUUCCCCUUGUGCAAUUUACUUUUUGAGGAGGAUCAUGAUUGUGAUGACUUCUAUAAACAAUUUCCAUAACACGAUUAGAAUCAUCAGAACAUUCAAUUUUCUUAGCACAGCACUCAGAGUACGUGCAUCUAUAAUAACUCCGAGAGCCUUGAGGACUCUUAACUUGCUUUUGACCAUACUUCCGCCAGUUGUAGCCAUCAGGGGAAGGUGUUUUUUGAAUGGACACAACAGAUAAAGUUUUUGGGUCAAAUGAAUUCUUUUUGUCUGCCUCUGAUGUGUGUGAGGUGUUUCUGUUAUCUCCAGGUGACAUUUUUUGUUCUGGAAGAGUAGGACUUGGAACGGAUGAAAUCGGCUGAGUAACAGAAGUUGGAGAUGGUUCUGAUGAACGUGGACCAUUAGGUGGCUCUUGCUGAUUCUGUGUCUGAUCUGGAACAGCUUGAUCUGCAAUGAUUCUGAAUUCUUCUUGGUAGGACAUGCCAACUUGAUCCUGAAAAAAUUAAAUAAAAAUGAAAUGAGAAUCAAUUACAUACAACAGAAUGCAGGAAGCACCUAAAUCAAAGUUCUUUAGUUCGACAGAGAAAAAUUUAACAUGUAAAUUCCAUCGUGUUCUAAGUAGGAAGAAAGGACAAAAUCCUACUUGCUCCACUUAUAAUAUGCAUGCAGCCACUAAAGAAGUUCUGAAUGUAUGUAAAUGCAGAAAUUUCAAUAGACAGUAAUAAUAACAUGGCAACAGAAAAUGCCAUCAAAAGAUAGCAGUUACACUAAUUCAUAAUUAACAUGUUGAAUUGGCUUGCACAUGUAGUUACAUGUGGUAACCUCGAGUUUUGAGUUGCAUGUUCCUAUAGAUGAGCAUUCUCAGAGUACAUUUAGCUUCUCAUUCGACUUUCAUAGGACAAAUUUUUUGAAAUACCAAAAAAUUAUACAUGCAAGUAUGGGGGGUUCUCUACUAUGAAGCAUGUUGGAAAACUAAGAGCCAGCAAAAGGUAGAUAAAUUGACUUUUGGCCACAUUAUCUGAAUUAUUUCAGCACGUGUUUUGAUAUUUUGCUGGAUAAGGUAAAUUACACUUUGUCCAUCCGUCUUGCAAGGACACAUUUCUUUCUUCAAUUAUUGCAAAAUACACUUUCAAAAUCAAAAGUCAAACUAAAGUAAUUAACUGGUAAUCUUCAUGUAAUACGAAAGAAGUUAGAAAUACAAGACUAAAAUAUCCUCUCAAAUUUCAAGUUUUCACAUAUAAGGAAUGCUAAUGAUGAAAUCACAAUUCCACAUGUAGCUUCAUAUUAUAUGUCCAGCCAAACAGGAAAACAAAACCUACAGUCUGGUGCAUUCAAAGACUAGUGUUGGGAAUUGUCACCACUCUUAAGGGACUUGAAAUAGAGCUUUUUUUUAUCUCAAUUCUUUGAUUCUCUUUCAGAAUUUCAAGUUAUUUUCUUCCAUUAUGCGGUUUUAAUACAUAGGCUACAAAUUCAAGCCUCAGAUAUGAUAACUUCAUGAAUUCUACAAAUGUCUUUAAUAUCUUGCUUUGCACCACUCCUCUUCUUAUGCUUGUCCAUAUAUUUUUUUCCCAAGCUUCUACACUUAAUUACCAUAGCUGAUGUGGAUCUUAACUUCAGUGUCAAUGAAAAUCAUGCAAAACCAAGAAAAUCUUGUUAUUUAGUUGAAGCUUGAAUACAACAAGAUCACUAAUUUUAAAAAGACCUUCUAGCAAAGUUAUGAUCACUAGAACUCUAAUUUCCAGGUCCUUAAUUUUUUGCUCUAACUCAACUAGUAGAAGCAAAACUUCUUUUUUGGCAGAUCUGAUCUCGUAGCUAAGAAGAUCAGAUGAAUUGAGGGCCUGAACAAAUACUCAAUUCCAAAAACCAAAGCCCUAAAAACUAAAAAAAGGUCGGGGCAGAUCAUUUGACAGCCAAGCUAGUACCAGAACCCAAAUAAUUCAGCUAGUACCAACAAUAAGACAACGAGAAUGACAAUUAAUCAAGGACAAAUUAUCCAAAAUCAACGAGAAUGACACAGGUGCAAACUCCAACAAGGACAGAAAUUAUCCAAAAAAAUUUCACGAACAUCCAAUUAAUCAUGAAACAUAUUACUAGUAAAUUUAAAAUCAAAAGUAACUAAAACAAAGGUUUAUUCUAACCUUCAAUUCCUCGGCCGGCUCCAACCGUUGCAUUUCAUUGUCCACCGCCACCUCUGUUUUACAACUCACUAAACUUAAUAUUUUUUCCGCACAAUUUCAAACCACUAACCUUACAACAUGCAGACACUCAUGGCACACACAUCACACUUAAAAACAGGAAACAGGAAAUUAGCAUUAAAGAAUGACCGGAAGAAAAAAGGGAAAAAGAAAAACUCUCACUCACACACACACAAUAUACACAAACCGCACAGAAACAAACGGUAGAUUAGACAGGAAAAAAAAAUGUAAUGUUCGAGGAGAAAAAACGGAGGGAGAGUUAAGCACCGAAUUUGCAGUGGAGAUCACUCGAGGCGGCGGUAGCUAGGGUUUCGGGAGUAGACGAAGCUCUGUUAUUACUCAUCUGAGCUACUACUACUGGAAUUGAACUGUUGUCAACAGUUUUAGAAUUCACUUGCUCAUAACCAUCACCACCGCCACCUCGAGAAUUUUCGUCAAAUUCUUCCCUGGACUUUGAAUUCUGAGCUGCUGCUUCAUCUUCUUCUUCGCAGCUCGGGCUUUUGUUGCUACUAUUAUUAUCAGAAUUGAAAUUUUUGGCGUCCAUGGCGCCCGAGUGCAGCAGCUGCAGCACACAGUUAGUGCGUGUAAUAUAGAGAGAGAAAGGAAAGGUAAUAAAAUUUCUUUUUUGGAACGUUAUUUUAAUUUUUGCAUCUAACCGCAUAGUUUUGGUUUAGCGGUCGUGGUUAGCAAUUCGGGUACAAACAUGGGUUCUGAUUAGUAUUGUUGUGGGGGCGCGCCCAUUGUCGUGCUAUAGUAACAUUAUUGUCCUUUAAAACAAAGUAAAAAUGUGUAAUCAAGAAAAAAUAUUGCUAAAUUUAGGAGACAAAUAAAGUAAAAAUAGAAAAGGGCAAAUUCCAAUAGUUGAAAAUGAAAAGGAUCAUAGAUGGCUGAAAAUAACUAAGUUGGUUUAAAAUUUUGGUCCUUAAAAUUAAUCUUUAAAAAGUUUUAAUAAAACUAAAUUGUGCACGCAAUAUAUUUAGUUAAACUGUUAAGUCAAAUAAGACACAUUUAGAUGCUCUCUAAAAUAGAAUCUUUCCUUACCUCUAUUAAGAGAUAGUCAAAUUUUGUCUAUUAUAUCUUUUUGUCGUGUUAUCACUUAUCACUCAAUUGGAACAGAAUUAUUUUGCAAUAUUCGAAAAUUUAUGAUGAAUAAUAAAUUAUUACGAAAGUACACUGCUAAUUGCAGAUAUUAACGUUGUUUCAAUAUAUGAAGCCUCAUGGAUUCAAGUAGGAUUUACUCUAAAAGUUGCAACUGAUUCAAUUGAAACUUGAAUUAGUAAUAUUGUCAUUUUCCUUUUUAGGAGAGACUUUGCGAGUAGAAAUGUGCAAUACAAAGGCAUGAGGGUACAAUAGUCAUUCGAGAGGGAAGAAAGAGGAUGAGUGGACCGGAGCGGCCAGAAAUGAGAAUAGUAACCGGUGUUAACUGUUAAAGGCCUAAUAUAAAAAUGAACCGGACAAAAGAUCCGAGGAAGGGGAAUUAAUGAAGUGUGUUGUUGACUGGUGUUGACUCAGGUGCUUUCUGUAUUACUUAUGCCGGCAUCUUCUAAACGGGCGUUAGAUUCUCCGUUAGGCGUUAGAUUGGUGGGUGGCUCAAUCAGGACUAUCUAUGACCGGCGCGUUGACGUUUUCGUUCUACUAGCACCUGAAAAAUUCACGAUUUCAUCAAAUUCGUCUCUUCACAUUUUUUUCCUUUUUGUUUUUACAAACUAAAUUCAUUUUCUUUUCUAAAUAUGACUAAUCUAAAUAUCUGAAAUAUAUAUCACAUGAGUUUAUAUUAUAUCUUCCAGUAAUUAAAUUAAUGAUAUUAUAAACAAGUACUGCAUCCUAGACUUACCGAUCUUUUUAUUAUAUUUUUGUGGAGUAAAUAAAAAUAGAAGAGCAUGUACUAACUUUGGUAAUAUUAGGUCUGAAUGCAUGAUAUAUGAUAUGUGUUCAAAUUUAUUUAUUUAUUUUUACAUGUCUUAUGUGUCUACAUUUGUUUGUGUGAAAAAAAAAAUUGCACUGAUUGAUAUAGGAAAAAAUAAUUUAAAAACAUUCCAACAAACUAUCAUUUCAAGUAGUCAGGAAGGAUUUUUAGAACUUUUCCUAUUAUCAGAUCAACAAUUUGGAUCUUGGCGACCAUUAAGACAAUUGGAAUGAAAUUUGCUCUCUUUUUUCUAUUUAUUGUAUCUAAAAUUAGUUUAUCAUAAUUUAUAGAAAAUUCAGUUAGAGUAUUUUGAGGUGGAGAAGCAAACUCGGCGGUUAAUACUCAUAAAAGGGUUCAUUAACGUGCUGGAUAAACAAGAAGUCAAGUGAAGUUCUCCAUCCCCUCCGGCAAAAAGAGAAAACUUGCAAGGGAAUUUUUUUUCCAUUUAAGCAAAAAAUCUAAAAUUUUAACUACAAUUUGUCCAUUUCUUCAUUCUACAAAACAAACGAGAUGUCUAAAACGCGUAAGAAAUCCCUCUUGGAUCAACUUGAAGAAAUUGAUUAAUUAGUUCUAACUACCAUCUUGAAAGUUUAAGCAGCAAAAAUUUUGUUUUACUAUUUAUUUUAUCUUCUGUUGUCAUAGUCCUUGUAGAGAUGUAUACUCGAGCUCGACUCGACCUAUAUGUAACUAGACUCGAGUUCGAUCGAGCCUAAAAAUCGCAACUCGAGGCUUGAUUUGAGGAAAUUCUUUUAAACUCGAGACUCGACUCGAUAAGGCUUUGAUCAAGCCUUAUCAAGUCGAGUCUAAUUAAGCUUUUUGACUCAACUCGAAAAAUGUAUACUUAUAAAUUCAGUAUAAAUUAUACUCAUAAUGAUCAUUUUAUAAUUAUAAUACAUAUAUAUUAUUUAAAUUAUAUAUAUAUUAAUUAAAUAUAUCCGGCUCGACGAGUAGCUCGUCGAGCCACAAACCGCAAAUUCCUGACUCGAACUCGACUCGAAAAUAUAUUCGAGUAGCUCGAGACUCGGAUUGAACUCGAUUUGACCGAGUUCAAGUCAAGUCGUUGAUCGAGCUACUCAAUAGUGGCUCGGCUCGCUUGCAUCCCUAGUCCAUCGUCAUAAAUUUCUGAUACAUGUUCAACAAUUUAAUGUUAAUUAAUAAAGGGAUUCGUACAAUGUAAGUAGGAUGGUGAUCUGAUGCUUUAGGUUCCGUUAUAGAAAAAGACUCAGGUCAGUUGGUUCCAAAAUAAACAUUAUUGGGUCAAAUUCCAUUAAUGCACCAAUUAUUAACUUAUUAUCUCACAAAUGGAUUUAGUGUUAACACUUUGGUUAAAGACAAACUAAUAGUCGUCUUGAUACAUAGAACAUUACAUCACAACAUCAAAGCAUCACAAAAAAAUAUCAAAUUUCUUCUACAAUAUGUCUCGGCUCGGGUGUAAUCACUUCGCAUGUACUACAUUUUUAUUUUCAAUGAUUAUACAACAAGUAUAUAUAUUUUGUUGGUUUGUCUAACGGGUGUAUCGUUAAAAUAUAAUUCAGGUGUUAUGUUCUUAAAAAUAUAAUAUUAAUUAAAAAAAAGUAAAUAAAUAUAAGAGAGAGUAGGUAAGAUUAAAUAGAGAAAGUAUAUAACUGCAAGAAAAGACAAUAAUUAUUAAUAUAUGUGUGUGUGUCUAUAUAUAUAUAUAUAUAUAUAUAUAUAUUAUAUGUUAGGUAAAUGUUAGAUAUGUUAAUGGGAGGCUUAGGAACCAGUUAGAAAAACCCAUAUUUUAUAUCAGCCCAAUCUGGCCUUUUUGGACCGCUUUGUCAUCACGUUAUUAAAAUUUAUUUCCUUUGGUUAAGGAAGUUAUUCAUGUCCUUCUUUCUCUUUUAUUUAUCAGUCUUCUGUCCUGAUCUCUUUGAAGUGGUCGAUAAAGCAAUAAUUUAACGUCAAUAUACUAGCACAAAACCAUCACAUUUCACGGUUAAUUAUCAUAUUGGGAAACAAGUUAAGGAAAUACAAACAUAAUCUUAUACUAAAAAUCUACUGUAAAUCAUUACUAUGAUUAUAUUGAAAUAUCAACAUAAUUAUAUAAAAAUCAAUGAUAAACCAAAAUACUAUGCAGUGAUGUGUUUGGAUAUAGAGUUACAAAUGAGCCGAGUGAGUCCAAUUUUUUGUCUAAUUGAGCCAAGUCUCGACUUAAUUUUACCAAACUCGAGUUCGAUGAACUCUCAAUGUAAAACUCGAGCUCGAAUUCAAUCUCAAAUUCAAGUCAAGUUGAAUUGAACUCGAAUUCAAUCUUAAAAAAAUAGAAAUAAUUAUUUUUAUUUUUUUUAACAAAUAAAAUAGUAAAUUUUUUAAUAAAUAAUAAAACAUAGGGAUACAUAUACGUAAUUUUGUUAUUAAGAUAAAAAAUAAAUAAAAAAAUAUAUAUAUAUGAUUGAGUUGGCUCACGAACUAACGAAUUGAAUAUCUUUGAGUUUGAACUUAAUUUGAUCAACUUGAACUCGAAUUAAGUUUUGACUCGAACUUCUCGUGAUCGGCUUAUGAGUACGAGUGGUUCAACUCGCAUAUAGCUCUAUUUGGAUAUAAGUUUAUUUGGAAAAAAAAAAUUGAAAUAAUAACGAAAGUAAGAAUUUUCUAAUCUUUUAUAGCUAUAAGUAGCACAUAAGGUUGAGGUCAUGAAUGGUGCAUGAGAUGGUUCAGCUUUUUUUUUUAUGGAAACGUUAGAAAUAUGUUUGUUUGGAUUGUAAGUUAUUUGGGAUAUUUCUACUGUAGCACUUUUUGUGAUGUGAUGUAUGUGAGAUAAAAAGGUAAUUGGAAAGAUAAAAAGGUGUAUUGGAAAUUGUAAUGAUGAUGUAAAUAAAUAAAAUUGGGUAUAAAAAACAAACUAUACAACUUGAUCAAAGACCCAUAUUGAGCUUUACAAGAGUGUCCUUAGACGCUGAGAAUUCCUUAUCUUGUACUAACUUAGCAGCAUAAGCACUGAUCCUUCUACUUAUCAUAUUACAUUGGUGGUCUAUCAAGCUAAAUGAGCAUUUCAUAAGCAAAGAUCUUAGCAUUUGAAUGUCUUCCAGAUGAGCAAAAAGUAUUAUGUCUUGUGCUUUGUUCGUCCUCAAACAACGUAUCAACUGAGGUGAUGAAACUUGCACAUUCAUUUCUUCUUGCCAGAGCUUCUCCCUAGCCUUGCACAGUGUUUGUUUGAUCGCUGCAGCAUGAGAUGGUUCAGUUGGUCAAGCAAAAUCUUCGUGAAAUGUGUGCUAUUUGUUGGAACUUUUCCCGGCAGGGAAUGGCGCAGUCUGCGGGAAGUGAACCGGUCUACAUCGUUCAUCCUUCUUUGGGUUAAUUCCUUAUAACCCCUUGUACUUUUUCCUGUACCCAGUCGGCCCCUAUUGACUUGAAUUGCAUCAUUGUUCUCCUCAUAAUUGUUUUGGUGCCUUAACCUGUAAUUGAGUUUUGAAACUUUAAUAAAACUGUGUCUAAUUAAUUUAUCAACCUAAUUCCGAUGAUAAGGGGGGCUGGGUUAGGUGGUUUGAGAGAAAAAGAAUAUGAGUGAAAAAUCUCAAAUUUUAACCCUUUUAUUUACACUUAAAAAAUAAAAUAAAAUAAAAUAACCUAGUUCCGAUGAUAAAUUAUACUGGCCCGAGUAGGUCACAUGCAUGGCUUAUGACUUAUGAGAGGCCCAGUUGUCAACGUGGAAAGAAAUGCUUGCUUUUCACAAUUAUGCUGACCAAACAAAGUACCUAAAGAAAUAAAAUAUCCCAAGUUUCUUCACCUCUUUUGAUUAAACAAAUAAAAUAAGACCAUCUUAAUCUCACUUAAUACUUAACCUAAAAGUUAAUUCUCUAGGAUGCAAAGAUUUUUUUUUUUUUGGAAGUGAUAUAGAUCUACAUCACUUGUACAGAUGUACUAAAAAUCUUAUUCCUAGUUUGGAUUCCUUGUUUUUGUCUCUGUUUUUGAAAAACUGUUUUUCACAUUCCAAAUGCUACAGUAAAUGUGUAUUUCAAAAACAAUUCCAAAAACACCCAUAUCCAAACAUUAUAUCAAAAACAACUCCAAAUAUACAUAAUAUGUAUAUUUCAAUUAUGUAUAUUAUAUAUAUUAUAUUAAUAUAAAUUGAAAUAUACAAAUUGAAAAUUAUAUAUUUAUAUAUUAUACAUUUAUAUAUUUAUAUAUUAUAUAAAUAUUUAUAUACAUUAAUAUUAUACAUAAUAUUGUAUAUUAUACAUAAUAUAAUAUACAUAAUAUGUAAUAUUGUAUACAUAAAUGUAUAAAUAUUUAUACAUAAUAUAUUACGUACAUUAUAUUAUAAUAUAUACAUUAUUAAUGUACUUUCAUUAUUAUGUACAUUAUUGUGUAUAAUAAUUUAUAAUAAUAUUAUGUAUAAUAUAUAAUAUACAUAAUAUGUAAUAAGGUAUAAAUGUAUAUUAUGUAUAAUAUAUUAUAUUAUGUAUAUUGUAUUAUAUAUAUACAAUAUUAUGUAUAUUAUACAAAUUAAAAAUUUUAUAUUAUAUAUUACAUAAAUGUUUAUAUAAUGAAAUAUACAAUAAAUAUUACAAAUUGAAAUAUUAUAUAAACACCAUAUUUAUAAUAUUAUAAUAUUUAUAAUUAAUAUUAAUGUAUAUUAUAUAUAUUAAAUAUUUAUAUAUUAUUUAUUUAUUUAUUCAUAUUACAAAUAUUUUAUUUUAUUUAAAAUAUAUUUUUAUAUAUUUAUAAUAUAUUUAUAUAAAUAUUAUAUAUUAUAUAAAUUAUAUAUUAUAUAUUAUAUAUUAUACAUUUAUAUAAAUGUACAUUUAUACAUAAUAUAUAUAUUUAUGUAUAUUUAUAAUAUACAUUUAUAUUAUGUAUUAUAUAUAAUAUAAUACAUUUAUAUUAAUAUACAUAAUAUUAAUAUAUAUUUAUAAUAUAUUAAUUUAUACAUUUAUAAUAAUAUACACAUACAUUUCUAAAUAUAUUUAUAUUAUGUAUUAUAUAUAAUAUAAUACAUUUAUAAUACAUUUAUAUAUUUUUAUAUAAAUAUAUUUAUUUAUAAAUAUUUAUUAAUGUAUUAUAAAUGCAUAAAUGUGACAGCCCCACCUUCCCCUAAGGCGGACCAAAGGGGUUAGCGGACUGCCUGCCCAACUCUCGCCAAGACUAUUAGGACAAAAUUAACACAAUCUAAACAUUCCAAAGUGUAACACUGCACUUAACGAUUCUACCACCAUAGGGAAAGAACAAUUCCAAGCCAAAACAACACAUGAACAUUACUAAAUACUUCAAUAUACACAAGGUUACAACUUUACAGAUCAAAAGAAAAUGUUCGAUCAAGAUACAUUUAAGGUUUUUGACCCAUUGAGGAGCUAUAUAAAAGAAUAUUUAAACUAACUCAACUCAUACUUUAAAGUUUCAUAACCUUCAAAAGAUACUCCCUGUAAGGAAAACAAAGUCAACAAGGUGAGCUUUCGCCCAAUAAGGUACCAUCACGCAAGUAAACAAAAUUCACAUAAGACAAAGUUGCUCAAUCCAAAUACGUUCAAUAAAUGAAUCAACUAGCACCACAUUUCAAUAAAGAUUUCUAAAAAGAUACGGUCGGCUCUCAAGAGUCCUUUUCCUCGCUUGCCGUACUUGAUCUCGCCCCAUUGACCCUCCGUCAACGUUUAAGGAGUAACCAAUACCGUAAACUCCACUUUCUCCAAUUACUUCUACCUCACAUACCCCUACCAGACCCGAACUCCAACCAGUUCAGUAAUGGUAAUACUCGAGUAUACCGGAAUCAAGAGUCUCGUACCCAUCGAUUCCUUAGAAACAGUCCCCUAUGGCUUAUCAAUUUUCUCGACCAAACCCUUACUGACUCGAUUCAAUUGACCACCAAUGGGGUUGAACUCAGAAUCAACAGUAUAAGUCGUUGGAUACACGUCCAAACGACACCAAUUCAAGUAUAAUCAAUACAAUUCAAGUGAUACAGUAAACAGUCAAUUAGGCCAUAGAGUAUGAGAGUGAUAAAGUACACCCUCAUCUCAACCAGUAUCAUCAGUAAACACAAACAUUCCAAUCAUAAAUCUCAAGUAUAACAAAGCCAAGAAGUAUCAAUCAUGUGAGUAGUACACUCACCAAUCAAACAAAAGGAAUUUCACAAAUUUCCGUCCAAUGAGCGCCUUGGGUCACCGGCACGCCUUAAAACAUUCAAGUAAACACAAUGAGAUUCGAAUACGAAUCAUAAACCGAAUCCACAUACUACGAGAGCAAGACCAAAUAGAACGUAUAAGUGCAAAAUCAAACUAGGGAGAGUUCGGAAAUAAAGUUUAAGCCCUAAAUCCAAAAUGCAGAUUUGACGUUAUUUAGCGUAUUGGACACAACCGGACCUACGAUUAUCGGAUUGGGGUGAAAUUUAUACCAUUUCGAAAUUAAGAUAAAGGGAUACAAUUUUUAUGAGGAUUACUCAGUCCAGUUCGAUGCGUAGCUAGGUCAAAAUUUCAACGUACUAAACCAGAAUCGCACAAACAGGUCAACUAACCGCAUUCUGGUUAAACGACCAUAACUCAGGCUACCAAAAUCCAAUUAAGGUGUUUCCAGGGCCGUUAGAAAGCUAAGACACAGCACUACAACUUUUGUGUUUUGACCAAAAUCUAAUUUAGUACACAUCAGAGUGAACGGUCGCGGUCAGAUUGGGUGAACUGUCAAUACUGUCACCAAACUCUUACCUAUGGCAGUCUGGGUAUUUCAGUCUUUUCACAAGCUACCGAACUCGGAUUGAGCUGAAAUUUUACAGGCAACUAUAAAACAUUAUUUCCUACAACUUUCAUGUUUUAACCUAAGGCUAAUUUAGCCUUCAUCCUAUCCAAACAGUACCAGGCAGAACAGGGUUGGUUGAAACCCUAAUCUGGAAUUUUUGCUUCAAACCAAUGAUUCUACACAACUAAUCAUUUCCAACAUAUACCAACUCUAUUUUUCACUAUAAUAAACCAUCAAUCCAUGAUUAACCAACACUAAACAUAUAAAAUCAGAAAAAUCAUGAAUAAUUAUAAAAAUUCACCAAUCUCUACCAAAAGUCACAAAAUCUUACACAAAACCAACUGUAUGACUAACACAAGUAAUUAAUUUCACAUUAUCAAAACCAAAGAAGGAAUUCCUUAACUACUCACCUUGCAAUCUCAAGAAAAGAGCCAACUUAGUACCACUUUCUUCCAAACCACUUCAGUAACAACCUUACUACAACUAAACUAAGAGGUUUUAUGGAGAAAUUUCAAGUUUAAUCGGUUGGAUUGCAAGCUUAAGGAAGAUUGAGAGUAAAAGAGUUGAAGGUUUCUUUUCUUUUCUUUCUAGAGAGAGCCGGCCAAAGAUUUUUGGGUAAAUUUUGAUAUAUGGUAAAGGUAAAGUUAAAUGGUCAAAGUCCAAGAUUGAAUAGGAUGGUGACACUUGUCACCUUUUAAACUUAAACUUAUCCUCUUGUCUCUCAAAUAUUAAUCCAUCUAGGUAACCUCUAAUUAUCUCUUAGCACCUAGUAAAUUACUCUCGGUAUACAAAACUUAACCUAAUUGGCCGAAUUUUACCGCACUUACUGCACUAACGGGUCCCACAUCCGGUAUACAUUCUUAAUUUCUCAAAAACUAACUGCUACUAGAAAAAUAAUUUAAAAACUAUAUUUACUCAUAAAAAUUAUCUAGAAAAUGUUUCUAAUAAAGAAAAUGUAGAAAAGCGUGCAAUUAAAUAAAAUAAAGCCUAAAAAGUAAAAAAAAAAAAUUUCGGGUCUCACAAUAAAUAUAUAUUUAUAUAAAAAUAUAAAAAUUAUUUAUUAUAAUUUAUACAUUUAUAUAAUAUUCAUUUAUAAUUUAUACAUUUAUAAUAAUAUACAUUUAUAUAUUUAUAAAUAUAUUUAUAUUAUGUAUUAUAUGUAAUAUAAUACAUUUAUAAUAUAUUUUUAUAUUUUUAUAUAAAUAUAUAAAUAUAUUUAUUUAUAAAUAUUUAUAAAUGUAUUAUAAAUGCAUAAAUGUAUAUAAAUAUAAAAUUAUAAAAAUUAUAAAUUAUAAAAUAUUCAAAAAUAUGUUUUAAAAAUACCUCUAAAGAUAAUCCAAAAAACAUCUACAGUAAAAAUUUUUCAUAUAGUUUUUGAAAAACAACUAAUCCAAACGAACUUGUAUUUCAAAAACGAAAUGCUACAGUGUUGUUUUUUAAAAACAAAAAAACAACUCCAAUAACAGCUAAUUCAAACAGACCCUUAGUGUGUCAAAGAAAAAUUGUUACGUUUUCCGUGGAUACAUUUUUUAAUGACAUUUUUAUUUCAUAUAUAUCAAAUCGCUACAGUAAUUUUUCUAUAAAAAACCCAGAAAAAUACAAUUCAAACAAAUGGAAAUUAGCUGUAUUUCUUUAAACAACUUGAAUCUUUUUAUAUCUUUAGAUUUAUGUCCCAUACGUUAUAAUAAGCACAUUUUUGGCGUUGUCAACUUAUAAAGGAUCAAUCCUCAAAACUAAAUUUUCUUAACUAGAUUUAAAGACUAUAUGCAAUAAAAUGAAAAUUCCAUUCACUAAGAACGAUGGUAAGAGAAGUUUUCUGUAUCCUAACUUUAUCAAAUUGACGAUUACAAACCAACGCGAAGCGCCAAAACAACCAAUUAAUUGGGAAGUUGAGAAUUUUCUUUCUCUAUUUUUUUAAAAAAAAUUUUGGGUAAAGAAAAGCUUAGAAGGAAAAGAAAGUUACUCCAUUCUAAGGCCAGUAGGGUUCCAAACGAAUCAAAUUGAAACUUUUAAUUUGUCAGAUUCAAUUCAAACUUUUGGGUUCGAGUUUGUGUACGAGAUUAAAAAUUAAGAUUGAGUUGGAUUGAAUCUAAUACUCGAUAAGCUCCGAUUCCAGAACUCAAAAUUAUAUUUUAAUUUCUAAAAUUACUUUACCAAUAAUAUAUAUAAUGAAAUCCAAUAAUAAAUGUAUAAUCUUAUAUAAAAUAUUAAAUUUAUUUUAGCAUUAUUAAGCCUUAAGGAGUCGAAUCUAUACAAAUUUUGAAUUCGAUUCAACAUUUCAAUCGAAUUUUACUUUUUAUUCGAAUUUGAGGUCGAACUUCUCAAAUUCGAAGGCAAAGUAUUUUUUAAAAGAGAAAAUGACAUGUUUCCUCCUUCAUAUUUCGCAAAAAAUAUUCUUUGCAUUUCUCACUUUUAAAACGAAGCAAAUUUGUCCAUGACAUUUAAAAUUUGAAACUAUUACAUUCCUGAACCCAACUUUCAAUCUGAAUCAAACCAUCUAAUAACUCAGUAAUAAAUUUCAAAGAUAAAAUUGAUAAAUCACUCGAUCAACUUGAUCACAUUGACAUUACAUUUAUUGAACUAAAAAAGGAAAAAAUUGAAAAAUUAUAACAUAAAAGGCCAUUUUUUUCUUAGAAUAGUAGGGUUUCUUUUUUGGAUAAAUCUUUUUAUACACCAUUAAUAUAUACACUUGUGAGUCUAAGUGUAUACCAUACAUACAAAGUUUGGUAUUUAAAUUAAAAUUAAAAAGAUGUAACAUGUAUUUAGACCUGUCAGUGUAUAUAAUGAUAAUGCAAGAAAGAUUGAUCCUUCUUUUUUAUGUUAUAAUUUUUUAUUUUUCCUUUUUGGAUUAAUUAAAUGUCACAUGAAUAUCAAGUUGAAUUAACCAAGUGAUCUUCCAAUUAUACUCCUGAAAUUUGUAAUUGGAUUGUUAGGUGAUUCAAUUCAUAUUGAAAGUUGAUUUCAGAAUGCAAUAGGUUCAAUUUUUAAAUAUUAAAAAUGAAUUUAUUUCGUUUUAAAAGUGAGGAAUUAAAAAAAAUAUUUUUUUUUGUAAAAUGUGAGGGUUGAAUCUGGUUAUUUGCCCUUUUUAAAAGCUGAUUCGUCGACAACCCUUGAUUAGAAUGGGCCACGGACUACUUUUCAGACUCGAGCUUCCCGAAGGCGAGGUUUUACCAUCAUUUGUUGGUUUUGUUAUAAGUUCUCGUGGUACGCCGGGCGCCACAAACGUCAGGUCAACUAGCUCGCAGCGCUUAGACAAUUAUCGCGAAUCAUUGUCCUUGUAAAAUGAUGCCCGGCCCCUCGUUGUUUGUUAAGUCUCGUCCUUUUACAGGGAAACUUCUACUAUUAUGCAUCCUUCCUCUUUCAAAGUAAGAUGUCUUAAGUCGUACCAAAUGAACUAGUUGUAUUAACUGGUAGUCUGGUAUACGCCCGGAGGUCUUGCCCAAAAUUCUCACCUUUUAAUUCUUGAAAAAUACAUUGCAGAAAAGUUGGGUUCAUGCAGCAGCCACUUCUUGUUCCAGGUUAGCUCAAUUCAACGCAUACAAACUUGGUAUUUUAUUGUGAUUGAUACAUGUUAUGUGUUCUUUCCUUGAACAAAAAGUUGAUGAAGGGUGUUUGAGUGUGUAUUUUGUGGUGUAUUGUGUGGAUUCUGGUUUGUCGGUUGUGUUCUAAUGCUCAAUUUACAAAGAUACUUUUAAGGGUUGUAGAAGAUUAUUCAAGAGCUGGAUGUUGACUUAAUCUUGAAAUUAAAAGCUUUUCUCUAGAAACAGAGACACUAUGAUAGUAAUUGGAUUUUGACUUGAUUAUCGUGAAAAGUUGAAACUUUUUCAGAUUGUUGUAUCUUUUAACUUUGACUCAGUUAACUAUUUAGACUUCACUUAAAAAAAAAAAACACCAAUGGGAUUGGGAUCAGUCAGCAUAUUAGGUUUUCAUGGGUUGUAUGGGAGCCUAGGAGGUGGUAUUACAGGCGCUGAUGUUUGUUGAAAUGCAUGUACUUAGCGAGAUGGAAUUAACAUUUGGUGGACAUUGGUUAGCGGAUCAGGCUGUUGUUUCUUAAACCUGAGGGAUAGAAGUCUAAGAUGGUAAACAACGUUUUGAUAACGUAAUUGCCCAUAAAACGCGAAAAUGAAUUGAUUGUUGACUAACGACUCAUGCCUUUUCAUGUUUAGUCAAUUUGUGCCUUUAUUAUGUCUAUCCAAUUUGGAAUUCCACAUACUCUUCUUUAUAGUUUUUGGGCCUCAAUAAUGCAUAAGUGCAAAGCAGAAAAGGAUAAAGCAAGAAAAUAUCGAAUAAAAAGGAGAACUACCAUUUCUUGAAGGUUUGUUCUUCAUUCAGUGGUCAUGAGAGGUAAUUCUGAAAAGGGAGCGGUAAUUAGUCUCUACUGUUUCCUUAAGCUUCCAAAUUCUGUAAUAAGUUACACUAUUUCAUUGUCUCUCAGGUUGCUUGAUUUUACAACUACAACAGGCUCAAUGAUUUUUAAUUGAUUUUUUUUUAUCAUCUGUCAGCUUGAAUACUGUUGCACUCCACUGCCGCACCUCUGCUUACAUGUAAAAGUCAUUCUUGAAAAUCCAGAAAAAUUUGAAUUCCGAUCCUCUCAACCCAAGAAGAGAACUUUAAAGUGCUAUCAGUAGUAUUUGAGGCAAUUUAGCUUUUGUGGCCCUGAAGCAGUGAUUAAGGCAUCAUACUAUGGCUUAUCAUUCUCAGUGAAGAUAAUACUCGGAAUCAUUAUUAAUUUGCCUUCAGUGUUCAAUGUGUGCCAUAAUUUGAUUCCUUUCAUUUCCCUUUUUUCUUAUUGAAUCUGAUCCUGCCCUUGUUUUAACAUGUCGCUUCAUUCUUUAGAAAUAUCUGCUUAUGUGACAUGAUUAUGGGACAUUACUGAUCAAGCAAAUUGAUCCUUUCUAGGGGAAGGAAUGGAAGAGUCGCCUCCAAAAACACUGCCAAAAUCCUUAAGGGACAGAAUUUCUGCAUACAAAGCCAUGGCUUGGGAAGCAUACAGAAGCAAACCGAUCUCACAUUGGAUUCUACUGGUUUUGAGUAGUGCUGCUAUGCUUGUGGCCUUCCCUGCUUCUAGUCUCCUUUCCCGUCUUUAUUUUUCCAAUGGAGGCAAGAGCAAAUGGCUAAUUUCGUGGGUGGCUGUUGCAGGGUGGCCUAUUCCAGCACUAAUCUUAAUUCCUACCUACUUCAUUUUAGGAGUCUAUCCUACUCCUUUAAAUUUAAAACUUGUUGUGUCUUAUAUUGUGCUGGGCUUCUUGACUGGUGCUGACAAUCUUAUGUAUGCAUAUGCCUAUGCCUAUCUGCCUGCAUCAACCGCAUCCCUAUUGGCUUCAACAGUCCUGGUGUUUUCUUCACUCUUCGGGUAUUUGCUUGUGAAAAACAAAAUGAAUGCUUCAAUCAUAAAUGCCAUAGUGAUCAUUACUGCUGGAAUGGUCAUCAUUGCGCUGGAUUCAGAUUCGGACAGGUACGGAUAUAUCACUGAUUCUCAGUACAUUAUGGGAUACGUGUGGGACAUUCUGGGAUCUGCUCUUCAUGGGCUUAUUUUUGCACUGUCGGAGUUGGUUUUCAUAAAACUUCUAGGGAGAAGAUCAUUCCAUGUUGUUUUAGAGCAACAAGUGAUGGUUUCCCUAUUCGGUUUCAUCUUCACUACAAUUGGUUGCAUUGCGAACAAAGACUUCCCAGCAAUGGCAUCUGAGGCACGAAGAUUCAAGGGUGGUAAAAGUGCUUAUUACUUGGUUCUUACUUGGGGUGUAAUCACUUUUCAGUUGGGGAUUCUGGGAAGCACUGCUAUUUUAUUUCUGGCCUCCACUGUGUUUGCUGGAGUUCUGAACUCAAUAAGAGUGCCACUCACAAGCAUUGCAGCAGUUAUAUUGUUGAAGGACCCCAUGAGCGGCUUCAAGAUUCUGUCUCUGAUUAUUACCUUCUGGGGAUUUGCUUGCUACAUUUACGGGAAUCGUCCUGCCAGUAAAGAACCAUCAUGAUCGAUUGCCAAGUUUUGCACAUAGAUCCGAAUAGUUUGUGCCAAGCAAUUAUAGCAUGAUCCAUUUCCUUGAGAAGAUUCAGCUCUAGGAUUGCCUUACUAGUACUGGGAACUCGUAAUGUAUAAAACUAUACCUUAUAAUCGUUUUUACCAUUGAAACGCCAACGAUGAGCUUCAGUUUCUUAAAAGUAUGCUAAAUUUGGCUUAUAUGCAGUUGCCUCUUAACCCUUUUCAUUCCCAUUCAACAUCAAUGUCUCAAGGAGCUGGUAAUUUUUUUGGAACUUGAACUGCUGCUCAUAGAGCUCGAACAGCUUUAUCUAGCGGAGAUGUCUGGCUGUCUUCAUUUUAAGGUUUGGGGCAAGUGCAAUUGUGACUUUGGUGCUGUUGUUAUACUUUUACACGCACACCAAUUCGACAGACGAAUACAAUUGUUCACGGAAUCUGAAAGAAAUACAAUAACACCAAUCCGACUGUACCAAUGCCAACCAAACCUACCUCAAUCAGCAACUAUUAUAGGAAAUGGUCCAAAUGUACGAGGAGGAAGAAAUAAAGAGGAUCUCCUGAGUGAUUUUGCUGGUUAACGCAUUUCACACUGGCGUUUGCUUGCAUCUGAUCGAUCGCGUUUAGCGGACACGGGAAAUUAUAAAAGAGUGACCGACCCGGAAAGCACGAAGAGAGUUAAAAACGAAACACAGAAGAAAACCCGAGGAAAAUUGCAAUACUAGAAGCUUCACCAAGUGAAUAAAAGCAAGCUACUCGAGCAGGCACCGCACAUCUGCAUCUCCGCAAAUCACAAGAACAAUGACCGGUAACGGACCAUAUCUCAUUUUCUUAUUAUCCUAGUUGAGCUGAGGAGAUGUUAGGCCGAAAGUGGAAUACAAACCAGCCAGAUCUUGGAACAAAACAGAUAUUUCUUGUCAGAGAAUUGGUGGCCGCUGAAGAAAGAGCAGCACGAUAGAGCAGGCACGCAAAAUCUUGAAACUAUAUUAAGGCAAACCAGCAGAUGGUACCAUGUAUAUAGAUAUAAAAGCUAUGAUGAAAGUUGAAGUUUCCACCCUAGAAGGAUCAAGGCAGCCGUUUUGCAUCUUUUAUGUAUGUUACAAGUCCAAGAAAAGUUCAAAUAAAACACUUCCAAGACCAUCUAAACAGUUGUAGUUCUAAAGAGCAUCCAGAGAGUAUAUAGAUUCCCUGUUAAACACAUAGUUGCCUUUGCUACAGCUACUGGGUAUGCUAUAGCACUUAUUAAUUUUUGCCAAUGUCCUU
Molecule: long non-coding RNA, 90217 nt
Filed under: Coffea arabica (coffee)
Lineage: Eukaryota; Viridiplantae; Streptophyta; Magnoliopsida; Gentianales; Rubiaceae
Description: long non-coding RNA (CARA_LNC004537)
Source: RNAcentral